RNAcentral lists this long non-coding RNA (90920 nucleotides) under Citrus maxima (pomelo). RNAcentral describes it as "long non-coding RNA (CMAX_LNC004213)". The record is from RNAcentral. Lineage: Eukaryota; Viridiplantae; Streptophyta; Magnoliopsida; Sapindales; Rutaceae.
UUGAAUUCUUUGUUUCCAAACUAAACCUUUAAGCAGACAAAACUAUUUUUACUGCACCGGUAUGCAAGGACGCGAAGUAUCUGCGUCAGCACAGCCUUUCGGUCGCCGUUGAUUUUACAUACUACAACAAAAUCAGCUUUCAUCAGCCACCAUCAAACCCACAUCAACUUCGAUCACUUCCCAGUAAUUGAUGAUUUUUCUUCAUGUUAUUUCUUAAUUCCUAUAAUUUUAAGAAACCUUAAACCCUUGAAGUAGUUGAAUACAGAAACGGAGGAUGUCAGUGUCGUUUUCAAAUUUUCCAGCACCAUUACCGGUUAGUUUUCUAUACAUGGGAUUGUCUAUUUAUUUCUUUAUUUUUGUUUUUAAUUGAAAAAAGUUUUGUUUGUUUGAUGACUUUUGUUGAAAUUGUAUAUGGGUUGUUUGGUUUCUAGAAAAUGAUGAUAGGAAACUAUAAUUUGUAGAUGAUCUUAAAGAACUGUAUUGCAUGAUAUUAAUAAUGUGUAUUUAAUUUUCAAUCUGGCAUAAUUCUUUGGAUUGAAAAUGAAAGGAUAUACGAAUCUUGAUUAAGUGCAUUUCAUUGGGAUUUUUCAGCAAUUAAAAAUGGAUUUUGCUUCUUCCAAUGAGUUUUGCGUCCAAUUACAUAUUGAAACACUUCAAUUUGUGUCAUAGUAUCUGAAAGCACCUCACGAGUGCUAUUGUUAUAUGUAUUGGCAUUUUCAGUUUUGUUACUGUUAUUACAUGGGAAAACUUGGUACCUUGCUUCACUAAUUUGUCGGGUAGCAGUAGUUGCAUCUUUGGCAUGAUAGAGCCUUAUAAAUGGGGAGUACAACCAUAUUUGCUAAAUUUCGAGUAUAAUAGAGUCGUACACUAGUUAUGCAAGGCACAAUUGUCUUGCUUUUGUUGUAUCUAGGCAACAGGAAAAAAUACUCACACAGUAACCAGUGAUCGUUUUGUGCUCUAUGGAGGUUCUACCACUAUAUGCCAAAGGUUUUGUGGCUUAAAGCUAUGGUUACUUGACAGACUGAACCUUAAGCAUUUCAGUAAAAAGCAUGGACUAAGUGAGUCCAAGAUUAUAAAGAAUCAAGAUAAGUUAGAUAGUCAUCUAGAAACUAGUUCAUUAAAUGAUGGACGAGAUUCUGAAGGAGUUUCAACAUUAUCUGUACCUAAUGGUCAGUAAAGACUAUUCUAAGUUAACCUUUUUAUUUUCGUCAUUUGUUAUGUCUAUCAAUGUGAAUUGAUCUUGGUAUAUUCAUUUUCUCAUACUUUGCAAUUGGAAACUUACAAUCUCUAGAUUGUGGAACUUAAUUUUCCAUUGUAGUUACGAAAAGACCAACUUCAAAAUUACGAGCACAUUCCCCAAAUUUUCCUGUUCAGAGCGAUCAAGCACCUUCACUUUGCAUUGCUGUAAUAGGAGCCACUGGUGAGCUAGCAAGAAGGAAGAUAUUCCCAGCAUUAUUUGCUCUCUAUUACAGUGGCUUUCUUCCGGAGGUAGUACCACAAUUUCUUUAUCUUGAAAGGCCUCUUCGCCUUUUAUCUAGAGGUGCUACAGCUAGAGUCUUCUUUUUUCACCAAGCCUGUUGUUUUCAUUGUUGCAGUUACUAUGUAUUUACUUUUCUGAAUCAUUCAUCCAAUUAUGUUGUUAUGCGCAUCAAAACAUAUUCGACUUGCUUCUACUAUGGCAAGGAAAAUGGGAUGUUCCAAUAAAUUGAAUGAAAGAUAUUGUUCUCAUCAAUAUUUUACAAUUUUCCAAACUUGUUCUAAAAAGUUUUGGUGAAUUUUUGCUUUUAAUUAUUUUUAUCAUUUCUUCCUGCAGAAUGUGGGAAUCGUUGGUUAUUCAAGAAAGAAUUUGACAGAUGAAGACUUGAGGUCCAUCAUAGCUUCAACUUUGACUUGCCGCAUUGAUCAUCGGUAUGGUUCUCAUACAGUCAUACAAAUUCUCUUUCCUACCAUUCAGUUUCUAUUCUAAAUCCUUGGGUGAGUCAAAUUACUGCCCCUUAUAAUUUUCGAAUGCAACGUGCACAAAUGCUAGAAGUUGCCUGAAUGAUCGAAAUCCAUGGUUGGCAGCUAUUUAUAUGCUGAUUGGGUUUCAUCAAUUUACAACCUUAGGAUCCUUUUGGCUACAUCCGCCAAAGUUUUCAAAGAGAAGGAAAAAAAAAAAAGGAGGAGGUGGAUUAGCUUCAUGUCACAUUCUGUUAGCUAGUUGCUAGGGUGGGAUUUCUAUUGAUUUAAAGGAAUUACUAGUGUGUUUUGAAGGACCCUCUCAAGUAAAUCAACACGCGACCAUUGUUAGUUUGAUUGCAAUAAAAUUAGAAUAGAAUGAAUUGAAGAAGUUUAAUGUGGCAUUUGUUCCUCAUGAUUUUAACAUCUUUUCAGGGAAAACUGUGGGGACAAAAUUGAUGCCUUUCUCAGUAGAACAUAUUAUCUUAAUGGUGGUUAUGACAACCGAGAAGGGAUGUUAAAGCUCAGCGCUUUGAUGGAGCAUAUCGAGGUGAGGUUGAUAAAAUCACAAAUCAGUGUUGUUUACAAGUAUCUAGCUUUAUCAUGCUUCCUGUUUUAUGCAACUUUAUGGUAUUACUUGGAGCCUAAAAAAAGAAAAAAUAUUAUAAUGAAACUAUUUGGCAUGCUCUUAAAAUUAUUGGCAUCAAAUUGUUGGGCUAUUAGCCCCUUACCUAAUAACUUAAGUUUUGUGCGUCUGAUUUAUCUUACAGUACCUGAUGAAAAAUUAAUGUUUCUUCUAUCUUUUCAAUCAUAAUUAUAAAAGAUCAACUUAUGUGCUUUCUUUUACCUCUAAAGAUUUGUUAAAAACAGAGGAGAAAAAUAUAUAUUAAUAGUAGUAAUGUGUGAUAGUUUAUACUAUUCAGUUCAUAUUCAUAUCUUAGAGAGCAAAUCACCCUAUUCCAUUCUUGCAUGAUAGUUUUAUUUGUUGUAUCGUUAGUUGUUACAAAAUAAUACAUAAAUCUGGAAAUAUAAUCUGGCAAAACUUAUUAAUUAUACACUUAUUUGUAAUUAUUAUUGAACAACUUUAUAGUACGGAUUGUGUAAAGGUUGGUUUUCUGGAUUCAAUUCCUAAAAGAUAAUAGAUAAUAUAUUUUUCAUCAUUAAAACACUUCUCAAUUAUUACAUUGUUAAAACAAGGAACAAGAAAGGAACUACAAUGAAGGUAGUAUAUGAGAUAAUGUCGUAAGACUCAAUUCACUUGUGUACAUUCUAGUUUAACCACACCAACUUUCUUUCUAUAUAAUUAAUAUUUCAUACUUUAAAAGUCAACUCUUUUUGUCCCUUCUUUUCUCAAAUUCCUUAAACUAAAAAGUUAAAACAUUUCUUCACUCUUAUAGACUGAGAGUAAUUAGCCAGAAGUAAAAUCAAUAGGGGUUGAUUUGAUUUGUCAAUGUUCAAGCUGGAUGCUUUAGAUAAUUGAUUUUUUAGCAGCUUACCUACCUCAGGGGGGAUUUGAAGCAAACAGGAUAUUUUACCUAUCUGUGCCGCAAGAAGCACUUCUGGAUGUUGCAUCCACUCUUGCCAUCUGUGCCCAAACCCAGAAGGGCUGGAACCGUAUAAUAAUUGAGAAACCUUUUGGGUUUCAUGCAGUGUCUUCUCAUUGGCUGACAAAAGCUCUUCUUUCCAAGUUCCAGGAGAAGCAACUAUACAGGUGAAUAAUCACAUUAGCUAUACUAAUGUAUUUGUGCACACGCAUUCAGUUUUAACUUUCUUACUUCUUCAAUUUUUCAGGAUAGAUCAUCUUCUGGGGAGGAAUCUCAUUGAGAACCUUACAGUAUUAAGGUUCUCUAAUCUAAUUUUUGAGCCAUUAUGGAGCCGAACAUACAUCCGCAGUAUACAGGUAAUUUUGUUUUUUCUCUAAAUGCAAUGACAUUCACUUGUGCAGCUAAUGAUAGCCACUACCUGUUUGAAUUUCCAUGCAGGUCAUUUUGUCAGAAGAGAUGGGUGUGCAGUCUGGAAGGUACUACAUACUAAUAAUUCAUUUUAUCUUCACUAACAAAGCCAAUUAUCUUAUCCUCAUGUCAUUCUAUGGUAUCAAUAUCAUGUUGUGUAAUUUUUCAGUUAUAUGAGGUAUCUUGAUGGUUAUGGGAUCAUCCGAGACAUAGUGCACAGUCAUAUGCUCCAAACCAUAGCAUUGCUUGCCAUGGAGCCCCCCAUAAGUCUCAAUGGUGAAGAUAUCCGGAAUGAAAAGGUACCUUCUGUUUUUGCGAGAUGAUCUAUUUUAUUCAAAAUCAAUUUGGUUAAUCUUUUGUGUGUAAUGCACAAGUAAGAAUAUAGUUGAUUCUAGCCUUGAGUAGGGGUGAUUUUGUAUACUUAUGUAUGGCACAAAGAGUCCUUUUUAUUCUCUUAGUGGACUGGUGGUCCAUUAUCAGUUUUAAAUCUUCUUUAUUACUACAUUCUUGAGUUUGUUAUUAAAAAAAAAAAGGCACAAGCAAGAUUAGAAAGCACCGGUAAUCUAUUUCCGCUGUCCUACGGCAGUGAAGUUGAGGAAUAUACUUGUUAAAUUGCUAACUUUUUGUAGAUGUCCCUAACUUCAUGUGUCUUAUUGAAUCUGGUGAAAGGUAUAAAGGCAUCAGUUUAUCAAGUUGCAGCUUAUGUGAAUGUGAUAGUAAAAACAAAUGAUGAGUUCAGAAAAUCCUUAGGAAGAAAGUUAAUAAUUCUUAUGAGAUGGAGCUCAGAUUCUUGUAUCCAUGUGAGCACAAUUUUAAUAGAACUUAGUGGUUUUUCAACCAAAAAGGUUGCGGGCCAGCAUGCAAUGAUUUUGCUUUUGCAGAGGCAAUUUUAUAUAGCCUAAUUCUUAUGAAAUCUUCGUAGAAGGUAUUAUAUUUGUUUCUAGGGGAAGGACAUCCAGUCCAACUUUCUCUGUAAAGUUUUUUAUACUAAUAAAUACUCUGUUUCUAACCCCUACCUCCUCAAAAAGUGAAAAAUGAAUACAACAAAAAUUUGGUUGCAUGUGGUCAUGUUGAUAAGAAGCUUAUUCAUUUCAGGUCAAAGUUUUGAGGUCAAUCCGCAGAUUGGAGCCAAGCAAUGUCAUUCUUGGCCAAUAUAAAGCUACUUCUGAUGACAAGGUUGAUGUUAAAUUGAACAGCCUGACCCCCACAUAUUUUGCUGCUGUAUUAUACAUUGACAAUGCAUGUUGGGAUGGCGUGCCUUUUCUAAUAAAAGCUGGCAUGGGACUAAUUAAACACAGGUAAUAACUAUUUCAGUUCUCCUGGUUAUGCCUUAAUAGACAUUGUCGUGGUUUGUACUUUGCCAGAUUAUGAUAGGAACCUAGAACACACCCUUAAAAAGCCGGCUUGUAAGGGAAGUGUAACCAUCAGCUUAUAUUUCCAUUUACGGCUUAUAAUAUUUCUAAUUAAGAAACAAAUUCAAGAGAGGAAAUUAUGACAUUAACCCGUCAGUCUGUCUUGUUUCAAUUCCAAGAACAGUACAAACAAGAAUUCUUCAAUGGAUUAGUGUGUAAUACCUGCAAUGGGUACCGCUGUCCAUUUUUUCCAGAUAGCCAUCACUUUGUAUCAUGCAUAAACAAUUAAAUUAUGCAUGUAACAUAACCAACUGUUGGUAUAAUUGAGUGCAAAUGAUUUUUUUCUUUUUUCUUUUUAAUUUGUAUAGCAAACUGUGGUUACAGAUUUUUGUGAUAAAGUGCAGCCAAAAACUUAGAUAAGCAUAUCUUGUGUAGCUUUCAUCUCGUAAGUUGUUCCGAAAAUUCAUGGGCAUCUCCUAGUCUUUGACGUUUUGAUUGUUCAUAUGGAUCUCAUUCCAUGACAACUCAAAAUAAAUAAUAAAUAAAUGCAUGGCUUAAACCAACAUUUUUUUUUUGGGCAAUAUGGGAUGUGCUCACCAACGUUAGCCAUAUAAUGCAGAGUGGAGAUACGCAUACAGUUUCGUCAUGUUCCGGGAAACAUCUAUCAUGAUCGUUUUGGGCAUAACAUCAACCUUGCCACCAAUGAAUUAAUAUUACGUGAUGUGCCUGAUGAGGCCAUUCUAGUCAGAGUCAACAACAAAGUUCCAGGAUUAGGCUUGCAAUUGGAUGCUUCAGAGCUUAAUUUGCUCUAUAAGGAUAAGUAAGCACUUCAGCUUUUGGAACUUGUUCUGUUUUUGCUAUUCACUUGUCGUCACCUUUGAUAUCCUUCAUGUGCUUUCCUUUUGUGUUAAUACUGUACGUAUAAUGCAGAGGUGCCUGAUUCAUCGGAACAUCUUCUUCUUGAUGUUAUUGACGGCGACAACCAUCUCUUCAUGAGAAGCGAUGAGCUUACUGCUGCAUGGAAUAUUUUAAACCCAGUUUUACAAGAAAUAGAGAAGAAAAAUAUUGCACCAUAACUUUACGAGCUGGGUGGUAGAGGUCCCGUUGGAGCAUAUUAUCUUUGGGCGAAACACGGGGUUCAGUGGACCGAAGAUUAGAGGCAACACUUCUUAUAGGGUAAUCUUGCUAAUCUUUCCACAACUAAGACAAAUAAAUGGUAACUUUGUACAUGUAAAUUGUAUGAAAUUAGGGUUGAGAAAUGCCUAUCUGUAUUCAGAGGAUAAUUCUCAAGAGCCGAAACCCCUAAUUGAAAUUGGAUUUUUCUUGUAGAUGAUUUGGGUUAUGCUCGCAAACGAUGUGCUGAAAGCGUGCAUUGGAGUCAAAAAGUACCUUAAACUUCAUUUUGUAAUGAACAAAUGAUGGAUGGUUAUUUGCUUGUUUUAAUAUGAUGAUUUGUGUAUGGUUAUUUGUUAUGUGUGAUCAAAGAGUAAGCUUUUGCUAGAUUGUACAUAAAUUGUUGAUGAUGAUGGAUAUCCGUUGGUGGUUUUGGGUAAAUGUGUCUGAUACCUAGAUUCUCUUUGACUAUUAACAAAUAACACCAUUAAUAAAUAAAACCAUAAACCAAAAAAUGAAGGGAAAGAAACAAUUUAAAACGUAACCCAUCAAAUAAUAAAAGACUUAAAAACAAUAGCCUCAACUCCUUAACUAUGUGGGACUUUUAACUUUUAAUCAGCAGAUAAUUAAUACCGAUCACAUAAGAGAAACGAAAGUUUAAUAUGAAGAUUUGCGUAUGGUUUUCGUUAUGUGUGAUCAAAGAGUAAGCUUUUGCUAGAUUGUACAUAAAUUGUUGAUGAUGGUGGUCAUGGAUAUCCUAUGGUCGUUUUGAGUAAAAGUGACUGAUCCUAGAUUCUCUUUGACUAUUAACAAAGGGGAGGAUAUGAAAAAGAAAAGUUAUCAAAAUAAAUUUACACUUUAUCUCAUUGUAAUAGUUUAUUUUUUAAUAUUUGUCCAAGUAUAGUAUGACGCUCAGACUGUAGGAGACUUACAGAGGUUCUUCUCAAGCAUGCCACUGGAUAUGUCAAACAACCUGAGGAGCCUUACUCAAAUGCAGCUUCAGGAAGAAAACUUGUGGCAUGGCUUCUGCAUAAUGAACUUCUUAAUUUCCUCCAUGGUCUUUGCCUUUCUCAUCUCUUUGCUUUUUCCCUUCAAAGGCUUAUCAUGAAUCUCGGGAGACCUUGUAUUUUGCCAACCUGGAGUGAAUAAUUUUAUUUUAUUGAUAUAUCUCCUCAAUUGACCUCACAUAUAGCCGUAAAAGCAUCUGUGUUAUAUACAGAAUGUCCUAUGCUAUGCAAAAUGCUCUAGAAGAUUGCAUAAUAGAAUAUACGCUACAGUUUUCACUUUACAGUAGUCAGUCGUUUUUAAACCACGGCCCCAUAAUAUCAAACGGAGUUUAAAAGAUUGAACUAACACAUCGAAAUUCGAUUGAAAGGCUAUCAAGCAGCAAUAUGUUCUCUAAUCUUGUGUUGCAGAUAUCAACCCUUUUUUUUUUUUUUUGGUUACAACAAAACUUUUAUGCUUAUUGACUUAUGAAAUGAGAAUUAUUAUCGACUAAUCCUCUGGAUUGAACAGAAGUACAGCGAACAUUGUUAACAGCUAUCACAUAAUCAAUCAACAUUAUCAUUUUUUUUCAAAAAAAAUCCCUAUCAUGUGACCCUUCAGUGAAUAAAUAAUUUCACAUACUUAAACUGAAUAUAAUCGAGUAAAGAAACAAUCGAACAGUUUAAAGACCCAUCAAAUAAUAGAAGACUCAAAAUCACAAGAUAAUUAAUACCCAUCACAUAAUUGACGCAUAAGAAAAAUGUAAGCUUAAGACUGAAAAAAAAUAAAAAUAAAAGAAAUUUAAAACGCAACACACCAACUGAUAAGACUUAAGAACAAAAGCCUUAAUCUAUAUAGAGGACUUUAAUUUUUAAUCUCAAGACAAUUAAUUAUACAGCAGAAAAGUCAGUUACAAACUUACAAUAAAGCGACUUUCAAAAAAAAAAAAAAAACUUACAAUAUAGAUUUCUUCUUUUAUUGAUGAAGUCAGUUGAUAUUACAAGUAAAUUAAGGUGAAAAAGCAAAAAACGAUUACACAAUCUAAUUUAGUUUACAAAUUGAAAUAUAGAUAGUAUCAACUGGAAUCACUGACUCGGCCUUCCUCAAAAAGCAAUCUGCCAUUAAUACGGACAUAAGGUAUAUGAGUAAUCAUGGGCCAAUAUUUUCCUUUAUCCUUUCUGCACCUUUUUUCUAUCAACGGGCAAUUAAAGAUAAUUAGUUCCAAAAGUGAUUUAGGCAGGCCUCGCUUUGAAAAGUAUUUGAGCUUCGGACAUUUAUCGAGAUACAGAAAUUCCAAAGAAGUGAGGUUUUCACUAAUUGAGGAAAGGUGUUUCAGAUUUGGCAUGUCAAAAAUCUCCAGUACGGUUAGAGAGGCAGGAAACCGCGGAGAUGACACCAGGUCUGGACAUCCUCCCCUGAUUGUGAAUCGCCUGAGAGAGGUGAAUCUGUUCAAUCCCCACUCGAGCAAUGGCUUUGAUAUGUUCGGAUCAUCAACCACAACUGAUUGGAGGUUGGUGGGAAAACCAUCCUCUGGAAAAGAUACCAAGCUCGGACACCUUUGUAUAACUAAAAAUAGAAGAGAGGUGAGAUUGUGCAUGCAGUUGGGUAAGGCCUUCAGAUUCUCACAAUUCCAGAUCAUCAGCUCUGUCAGUUUUGUAGAAGGCAAUCCUUCUUCGGGAAAUGACUCAAGAUUUGGACAAUAUCCUAUCCAAAUCUUUUGAAGAUGAUGGAGAUUAUGCAAACCGGCAGGUAACAAUUUAAGUUUUUCAAGCCGUGAAAUAGUGAUUUCUUCAAGGGAUGUGUUGUCCAACCUUUCUGCUAACGACUCCAACUUUGAACAAAAUCUGACACGAAGGCACUUAAGAGCCUGAGGUAGAUUCCUAUUCCAAGACAAGAAAGCAAGAUUCGAGCAAGAGCUGACCUCAAGGUGCUCCAGCGUGGCAGAAAAGGAUGUGAGGGAGGUGCACCCCCUGCUGCUACUGCAGAUGUCCUGUUCCCCGAUCAAAGUCCUCAAAUUAUGACAGUGGCUAACAAUCAGCCGCUUCAGGCUUGAAGGUAGCUGGAUUCUAGCAAUAUAUCUCAAAGAAUGACAUCUAUCAAUGUUUAGACUUUCAAGAGAGGUAAUGCUAUUUUGCAUCCAUGCCUCAGGUAAGGAUUUCAAAGCAUUGCAUUCUUGAAUACUAACUGUUCUCAACUGGGAAGGCAGAGCAACCUGUGGAAAUGAAACAAGUGAAUUACAACGAUGAAUCGCCAAACUCUGAAGAGAUGAAUUGGAGUGGUGCAUCCAUGCCUCAGGUAAGGUUUCCAAAGCAUCGCAUUCUUCAAUUUCAAUUGAUCUCAACUGGGAAGGCAGAGCAGCCUGAGGAAAGGAAACAAGGGAAGCGCAGCCUAAUAUCCGCAUGCCUGUAAGGGAACUAAGGGUGAGCAAUGCUUGUGGUAGCUUUGUAAGGCCUUCACAAUCACCCAAUUCCAAAAAUUGAAGUCUGCACGGCAACUCUGGCUGUUGUUGGUCAUGUUCUUCCUUUGUUACCGAGGAAAUCAGUUGCGGACAUCUUGAAAUGUGCAACCGGUUAAGGGAUCUAAUGUCUUGCAGCAACCGAGUUUCACUCUGCCAUAAAUAUGUUGGUUCUCGAACACUAUCAAUUUUUAAACUUUCCAAUUGGGGUAGCCCUUGUUCAAAUAGAGCUGCUAAAACCACUUGAUUUGCUAUAUCCCCUAAAAACACUGAUUUCAAUGAGCUGAAGUCGAUUGGGCUGCUGAACACCACCCUUCUACAUCCACGGAUUUGUAAUUCACUGAGAGCUGGCAGACAUUGAAUUGUCACUAGCAACUGUUUACAACUUUGGAUGACGAGCUUCUCCAAUAAAAGAAGACGUUCGGGCAAUGUUCCUUGAAGUUUAGAACAUCUGAGAAGAGAAAGCUUUCGCAGCUUAGGAAAAACUUCAUUAACUUCUUGAGCAGAUCCACGAGGAAUCCACUCUUCCCAUUCUUGCAUAUUCACAAAACAAAGAGUCUCCAAUGAUGGAAAGGGCGCUGAGCAACUGUUUCCAUAAAACUCUAGACCUACGCUCUUUACUCUAUCCAUUCCCCUUAUCUCCAGAUGCUUUAGAACUGGUAGUUGUCCAACUGAUGGCAAAGAUGUACACAUGCCACAAUAUUCAAAUUUUAGACUCACCAAUUUUGAGAAAGAGAAAUCUCCUAACCAAAUUGGAAAUUUUGUACCACCGUAGCCUGUGAUGGUGAGCUCCUCCAGUUUUUGAUGAGGUUUUAACAUGUCAAGCACACGUGUUUGAGUUUCAAGGUCCACCGCAUCCUCAUUUCUGAUGUUUGAAAUACAGAACCGAUUACACCAUCGAAGUACUAUAGCUUCAAGAUUCACCUUCCUGUUUAAUUGGGCCUCAAUAGCAUCGCCAACACAUUUCACAUUCUCUAAACUCGAAAUUUCAAGUGUACCCUCAAGAUUUGUCAAAGACUUUAGCUCUCGUAGUGCAGAACCACUGUCUUUUCCCACAACAAAUCUACACAGCGUCGUGAGACAAGUCAAUUUACCGAAUCCCUUCGGCAUUUCUUCCAAUGAAUGAACAUUAGAAUUUCUUAGAUGAUGCAAUUUCGUCAGGUUUCCCAUGUCUUUACACAACUUCUUGAGCCGAUGACAGUCUUCCAAUAAAAUUGUAUGCAAGUUGUAUAGUGAGUUAAUUGACUGAGGCAAAAUUUGAAUAUUAGUUCUGGAUAAAUUUAGAAAGCGUAAAUGCUUCAAGUUUCCAAUUUCAUUUGGUAGGUCGAUGAUGUUACAAUACCCACACAACGAAAAGACCCUUAAGCGUGGGAGAUCCAGCAGCAACUGAAGAACACUCCAUGCCAAAUAAUCACCCCCGUAGUCUGACAACUUCAUUGGUAAAAAGGUCCGCAAUAGUUGCACACCACGGAUGAAAUCGAACCUAGUGCCGCCAUCACAUUCUCCACGAAUGUACGAAAAAUGACGAAGACUUUGAGAAAACAUUUGUCGGUUUUCACUUUCUAAGGUAUACUCCAGUCUGAAGCAUAUCCCCCCUGCAGCCCAGCGAGCUAGGUCAUUAAUGAGGUCGUGCAUCAAAAAUCGGGAUGCAUUUUUACUUGACCGUUGGAAGAAUGAUCUUGAAAGUAGCUCCUGAACAAACUCGCGGCCCAAAUCUUCCAUUUUCCUUCCACUGUUUUCUUGGUGCAAGAAACCUUCAGCCGCCCACAGUGAAAUUAUCUCCUCUUCUUGAAAUUCAUAACCUUUGGGAAAUAAUGAGCAGUAUGCGAAGCACUGUUUCAACUGUGGUGGAAGAAAAUGGCAGCUUACUCCUAGGGCUGGUAGAAUAUUACAAUUUUCCUCUGGUAAAUUCCAUAUGUCAGUAUUGAGCACAAAUUCCCAGUCUCUCGGGUCAUGUUUGCCCCGUAAAAGGCCGCCAAGAGUUUUUGCAGCUAAAGGCAAUCCUUUGCACUUCAUCACUAUCUUCUCUCCAACUUCCUUCAAGGAUGGAUGAAUGUUGAAAUCCCCAGUCCCCAGGGAGAUUUGAGUGAGCAGACACAAACAAUCAUCAUUUGACAACUCUUUCAGUUGAUACGCUUGAUCAGCCCCCAUAUUCACUGGAACGCGUAGAUUGCGAGUUGUGACAACAAUCUUACUUCCGGGUGCACCAGCUCCAAAGGGACGGCUAAAAAUGCUCCAGUAUUCGUAAUUCUCGUUCCACACGUCAUCCAAAACGAGCAAAAAUUUCUUUCCGGACAAUUGCUUCUUUAGUUUCUCUUGAACCCAAUUUAAAUCAUCAUCCUUACUCUGAUCAUUAGUAAUGGACUUUAGGAUCGAUUUUGUUACUCUGAAAACAUUAAAAUCCUCAGAAACAAAAGUCCACGCUUUGAUCUGAAAACGCCGUUGCACUCGAUCAUCGUUAUAGACGAGCUGAGCAAGAGUUGUCUUCCCAACGCCGCCCAUCCCAUUAAUAGAAAUAACAGAGAAUCCAUCAUCAGCUCUUAAACCAUCCCUCAACAACAAUUCAACAAUCGCCUCCUUAUCUUUUUCCCUCCCAUAAACUUUGGCUUCAUUCACCAAAGAUGUUGUGGGUAAUCUUUGCCCGAUACUUCUUGACGUGCCAUCUGAAAUUACGUUUUUCAACUUCAGCAGGUUUAUGUCCCGUUCAAUAUCUUGCAACCGAGCAGUGACCUCCUUCAUUUUCGACACCAUCAUGGAAUCAAACUGAAUAGAUCGAGGACUAAAGUUGGUGCAGCCAGUGGGAAUGAGCUUCCGAAACUUACUCGUACUAGUACCGGGUUGAUCAGCAGCAGCUGGUCCCUGAAGCAGCAUCUCCCUCCGCAAAGCUUCAGUUUCAAACUCAUCCAGUAUGUCUUCAACAUCAUAAGCCAAGUUUUGAAGCUUGUCAAGCCACUUCUUAACUGACUUGUCCUUCGUCUGCCUGUCCUCAGCAUCCGCAAGUACUGCCUGGAUCAUCUCCAUUUUGUCCUUCCACCUGAUGAAAUCAGCCUUCAACUUCUCAUGCUGUGUAAACAACUCAAGUGAAGCCAGCUUUUUUAUAAGCAACUCAAAUGAAGCAGUGAGCACCGCCUCUCCGAUGAUUGACAUUUUUUUUUUUGGUUGAAAGGAAAGAGUAAAUUAUGAAAAAAGAAGAAGAAAAAGAUCUGCAGAAAUUGAACAAAGUCUAGUAGUAUGUGAUUUUGGUUUGGAAUGUGAAAUGGUGUAGGCAGAAACAAAACGUUAGCUGGGUUAGUUGGGUUAUUAAUUUUUUUUAUCAGCACCAAUAAUUCAGCUAGGGACGACCAAAAUACCAUCACGCCAAUCCACGCUUAUCUGGCACUGGAGUCAAGCAUGAGUAAUUGGUUGGGUUGAUUCUUAUAUAAAAUAUUUUAAAAUUAUUUGAUAAAUAAUUAUUAAUCAAAUAUUUAAAUAGUUUUAUCUAUUUUAUUUAAUAAACAAUAAUAUACUGGUAUGCAACAAUGUAUAAUUUAAAUAAUUUAUAUUUUUUUAUUUUAAUUAUAUAUGAUUAUCUAAUACUAAUUUAUUAUAAAUCUAAUUUUUGUAUUAGUUGUUUUUUUAAAUUAAUUUUAAUUUUUGUUGAUAGUGAGGGGCUUGCCAAUGAGAUCUGUUUCUAUAGGUGGUUGAGUGAAAGUCAUUAUUGUUAUUCAAUUGAAGGACAUAAAAUCUGCAUAAAUUGAACGAAGUCUAUUUUAUAUGAAUAACAAGCUUUAUGGGGAAAUUGUACCAUUUAUGCCACGACAGUGGCUGAAUCCAUACUCUUACUAAUUCCAACAGCACGACAAAUCUUUAAAGAAAAAGUACGACGGCCAAAACACGACCACGCAAACGUGUUUCCGCCACUAGGGAAGCGUGAGUAAUUUGCUUGGGUUAUUGAUCAUUUGAUUAUUAUAUCAAAUAUUUUAUAAAUAAUCAAUUAAAUAUUUAUAUAAUUUUAUUUAUUUUUAUUAGGAACGACUUUAAGCAUUGGCCAAUUAGACAGUUAUUUAAGGGUAUACUAUAUUUUAGAUAGAUCUCAUUUUUUAAUGAUUGCUUUAAUAAUAUUCUAAUUAAUAAAGAAUUUUUAAAUUAUAUACUAUAGGACAAUCUAUUUUUUAGGUUUUUCCCUAAUUAAUAAUUAUCCUACAGUUAACAUUUAUUUUUAUAAAAACUUUAUAUUUGAUAACAUUAAUGUAAACAUGUAUAAAAAUUGUCUUAAUUUUUAUACUAAUUCUAAUUUAUUAUAUAUUUAACUUUUUAUUCGUUGUCUUCUUUACUAAAACUUUUGUCAUUCAAAAUAAAAAGUAGUAUCUAUGAUGUCAAUCCAUCAAAAGUUGCAAUACAUGAAAUUAUCCAUAAUUUGAUUAUAUGAAAUCAAUGUCGCAAAAUAUAUGUAAAAUAUUUAAUUAUGAAUAUAUACACUUAUAUCUUUGAUACAUAAAUUGAAUUCUAAAUAAUAUAUCACCACUCAUUACUUUGUGACGUGUUAACUAAUCAUUUGUAUAUAGUUGCAUGAGAUGACUAGCAACUCAUGGAGACGUUUUGCAUUUUAACCAAUUUACUUGAUCGUAAAAAUGAUACUGAGUAAAUUUUACUACUAAUUAAAUUAAAUUGAAUUAUAUAGAAAUUGAUCUCAAUGUCCUAAAAUGGAUUGGUAGAUGGAAUCAAGAAUAAUCUGAUUCCCGCAGGCAGAGACUAUUUUCAUUGACUUGCACUAGAGUUUUAAGAAUACAAAUUAUCAAGUUAGUCAACCACAAGUUCAUUUCGUCUCUUUAAAAUAUUAUGAACAAGAAUAAUCUAAUGGCUAUGCCUAGUUCAAUCUAAUGGACAUGAUUCCUUGAACUUUACAAAGGACAAUUUACACUUGUUUUUACAAUACUUGAUGCUGAAUCAUCCUUAUCAUCAGUCAUCAUUUUUUGCUGAAUCAAUUGCCAUGUCAAGACUUGCAGAUCUUGAGAUCUAGGCUAAGGGUGCUCACAAGGGCAUUUCAUCAAACAUCUGUUUCAUUCCAUCAAACACCUUACCUGUUCUAACAUCAAUGAACUGUUUUUUGUAAUAUUCGGAAUUCAUAAUUGAUACACUGGCUACUUAAAAGACCCUUUUUAAAGUAGUAAAUAAAUCAACAUAAGAACAAUUGUUUUAUAGUAAAUAAAGUAAUUUGGUCUUGUUGGCGUGUUUUAGAUUGAAUAUCUGGCCUGAUACUGAACAAAUUAAAAUCAUCAAUGGUUGGAUUAAUUAUAUGCUUACUAAUGCUAUUAAGAACUAUUGGAUGAACUUACAAAAAUUAAAAAAAAAAUCAUUUUGAUCAAUUAAUUUUACUCAUUUAUUUAAAAGGCAAGCAAAGAGGAGAAGAAAAAUCAGACCAAGAAGGCAGCUGUCCAAGCUUCUUAGGCGUGUGCUCAUUAAUCAGCGUUUUGUUGCAGACCGCCCAAUUCGCUAGCCCAAAUGCCCGCAAUUUCGGGCUAGAGAGCCAACACAUAGCCAAGAGUGCUAGCUUGGCCCAAUUUCGGAAGGUUCUAGGCAACUCUAGCACAUGUGAACAUGUAAAUAUCCUAGAAUACUUUAUACAAUUCCAGCACAUGUAAAUAGCUAGGAAAUUGUAGAAUAUUCUAGAGUUUGGCAAAGUUAGGCAAAGUUAGGCAAAACCUCCCCUAUAAAUAUGGGAUGGCAUUAGGCAUUUGUAUCCAACAAGCAUUGUAAUCUCUCUUUGUGCAAUACAAGUUUCUUUGGCUCAAUUGCUCUCUUCUCUUGUUCGAGAAUCUCUAGGCUUACUUAGCAACAUUCGGCAAAGUUGUCUAAGUGCCGCAUGGGUUAGCUGCGCAAAACACUCAUCCUGUGACAAGUGGUAUCAGAGCUAAGGUUUGCACGCACGCAAGUUAGCUCACGAAGCAAUGGCCAACCCUUCGAAUGUAGCACAAGAGGGUGUUGUUGGUGUGGAUGUUCCACCAGAACCAAGCCGCGGCCGAGAGGGAGAACGCGCCCAAGGCAAGACUCGCGGCAAGUCCAAGGCCUUAUCCGUGGAUGCGUUGGAGCCUCGUGUAGGCACUCUCGAAAUAGCAUUGUCCACCGCUCAAGAUAGCCUCAAGGGAUUGGAGAAAAGAGUGGACGAUCUCGAGGGAGAGUACGGCGAAUUCACGGUGGCCACAAAAGCUCUCAUGCAUGAGCAAGCGAACACUCUCCGAGGUGAGUUUCGAUCUUUCCAUGAUGAGUUGCUGAAACUUCGUAGUUUUGUUCAGGACGAACUACGUGCUGUCCGUGCGGAAGUGGAUGAAGUUCGCUCGGAUUGGGCAUGGCACAAGCGCACACUCUCCGCAAGUCCAGCUUCCGCAAACUUGAGUGAUGCGCGCCGCAUUGAUGUGCCAAAGCCCGACACCUACGAUGGCACACGCAAUGCCACAAUCGUGGACAACUUCCUGUUCGGGCUGGAUCAAUACUUCGAUUCCAUGGGUGUACGAGAUGAGGCAUCGAAAGUAGGCACUGCACCCACCUAUCUUAGAGGCGCUGCACAACUAUGGUGGCGUCGCAAGCAUGGCGAGAUGGGCAAGGGCAUUAGCACCAUCGACACUUGGGCCGACUUUAAGCAAGAACUCCGAAAGCAGUUCGCCCCAAGCAAUGCGGAGAAGGAAGCGCGAGCGCGCUUACGUCGCCUCAAGCAAUCGGGUAGCAUUCGGGACUACAUCAACGAGUUCUCUACCCUCAUGUUGGAGAUAAGCGACAUGUCCGACAAAGAUUCACUCUUCUACUUCCAAGAUGGCCUCAAGGAUUGGGCCAAGACCGAGCUUGAUAGGCGUGGUGUUCAAACACUUGACGACGCCAUCUCCGUUGUGGAGUCGCUCACCGAAUACUCUACCCAAUCCAAGGACAAAAAGGCCAACCAAGGCAAAGGUGGGGGAGAGAGUCGCAAGGACAAGGGUAACAACCGCAAAGAUUGGGGGCAGAAAAAGCCGCCUAGCAACAAGAGUUGGCAAGGAAAAUCGGAGGGCAAGAAGGAGGCGCCAAAGCCGCGAAGCCCAUGCUUCAUAUGCAAUGGUCCUCAUUGGGUACGCGACUGUCCGCAGAAGUGGUCGCUUAAUGUUCUUGCUGCCCAACUCAAGAGCAACCCCACAAUGUCCACGGAGGAACCCCAACUCAGCAUGGGUUCUCUCCAACGCCUCGGCGCACUCAACCGCCAACAGCCCGCACUAGCCAAGAAAGGGCUCAUGUAUGUUAGCGCAAAGGUAAACGGCCAGUCCGUUCGCGCGCUGCUAGACACGGGAGCAACACACAAUUUCGUGUCCGUAGACGAGGCCAAGCGUUUAGGCCUCAAGGCCACCAAGGAAGGAGGCACAAUGAAGGCAGUAAACUCACCCGCCAAACCAAUUGCGGGAAUUGCACAAGGCGUGCACAUCACACUCGGUACAUGGAGCGGAAAGCUUGAUUUCUCCAUUGUGCCCAUGGAUGACUUCAAGAUGGUCCUUGGCAUGGAAUUCUUCGACCAAGUCCAUGCCUUCCUGCUGCUCGCUACAAACUCCCUAAGCAUCCUUGACGGAAGCAAAGCAUGCAUGGUACCCACGGAGCGAGGCAAGUCCGAGGAGAAGACACUCUCCGCCAUGCAAUUCAAAAGGGCUUUAAAGAAGGACCCAAGCUUCUUGGUCUCCAUUCGGGAACUAAAUGAGGAAGGAAAUAGCGGAACGUCGCCAAGCCAAGUCCCUCCGCGAAUUCAAACCGUCCUCGAUGAGUACAAGAACGUGAUGCCUCCAGAACUUCCGAAGAAGCUCCCACCUCGACGAGAGGUAGAUCAUGCGAUCGAGCUGGAACAAGGCGCGAAGCCACCAGCCUUGGCGCCCUACCGAAUGGCGCCACCCGAAUUAGAGGAGUUGCGGAGACAACUCACAGACUUGCUGGACGCAGGCUACAUUCGCCCCUCAAAGGCCCCAUUCGGUGCACCGGUCCUCUUCCAAAAGAAAAAGGAUGGAUCGCUGCGGAUGUGCAUCGACUAUAGAGCGCUCAACAAGAUCACCAUCAAGAACAAGUAUCCGAUUCCCUUGAUCGCAGACUUGUUCGACCAGCUUGGCAAAGCGCGGUACUUCACCAAACUUGACUUGCGCUCCGGGUACUACCAAGUGCGCAUCGCCAAGGGAGACGAACCGAAGACAGCGUGCACAACAAGGUACGGGUCUUUCGAAUUCCUUGUGAUGCCUUUUGGCCUUACUAAUGCACCCGCCACAUUUUGUACACUCAUGAACAAGGUACUCCAACCAUUCCUCGACCGCUUUGUGGUUGUGUACUUGGAUGACAUAGUGGUGUAUAGCACCACUCUCGAGGAUCAUGUCCAACACUUGCGACAAGUCCUCCAAGUACUUAGAGACAAUGAGCUCUUUCUCAAACUAGAGAAGUGCUCGUUUGCCCAACAAAAUGUGGAGUUCCUUGGCCACAAGAUUGCGGGCGGGAAGAUCAUGAUAGAGAAUGACAAAGUAAAGGCCAUCCUUGAAUGGGAACCUCCCUCGAAAGUGCCCGAGCUUCGCUCAUUCCUUGGGCUGGUGAAUUACUACCGACGCUUCAUUCAGGGCUAUUCAGCCAAGGCGGCACCCUUGACGGAUAUGCUCAAGAAAAACAGAACGUGGCAUUGGUCCGAAGGAUGCCAACGCGCAUUCGAGGAGUUGAAGAAGGCAAUUUCGGAGGAACCAGUCCUUGCCCUUCCGGACCACACAAAAGCCUUCGAAGUGCAAACAGAUGCCUCGGAUUUCGCUAUAGGAGGAGUCCUCAUGCAAGAAGGCCACCCCAUAGCCUUCGAGAGUCGAAAGCUAAAUGACACGGAACGCCGCUACACGGUGCAAGAGAAGGAGAUGACAGCCAUCAUCCAUUGUCUAAGAGUGUGGCGACAUUACUUGCUAGGCUCUCACUUCACAAUUAUGACGGACAACGUGGCGACAAGCUACUUCCAAACUCAGAAGAAGUUGAGUCCGAAGCAAGCACGGUGGCAAGAUUUCCUUGCGGAAUUCGACUAUCGGCUAGAGUACAAACCGGGGAGAGCCAACGUCGUUGCGGACGCUCUAAGCCGCAAGGCGGAAUUGGCAACACUUAGCAUGAGCCAACCAAAGUCCGACCUUGUAUCACGCAUCAAGGAAGGCCUCCAACAAGAUCCGCUAGCAAAGGAUUUGCUGGAGAAGGUGCUCGAAGGGAAGACAAGGCGAUUUUGGCAAGAGGAAGGCAUCCUCCUCACCAAGGGAGUGGGCUGGUCACCCAGGAAUCGAGCGCACCACCGCACUAGUCCAAGCCUCGUAUUUUUGGCCGCACAUGAGGGAUGACAUCGAGGCAUAUGUGCGAACUUGCCUUGUGUGCCAACAAGACAAGGUGGAUCAUCAACUUCCAGCAGGAUUGUUGGAACCGCUACCACUAGCAACAAGGCCAUGGGAAAGUGUCUCCAUGGACUUCAUCACAUCGCUGCCCAAGUCCGAAGGUUGCGGAAACAUCAUGGUCGUUGUAGACCGAUACAGCAAGUAUGCCACAUUCAUUGCUGCGCCUGUCGAUUGCAAAGCGGAUGAGGCAGCCCGCCUAUUCGUCAAGCACAUUGUGAAGCUUUGGGGAGUUCCGAAGAGCAUUGUGAGCGACCAAGACCCUUGGUUCACUGGGCGGUUUUGGACGGAACUCUUUAAGAUGUUGGGGACCGAUCUCAAGUUCUCGACAAGCUUCCACCUACAAACGGAUGGGCAGACCGAGCGCAUUAAUGGCCUCCUCGAGAUGUAUCUGAGGCAUUAUGUGAGCGCUCACCAGCGGGAUUGGGCGAAGCUACCGACAUCGCCCAAUUUUCUUAUAACUUGCAGCGAAGUGAGGCUACGGGUAAGAGUCCGUUCGAGAUCAUCAUGGGAUUCCAGCCAAUGACUCCCAAUGCUAUAGCCUCGACUUAUGGAGGGAAAAGCCCCGCGGCACACAAGCUCGCCCGUGAAUGGCAUGAGGAAGCGGACAUCACGCGAACCUACCUCGACAAAGCCGCGAGGAAAAUGAAGAAAUGGGCGGAUACAAGGAGACGGCAUGUUGAGUACAAGGAAGGAGAUCAAGUCAUGAUCAAGCUCCUACCCCAACAAUUCAAGACAUUGCGGAAAGUUCACAAGGGGUUAGUGAGGCGCUACGAGGGACCCUUCCGAGUUGUUCGACGUGUGGGCAACGUCUCGUAUCAACUCCAACUUCCGCCAAGACUCAAGAUCCAUCCGGUCUUCCAUGUGAGCCUCCUUAAGCCGUAUCACGAAGACAUGGGAGAACCAAGUCGCGGAGAAUCAAGGCGCACGCCAACUGCCGUUGUCACCGCAUUCGACCGAACGGUUUCAAGGAGGGGCGUGCCAGCACAUAGCGAGUACUUGGUGAAGUGGAAAAAUCUCCCCGAGAGCGAAGCCACUUGGGAACGUGAAGAUGAUUUGUGGCAAUUCGCUGAACACAUCCAGAGGUUCAAGCGCGAAAGCGCGACGAGGACGCCGCGAGCUUAAGUGGGGGAGGAUGUUGCGGACCGCCCAAUUCGCUAGCCCAAAUGCCUACAAUUUCGGGCUAGAGAGCCAACACAUAGCCAAGAGUGCUAGCUUGGCGCAAUUUCGGAAGGUUCUAGGCAACUCUAGCACAUGUGAACAUGUAAAUAUCCUAGAAUACUUUAUACAAUUCCAGCACAUGUAAAUAGAUAGGAAAUUGUAGAAUAUUCUAGAGUUUGGCAAAGUUAGGCAAAGCCUCCCCUAUAAAUAUGAGAUGGCAUUAGGCAUUUGUAUCCAACAAGCAUUGUAAUCUCUCUUUGUGCAAUACAAGUUUCUUUGGCUCAAUUGCUCUCUUCUCUUGUUCGAGAAUCUCUAGGCUUACUUAGCAACAUUCGGCAAAGUUGUCUAAGUGCCGCACGGGUUAGCUGCGCAAAACACUCAUCCCGUGACAGUUGGCUCUCUUCUCACAGAUAAUGCAAAUCCCAAAACUCUUAACAAGAUUUACAUGCUGAAGCUUUGCAGUUAGCACAGUCUCAUUCUUGAACCACUCAAAUCCCUUGUGUUGAUGUGUUUGAAAGUUUUUUCACUGCUAUUUCUAAUCCAUCUCGCAAUACGCCUUGGAAUAAACUCACAAUCAACACGUGUUAAUGGUUUGAACUCGAGACUUUGGUUUUGGUACCAUAUUAUUUAAACAGUCGGAUGAAAUACUACCUCAUAACCAGGGCCAUAUCCAACCCUCCCCAAGCUUAUUUUUUAACCUUGUUAUUAAAUUCAUCAGUAGCUGCAGAAUUUGAUAAUUUGCUCUUUGCUUCUUUAGCUGAGUCCAAUAACCCUAUCGAUCCCCCAAAAAAAAAAAAUUUUGAAAUUCAAAAAAUGCUUUAAAUUUACAUCUUCUUCUUUCAAAUAAAAUUUAAAGAAUCCUGGUCAAUAACUUUGUUGCAAGAACAGAUUAGCUUUUGUUUUGAGCUUUUUCAUCCAGCAAAAACAUACAACUUAGCAUGGCAGAAGAAAUUUUCCUAAGCUGUAAAAUUGAUUUAUUGUGGUAACCAGAGGUAGCAUAAAGAUCUUGAUACAAAUCAUUUUCAAUCUGUAAAAUUGAUUUACAGUGGUAAUUAGAGGUGGCAUAAAGAUCUUGAUACAAAUCAUUUUCAGUCUGUUAUCUCGCAAAAUAGACCAUAUGUACAAAUUUUGAUGUUCUGAUCUCUCAGAUUCUUGCUCCGAGAUACUGUAGAGCACAACUUCAGCUCUGAAAUUGCAAUUUUUUUUCUUUUUUUAUAUCUAUCAACCACCUAUAGUUCAUGGAAAAUCUAGAAGAGAGUUGAUUAUACAACUCUAUACUCAAAAGAGUAUAAUUAGAAAUUUUGCUGGUUCUAGAUUAUUUAAAAAUAAAAUAUGUUACAUCAGCAAGAGAGAAUACUUAAUGAGGUAACUUAAUAUAACAAUAACUAAAUUUCAUUAUUUGUCCUUUUGUUUCGGCCAAAUAAAAAUCCUGCAAGCAAUUAAAAAAGCAAUAAACUAAGAUCAUAAAAUUAUUAAUUAAUUUAAUUACCUUCAUACAAACUCAGAAGUGAACUUGGAUUAACCAGCUUAACAUAAUCAUAAGGGAUGAUAAAACAGCUUACUUACUAUAGUUAAUUAAAGCUUUGCUUACCUGCAGCUUGAGAGAGCACCCAAUUAUCGUCAUUGCCACGCAACCUAGCCAAGCAGCUUCCGUUCCUUGGCAUGAGAAACCUUGAUGAUGUCUUCUCAAUGCAGCUUUUGAUGAAUUAGAGAUCAAGUUUCAAGCAUCCAUAAUUGCUGGCCCUUUUGUUGGAGCAUCAAUGCAAUUGUCCUCAGGAUUCACCAGAAAUCCAAGCAUGUAUCCAUAAGAAGGCAAAGCCAAAACCAGCUCAUCAGCAGAUACUACGCCAUCAAUCCAAGCCCUUAUGCCAUAAUCUGUAUUAACUCUACUACUUGGAUCAUACAAAGCUGCAUGAUCUCCUGUAGAAUCUAUUCUCUAAGUCACGUGGUAGCCAAAUGCCAUGACAUGAAUCCAAUUCAAGUACUUUUGUAUUGAUUCUAAAGGAAAACUUGUUGAGUCUGAAGGCAGUGUAAUUUUUGUUGGGAAAUUGGUGGGUGAAGCUGACACGCAGCUAAAAUGAAAUUGAAAGAAAAAUAAAGAACAAGCACAAAAGAGAACACUAAAAAUUACGUGGUUCGGCUUUCAGCUUACGUCCACGGGCGAAAACAGAAGGAAAAUAUUUCAUUAGUGAUAUGAGGAUUACAAGUAUUAUAAUAUUUUGGCUCACUUCCUAAAACCCCAAUACACCCAAUCUCUCGCUCACUAGACUCACAAGGAAUAAACUGCUCUCUAUUUUUCUCUCUCACAAAUUGAAUGCAAAAAUGAGGGUGGGAGGCCCUCUUUAUAUAGCCAAAAUUUUGGCUCCUUUUUUUUUUUUUUUUAUAACAAGUCAACACGGCACCACCAAGAAUGGCGGGCCGUGUUGAAUGGCAUGGCACCGCCAAUCUAGAUGGCCGGUGCCAGCCAUGACUUUAACAAUUUGAACAGCAAGUCAGAAUUAGCUGAGCCUGGCUCGUAUUUUUGGGAUUCUUCAAAGAGAAUCCCCAUAUAUAAUAUAUCAGAGCUUGCGUUUGCGGAAAGCAAGAAAGAUGCAGGCCCAGGAAGCCAUAACCCAUAAAGCCUGGCUGUGUUUGUUGAGGGGUCAAUGAAAGGUGUCCUAAAAGGAGAAUCGUUCACCGUUAAAGAAUAUGUUAAGGGUUUGCAUUUCCUCCUCGAAUGGAAAGCAGAGUUGUGAUUGCUCACCAUUUCGAUAUUAAAACUAAUACAAGCAUUAUUUUUUCUUUCGGGCAUUUCAUACACAUAGGCGAUUCAAUUCAUUGUGUAUUUACUAAAUAAAAACCGAAUUUAGUAGGAAUUGGAAUGAGUUGGAAUUAAUAUGAGGAAUCAAAAUAAAAAUAAGUUGUUUACUUGAGUUAUAGGAAUUAAAAUCGGAAUAAACUGCAUCCCCAUUGAUGUAUUUACUAUAUCUUAGAAUCGGAAUUGACUAUUACAAGUUACUAAAAUAUCAUUUGUUAAUUGUUAUCCCUCGUAUUUUUUGUUAUAUAUUAUAAUAAUAACAAUAAUAAGAAUAAAAAUGAAAAUAACAAUAAUAAUAAUGAUGAUGAUGACAAUAACAUUAAUCAAAAUAAUAAAAUCAAUAAAUUUUAAUAAUAAUAAUGAAAAUGAAAUCAAAGACAAUGAUGAUGAUGUGAUGAUAAUAUUGACGACAAUGACGACAUUAAUGACAAUAAUAAUUAUUAUUAUUAAAAUAAUAAAUUUUUAAAAUUUUGUAAGGAAUUAAAUGCAAAAAUGACAGAAUUUGAUUGAGGGUAAUUUGAGGAUUAUAAAAAUUUAAUAGGUGUAAAAUGGGUAGUUCUAGGAUUCAAAGUUUGAUUCUUAAACCCCCUCUCGGGAAUGAAAUCAAUGAGAAUGAUUCUCAAAUUAGUGUGGUCCCAACAAUUUCGAUGUCUCUAUUUUGCAAAGUAAUAUCGGUCAACGAUUUAGAUUCCCUAAUCCUAGAAGUAAAUGCACCAUCAAUUUAAAUUACGAGUGGCAAAAUGAAUAAACAAAUUCAUAACAAAUCGAAUUGAAUAUGAAUUCGUUUACAAAAAUUAAAUAAAUAUUCCAGACCAUAAAAUUUUUCAUCUCAUUUAUAUAUUAUCUUAUUAUUAUUUAUAAUUACUAGAUUAACCUUCAAAUUUUAAAAAUUUUCAUAUAGAUUUAAGAAUAAAUAAGUAACUUAAUUAAACGAAUAAUAAACUAAUAGAUUAUAUUCGGUUAAUUUAUAACACAUUUAUUAAACGAAUCCUAAAUGAAAAAAACGAAUCAAUGUCUUCAAAUCUGGAUUCGAUUCGUUUAAUUAACGAAUUGAAUUGAAUUUACUCAUUUAUUAAACGAAUCAAUUUUUUCAAACUCAAACUCAUUUAAUUCACUUCGAAUUUAAUCGAAUAAACGAAUCAUAACCCAAAUUACCACUCUAAUUCAAAUGUCGAACAUAGAGCUAGAGAAGCAAAACCUUUUUAACUAGUAUGAAGAGAAACGCUUCCCCGCGGGUGAGAUUGUGCGUGACAUCAUCACUGGGGUAUUCGAUGGUCUCAUCGUGCCUUUUGCCCUCGCUGCUGAAUUAUCUGAAGCCAAUACCAUGUCAUCCAUUCUCCUCACUGCUGGCAUCGCUGAGGUGGCGGCAGGCAUCGUCAUUAUAUAUGUUGUGUGCUACAGCCAUCACUAUUAUGCUUUUGUUAUUAUUAUUUUUAUUAUUUGAUUUGCAUAAAACAAAAAAUUAAAAACAUAUAAUUAAGAGUAAUUAUAAACUUUUAAUUAAGACUCAAAUUAUAAUAUUUGAUCUAUAUGUGUAUAUGUAUGCAUAUAUGUAUCUAUGCAUGUAUGACAUGGGUAGUAAAUGUUAAUAUUAUGGGUGGGUAUCACGCAUAACUGUGCACUUAUUUUAAUUAAGGUAAUAUUGAUAAGUUUAUAAUGAAUAGUUGUCAACAAAUGAUUAAUGGAAAAUUGAUCACACUGAUUAACAAAUGAUUAUGAUAUGGAUGUAUGAUAAUGGAUUUUAUAAAUAAAACAAAAGAGUAUAAAUAUAUUUUUCAGGAUUUGCAAUUUAUGAAUGCAAAUGGGCCUCUGGAAACUGGUUGAGUUAGAGUUUGAUUUGGGCAUGAAGUUGGAAUCGCUAAUAAUCGCAGAUCAGCAUGCUCUGGUGAAUGCGUAUUCAGGCCCUAUACACACUGCCCGUAACACCCUAAGAACUUGGGUCUUUGAUCAGAACAAAAAAUAAAAUAAAAUACAAAGGGUAAAAACUUGUUCAAUCCCUAUUUUUUAAUUUUAGUGUUUGUUUAAUUUCUAUAUUUUUAAAAAUAUCUCAAAGCAUCCUUACCAUUAGAUUAUUGACACCCUUGCAAUGGCCUUUUGUUUAUUUUGAUCUAUUUUUACAAUAUUACCAUAUUACAAUAAUGUUUCUUUUUUUAGACAUUAUUAAAAAAAAUUAAAUUACCAAUUUAACACUAAAAAAUAAAAUAAAAUAAAAAAUAUUUAUUAAUUUUUGUGGAACACUCUCCUGAGAAAUUAAAAUAUUAAUUUUUCUAAAAGAACUGAUAAUCAAAUUUUUUAUAAUAUUAGUUUUUUUGGAUAUACGUGAGUUUUCAAAAAAAUUAAUAUAAACUUUUUUGGUUUUUAUUUUAUUUUUGGGUUUAAUUUGAUAAUCUAAUUUUUUUUAUUGAGUGGUGAUAUUUGACCCCCUCAUUAUAUCUCACUGACCCCCUCAUUAUAUAUCACUAACCCCCACUAAUUAAUACCUAUUUUAUCUUUAUAUGAAAUGACUCAAAAGGAUAAAUAAUUUUUAAGUACACCCACAUAAUAAUUUCUAUUAAUAAUUAAUAAAACUAGUCUAAUUCUUUAAACCCUAAUUUCUUUAAGCUUUUUAAUUUUUUUGGUGAGAAUUGAUUAAACCCUAAUUAUAAUGAUCAAUAAUAUUCUUAGCCAACAAUUGCUUUGUUAAACGUUCAGACAAAACAUCUUCAAACAAUCCUUGAGAAAUGGAAAUUCCCUACAGGCAUCAUAGAAGAAACAAAAAGCCAUAAGGAUAGUCCUUCUAUAUACAUGAUUAUUGGUUUAGCGGUAUUCAUUGUGAGUUACAAUAGCUGCUUUUGAACCUACUUCUACUUUGAUAGAUUCAUAAUGCAUGCUUAUUUAAGAAGUUUGGUCACUUUGGUGGUCAAAAUAAUUUCAAAUUAUUUUGGAGUUUUAAUAGAUAAAAUACCAUAAAUUUCAAAUUUUAUCGUAUAUAAUAUAAGAAAGAAAAACUAUGAAUAUUUUUAUGUGGGGUAAAUAUCUAUGGGUGAGUUUUGGGAUAGACAUGAAAAAUAAAUUAUAAAGCAAUGAUAUUUUUGACAUUAGUGAGUAAUUGACUUAAUUCAGAUUUCUCCAUUAAGUAAAAAGCCAAAAAAAAUUGGCUUAUUUUAUUAAGUCAAAAUUUCUAAAAAGUCUCAUUAAGUUAUAAAAACAAACAACUCUAAUUAACUUAAUUAAUUAAGUUAAGUCACUUUAAAUUAUUAAGUUAAAAAACAAAUGUCACCUAAGUUAACCUCUUUAUUUUUUUCAUUUGUUAUGUCUAUCAAUGUGAAUUGACCUUGGUAUAUUCAUUUUCUCAAAUCUUGGAAUUGAAAACUUACAAUCUCUAGAUUGUGGAACUUAAUUUUCCGUCGUAGAAACGAAAAGAACAACUUCACAAUUACAAGCACAUUCCCCAAAUUUUCCCAUUCAGAGCGAUCAAGCAUCUUCACUUUGCAUUGUUGUGAUAGGAGCCACUGGUGAGCCAGCAAAAAGGAAGAUAUUCCCAGCAUUAUUUGCUCUCUAUCACAGUGGCUUUCUUCCUGAAGUUGUACCACAAUUUCUAUAUCUUAUUAGGCCUCUUUGCCUUUUAUCUAGAGUUACUACAACUAGAGUCUUCUUUUUUCACCAAGCCUAUUGUUUUCAUUGUUGUAGUUACUAUGUAUUUACUUUUCUGGAUCAUUAAUCCAAUUAUGUUGUUAUAUGCAUCAAAACAUAUUUGACUUGCCUCUAAUAUGGCAAGGAAAAUGGGAUGUUUUGAUAAAUUGGAUGAAAGAUAUUGUUUUCAUCAAUAUUUUACAAUUUUCUAAACUUGUCCCUAAAAUAUUGGUGAAUUUCCAUUUUUUUAUUAUUUUUAUCAUUCCUGCCUGCAGAAUGCGGGAAUUGUUAGUUAUUCAAGAAAGACUUUGAUUGAUGAAGACUUGAGGUCCAUCACAGCUUCAGUUUUGAGUUGCCGCAUUGAUCAUCGGUAUGGUUCUCGUGCAGCCAUACAAAUUCAAGUUCCUACCAUUCAGUUUCUUAUUCUAAGUCCUUGAAUGAGUUAAAUUACCGUUCCUUAUAAUAUUUGAAUGCUUCGUGCACAAAUGCUAAAAGCUGCCUGAAUGAUUGUAAUUCAUGGCUGGCAGCUAUUUACAUGCUGAUGGUUCAUCUGUAAUACCCCAGUCCGAAAUCCAAGGGCAAAUAUGUCCACAACUCACAUAUGAUUUAAAUAACUCUUUACAAACAAUAAAAAUUCGAGCCUCAAAUACAAAAGGCAGCGGAAUAACUUAAAAAUUUAGCCAAACCAUCUACCAUCUUCAACUUGUCACUCAUCACAAAUCAAUCCUGACUUCUGAAAACUGAAUCACAAUAAACUAUAAUGAGUAUAAAACUCAGUAAGUAAACUAGUUUUUCUUAUACGAAAGUACAUAUAUACUUAUACAUAAUGCAGAUGGAUGAUAUGCUAUGAUCUUUUAGAAAUACUGUAAAAUAAUUUCAUAAAAAUCUCUUUCUGUCACUUUCAAACUUUUUCAUUUUCUUUUGAUGAAAUACAUAUUCUGCAAUUGUGUCACUUUGUGCUGUGCGUGGCACUUUGCACCAUGCGUGGCACUUUGCGGCGCUUUGGCCCUCAAGAGGUGGCCCCCGCAUAGUCCCAAGAGGUGGCCCCCAAUGCAAAAUCUCAUAAAACAGAAAUUCCGUUUGCUAAAAUCCACUUUCUCAUUCAUAGAGAACUCAAUGCAUUUUCGUGCUCAUGCCAAUGAACCAUCACACAUACAAAUGCCCAUGUACAUAAUCACGCCCAACACAUGCCAACACAUCACAUAAACAAAAACAAAUGGGCAGAGACAUCUAAAUACAUAUCCGUAUAUAUACCAAAAUAGGCUUUUCACACAAGUCAAACAUAUAUAUUGUUUAGUGUGAUUUGUUUUAAAGUCUAGUUUGCUUACCUCUUGGUAUCCUCAUGUAACAAAUGCGUACUGAUACCAUCAACCUAAAAUCAUCAAUAAAUUCUCAUAAGAUAUAAUCAAAUCUCAAUCAUAAACUCUAAUGUUCUCAAAUAUCUCAAUUUAAACAACUCCUAAGCUCAACCUCAAAUGUCCUCAAUAAUCGGCCCUCAAAACAUAACAGUUCAUACUUCUCCGAUUUUUAAUAAAUUAUUCUCCUAUUGGAAGAAUCUCAAAUUUUACAGACCAUAUGAUGACACAUUGAAAGUUCAUUGAUAAAAAUUUCAUAACAUAAUUCCUUCCAAAACGAUUGAAAAUAAUUCAUGGUUCAGACAUCAUCAAUAUUGUCAAACAGUUUUCUGUUUUGAACACACUUGCUUUAAAAAUACAAAACAAUUUAUUUCUUUAUCAUAAAAUCAUGAAAAUUUCCAGAAUCAUACUAAGACAUAUAUAAAAAUCAUUGGUCCAAAUUUCAUAAUUUUUGAAGAAGUCUAGAUAUGGUAGAAAUAAUUUCGUAAUUCACUGAAAUCAUAAAUUUCCAGGUUUUCAGACUUGAAUUUGAAAAAUCAUAAUUAAUUGAAAUCUUAUCCAAUUAACUUGAAACAAGUUUCAAAACAUAUUAGAUGAUGUCUAGUUUAACAUACCCAAAAAUCAGAAUCAAAAUCAAUUUGUACAAAUUACUAUGAUUUUCGUAAUAAUUCACUGUCAGCAUAUUUAUGUAAAAUCUUUGAUUUCUACUUCUAUUACAAUCAUGCUUCUCCACAACAAUUUAAUAGAAAUCAAUAAUUAAAACGUACCUCCAAAACUUCUCCCAACAAUAACAACUUGAUCCCAUGUGUUGGCUAUGGUAAAAACUAAGAAGAUUCUUCUUCUUCUUUUCUUUUCUUUCUUGUCUCUCCAUCUCUCUUUUUCAACCGAUCCCUUUUUUCCUCUCUCUUUUAUAAUGAAAAAGACAUCUUGUUCUAUUUAUACUAGGGUAAAAAUGAUCACUAAAAAUUAAAAAAGACUUAAAUACCCUUAGGAGAUUUGGGAUAUUACAUCAUCAAUUUAUGACUUUGGGAUUCUUUUGGCUACAUUCACCAAAGUUUUCAAAGAGGGGAAAAAAAAGAGAGGAAAGGGGUGGGUUAGCUACAUGUCACAUUCUGUUAGCUAGUUGCUUUGGGAGGGGGGGGGGGGGGGAUUUCUACUGAUUUAAAGGAAUUAUGAGUGUGUUUUUGGAAGGACCCUCAAGUAUGUCAACAUGUAACCAUUGCUUAUGGAAAGGGAUUUGCAUCUAGACAAGCAUUAGACUUUUGAAAAUGUGUUAAGUCGAAAUAAAUUCAACCAAGGCUCACGGUGUAAUCUGUCAGGUUAGUUUGAUUGUUGUAUAAUUGGAAUAGAAUGAAUUGAAGAAGUUUAAUAUGGCAUUUGUUCCUCAUGGUUCUAGCAUUUUUUCAGAGAAAACUAUGGGGACAAAAUGGAUGCCUUUCUCAGUAGAACAUAUUCUUUUAAUGGUGGCUAUGACAGCCAAGAAGGGAUGUUAAAGCUCAGCGCUUUGAUGGAGCAUAUCAAGGUGGGGUUGAUAAAAUCACAAAUCAUUGAUGUUUACAAGUAUCUAGCUUUAUCAUGCUUCCUAUUUUAUGCAACUUACUAGUAUUACCUGGAGCCUGGAGGAAAAAGGGUUAUAAUGGAACUAUUAGGCAUGAUCUUAAAAUUAUUGGCCUCAAAUUGUUGGGCUAUUAACCACUUACCUAAUAACUUAAGUUUUUUGUGUCUAGUGAUUUAUCUUACGGUACUUGAUGAAAGAUUAAUUUUUCUUCUAUUUUUUAAAUCAUAAUUAUAAAAGAUGAACUUAUGUGCUGUCUUUUACCCCUAAAGAUUUAUUAAAACCAAAGGAAAAAAAAAGAUAUUAAUAGUAGUAAUGUGUGAUAGUUAAUACUAUUUUGAUCAUAUUCAUAUCUUAGAGUGCAAAUCGCCGUAUUGCAUGAUAGUUUUAUUUGUUGUGUCGUUAGCUAUUACAAAAUAAUAUAUAAAUCUGGAACUAUAAUAUGACAAAACUUAUUAAUUAUACUCUUAUUUGUGACUUAUUAAAUGACUUUAUAGUAAUGAUUGUGUAUAGGUUGGUUUUUUGGAUUAAAUUCCUAAAAGAUAAUAGAUAAUAUAUUUUUCAUUGUUAAAAACACUUAAUUAUUAUUUCGUAAAAACAAGGAACAAGAAAGAAAUUACUGCGAAGAUAGUAUAUGAGAUAAUGUCGUAAGACUCAAUUCAUUUGUGUACAUUCUAGUUUAACCACACCAACUUCCUUUCUGUAUAAUUAAUAUUUCGUACUUUAAAAGUCAACUCUUUUUUGUCAUUUCUUUUCUCAAGUUACUUGAACUAAAAGUUAAAGCAUUUCAUUUAGACUAAGAGUAAUUAGCUAGAAGCAAAAUCAAUAUGGGUUGAUUUCAUUUAUCAAUAUUCAAGCUGGAUGCUUUCAAUAAUUGAUUUUUCAACAGCUCACCUACCUCGGCGGGAUCUGAAGCAAACAGGAUAUUUUACCAAUCUGUGCCACAAGAAGCACUUCUGGAUGUUGCAGCCACUCUUGCCAUUAGUGCCCAAACCCAGAAGGGCUGAAACCGUAUAAUAAUUGAGAAACCUUUUGGGUUUUAUGAACUGUCUUCUCAUCAGCUGAAAACGCUCUUCUUUCCAAGUUCCAGGAAGAGCAACUAUACAGGUGAGUAAGCACAUUAGUUAUACUAAUCUAUUUGUGUGCAUGCAUUCAGUUUUAACUUUCUUAGUUCUCCAAUUUUUCAGGAUAGAUCAUCUUCUAGGGUGGAAUCUCAUUGAGAACCUUACAGUAUUAAGGUUCUGUCUUCUAAUUUUUGAGCUAUUAUGGAGCCAAACAUACAUCCACAGUAUACCUGUAAUUUUGUUCUUUUUUUUUUUUUCCUUCUAAAUGCAAUGACAUUCACUUGUGCAACUAAUGAUAGCCACUACUUGUUUGAAUUUUCAUACAAGUCAUUUUGUCAGAAGAGAUGGGUGUGCAGUCUGGAAGGUACUAAAUACAAAUAAUUCAUUUUAUCUUCAUUAAAAAUGCCAAUUAUCUUAUCCUUAUGUCAUUAUACGGUAUCAAUAUCAUGUUGUGUAUUUUUUUGGUUAUGUGAGGCAUUUUGAUGGUUAUGGGAUCAUCCAAGGCAUAGUGCACAAUCAUAUACUCCAAACUAUAGCAUUGCUUGCAAUGGAGCCCCUAUAAAUCUCAACGGUGAAGAUAUACGGAGCGAAAAGGUACCUUGUCUUUCUGCAAGAUGAUCUAUUUUAUUCAAAAUCAAUUUGGUUAUUUUUUUGCGUGUAAUGCGCAAGUAAGAUUGUAGUUGAUCCUAGCCUUGUGUUGGGGUGAUUGGGUAUACUUUUGUAUGGCACAAAUAGUCCAAGUUUUUAUUCUCUUAGUGGAUAGCCAGUCCGUUAUGUGUUUUAAGUCUCCUUUACUAAUACAUUCUUGAGUUUCUUAUAAAUAAAAAAAAAAAGAUGCGGAAGCAAGAUUAGAAAGCACUGGUAAUCUAUUUCCACUGUCCUGCGGCAGUGAAGUUAAGGAGUAUACUUGCUAAAUUGCUAACUUUUUGUGUAUGCCCCUUACUUCAUGUGUCUUAUUGAAUCUGGAGAAAGGUAGAAAGGCACUAAUUUAUCAAGUUGUAGCUUAUGUGAAUGUGAUUGUAAAAACAAAAAAUGAGUUUACAAAAUCCUUAGGAAGAAGUUAAUAUUUCUUAUGAGAUAAUGCUCAAAUUUUUGUAUCCAUGUGAGCAUAAUUUUAAUAGAACUUCAUGGUUUUUCAACCAAAAAAGUUGUGGGGCUGCAUGCAAAUGAUUUUGCUUUUGCAGAGUCUAUUUUAUAUAGCCUAAUUCUAAUGAAAGUUUUGUAGAAGGUUUUAUAUAUAUAUAUAUUUUUUUUUUGUGAGGAAGGACAUCUAGUCCACCUUUCUCUAAAAAGUUCUUUUAUACUAAUAAAUAUUCUGUUUCUAAGCCUGCUUCCUCAAAAGUGAAAAAUGAGUACAACAAAAUUUGAUUGCAAGUGGUCAUGUUGAUAAGAAGCUCAUUCAUUUCAGGUCAAAGUUUUGAGGUCAAUCUGCAGAUUGGAGCCAUGCAAUGUCAUUCUUGGCCAUUAUAAAGAUACUUCUGGUGACAAGGUUGAUGUUAAAUUAAACAGCCGGACCCCCACAUAUUUUGCUGCUGCAUUAUACAUUGGCAAUGCACGUUGGGAUGGCGUGCCUUUUGUAAUAAAAGCUAGCAUGGGACUAAUCAAACAUAGGUAAUAGCUAUUUUAGUUUUGCUGUUUAUGCCUUAAUAGACAUUUUCGUGGUUUGUACAUUGCCAGAUUAUGAUAGGAACCUAGAGCACACCCUUAAAAAGAUGGCUUGUGAGGUAAGUGUAACCCUUAGCUUAUAUUCCCAUUCAGAUUUACAGCUUACAAUAUUUCUAAAAACAUAAAAUUAAGAAACGAAUUCAAGAGAGGAAAUUAUGACAUUAACCUAUCAGUCUCUCUUGUUACAAUUCCAAGAACAUUACAAACAAGAAUUCUUCAGUGGAUUAAGUGUGCAAUACCUAAAAUAGGUACCACUUGAAACGACCAGCCCCGAAUCCCCCCAGGCGAGUCUAUUUAGUAUCAUCAAAACGGACUUGAUAAUAAUUCUAUUCGUAAAGAUUCUGCCGAAAAUUCGAUAAAGUCUCCCUUAUAUAUAUAACACUCCCAAUCUACAAAUGUGAAUAUAACACUCCCAAUGCAAUUCAAUAUACAACAAACUCCAGUAUUCAACAUCCUCAACCAAAAUGCUAAGUUUUAUAUCUCCAGAGUCUCAAAAGAUAAUAUUAUAACUAAUAUUAGUAUCUCAAUGUAUUUUUAAUCCCAAAAGAUAACAAAAAUAUACAAUCCCAAAAAAAAAAUGACCAAAUGUCCUAACAAAAACAUUUAUAUUUUCUAACACCAUCACGUGACAAAGACUCAAAAUAUAUUUACAAUCGCUGGAUUGAUUUGGUGUACCUGCAACCUCCUAGUGAAGGGGGAAAAAUAUAAUAAAAACGAAAUGAGUUUAAAACUCAGUGAGAUCAGUGAAUGGAUAGUAAUUUUGAAAAUUAAUUCCUACUUUAAAAGAAAUAAUCAUAUCAUUUCCAAACACGAUUUCAUUAAACUAUAAGCCAGAAACCAGUAAUAAAUCAUUAAGCAAUUAAGUCAGAUUACUAACCAUGGAAAUCAUAUCACAAUAUCAUAUAGAAUUCACAAAUCUGAAAAUCAUCACCAAACAAGUAUCUAGGAAAAUAAUCUCGUCAUAUCCGGACCUCAACGGACGGGCAAUGACGUACUAUCUGGGUACAUCACGCCCCAGAGCUACACGAAUAGAUAGGGAAAUACCAUCUCAUAUCUCAUCAUAUCUGUGCAUGCAUAAUCUAGUUCCCAAGGGACGAAAGCGCCCAAGCACACGGGCCAAAACCUCUAUGUGUAUCAGACGGGCCCCAAAGACCUCUCAUCUCAUAUCAUCUGUAUCACUGUAUCUGGAGAAGAAGGGUACUAUCUAAUGAUUUCAAAAACAAUCAUUAUACUCAUAUUCACAUACCUCUUAACCAUAUUUUAAAUCAUACCACAUUUGAAUCAACUUUUCUUAUCUUUAAAAUACUAUCAUGCUUUAUUCAAAAUCGAUACGCAAAAUCAUUAACCAAACAUUUCGAGAAAUCAUUAAAUCAGAACAUGUAAAAUACUUAUUUCGCAAAUAUGCUUUACUAUUAUAAUUAACUAUAAAAAUAAGUUUUGUAUAUUCCACUCACAGUGACGGUGUUCACGGUCAGUUAUCGUCCACGUCCGCGGACCGAUUCUCGCUCGCGGAUCCUCCUAAAUCAAGGAAACGACAUAAUUAUUUUCCGUAAAUCGAAAUUACGACUAUAUUUAUGCAAUAAACUCGAAACGAAUAUUUAUCCCUAAUUUACAACUCUCGUGUCUAUAAAAUUAUUAAAAUACCCUUGACUCCGUAGAUCAUUAACAUGUUCUGAAAUCAUAAAUCACUGAAUUACCCUCGAAAUCGUAAUUACACCCAAUCCUCAAUUCUAGGAAUUACUACAAUAUCCACAGGCUCAGAAAUUACAAAAUGCCCUUACCGGUCAACGGUCACCGGAAUUUGGACAAUACUGGCUAGGAAGCUCAAAUCUUAAAGUUCCAAUCACGCUGAGUUCAAUGAUACCGGCAGUGAGCUCCAACGUGCGGCAACGACGCCGGAAUCUAGCUCGGCAACCGUGAAUUCCAACAAUCGACCGGCGGCAAAACAGUGACUCUCGGUGCCUAUGGAUGGUCGGAUAUGGAAGAGGGAGUCGUGAGGAACAAACUCCAACCGGUGGUGUCACCCAAAACCGGCGAAAAUCCCGGCGGAGCAAAGUGAAACAGUCGCCGGUUUCAAGCUUCGAUCGCCGGCGUUCCGGUUGGUUUUCGGCGACGAGGAUGGAAGGGAAUGACGGUCGGCUUCUAAGCUUCAGAUUGGUACCAAGCUCGGCCGAAACGGUGGCCGGAAAUGGGAGAUAUGGCCGGGUCAAGGUCGCGGGUUCCGGGUCGGGUUUUUGGGUCAGUUGAUAGCUUCUGUUACUCCUACACAUGUGUGUAUAUGUUCCCUGUUUCUAGCUUAUUCUAUUCUUUUGCUUAUACAAUCCUCAACCGCCAAAAUCCGUAACCGCCUCUUUUUUUUUUUUUUUUAAAAUUCACGUAUGUUACACCACUACUCAUUUUUUCCGGAUAACCAUCACUUUGUAUCAUGCAUAAACAAUUAAAUUAUGCAUGUAACAUAACCAACUGCUGGUAUAAUCGAGUGAACAUGAUUUUUUUUUUCUCAACUUGUACAACACACUGGUAAUAGAUUUUUUUUGCUCAAGUGCAACCAACAACUUAGAUAAGCAUCACUUGUGUAGGUUUCAUCCUGUCAGUUGUUCCGACAAUUCGUAGACAUCUCCAAGUCUUUGACGUAUUGAUUUUUCAUAUGGAUCUCAUUCCAUGGCAAUUAAAAUUACAUAAUAAAUAAAUGCAUGUUCAUUACACACUGAGGAUUUAAAUUGAUUAAGUUUAUUAAACUUGUGCAAAUUAUUAUUAUCAUUGAUUUAUGGCCUAAUUCACGUAGUCUAGUUCAAUGCUUCAUAACUUUUAUAAUUGUUCUCUUCACUUCAACGAUCAAGAUAAUGCACUAACUAUGGAAGUGAAAAGGCUGUAAUCUUGUAAAAUGAAAUGCCCAUCUCAUUACUGACUGAACAAUCUUUUAUUUAUUAAACACUUGUAAUUCAUAGAUUUUUGUAUAAAGAGCCAAAACUAAUGAUUGUCGUCUCUAAGAGUUAAGACGGAGUUGGCUUAAACCAACAUUUCUUUCGGAAUAUGGGAUGUGCUCACCAACGUUAGCCAUAUAAUGUAGAGUGGAGAUACAUAUACAGUUUCGACAUGUUCCAGGGAAUAACUAUCAUGAAAGUUUUGGGCAUAACAUCGACCUUGCCACAAAUGAACUAAUAUUACACGAUGUGCUUGAUGAGGCCAUUCCAGUCAGAGUCAACAAUAAAAGUUCCAGGAUUAGGCUUUCAAUUGGAUGCUUCGGAGAUUAAUUUGCUCUAUAAGACACUUCAGUUUAUGGAACUUGUUCUGUUUCUGCUUGUCUUUUGUGUUCAUAUCCUUCACGUGCUUGUCUUUUAUGUUGAUACUACAGGUAUAACGUGGAGGUGCCUGAUUCAUACGAACAUCUUCUUCUUGAUGUUGUCAAUGGCGACAACCAUCUCUUCAUGAGAAGCGAUGAGCUUACUGCUGCAUGGAAUAUUUUAAACCCAGUUUUACAGGAAUAGACAAGAACAAUAUUGCACCAUAACUAUACGAGCUGGGUGGUAGAGGUCCCGUUGGAGUGUAUUAUCUUUGGUUGAAACAUGGGGUUCAUUAGACUGAAGAUUAGAAGCAACACUUGUUAUAGGGUAAUGUUGCCAAUCUUUCCACAACUAAGACAAAUACAUGAUAGCUUUGUACAUGUAAAUUGUGUGAAAUUAGGCUUGAGAAAUGCCAAUCCGGAUUCAGAGGGUAAUUCUCAAGAGCAUAAACCCCUAAUUGAAAUUGGAUUUUUCUUGUAGGUGAUUUGGGUCAUGCUAAAAAACGAUGUGCUGAGACUUAGUUUAAGAUAACGGGUAGCAUGCAUCUGAGUCAAAAAGUACCUUAAAUUUCAUUUUCUAAUGAACAAAUGAUUUAUGGGAAUUUGCUUAUUUUAAUAUGAAGAUUUGUGUAUGGUUAUUUGUUAGGUGUGAUCAAAGAGUAAGCUUUUGCUAGAUUGUACAUAAAUUGUUGAUGAUGAUGGAUAUCCGUUGGUGGUUUUGAGUGAAUGUGUCUGAUCCUAGAUUCUCUUUGGGUAUUGACAGGGGGGAGGAUACAAAAAAAGAAAGUUACUGAAAUAAAUUUACACGAUAUUUUUUAAAUUGUAGGAGACUUGUAGAGGUUCUUCUCAAGCAUGCUUUUUGGUGAGUGAAUUUGAUACCACUGAAGUGUAAUUUUGUGGGUAUGUAUAAGAUUGCGUGCAUGGUCUUUGCCUUUGUCAUCUCUUUGUUUUCUCACUUCAAAUGCUUAUCAUGAAUCUCAGGAGAGCUUGCAUUUUGCUAACCUGGAGUGAACAAUUUUAUUUUAUCUGGUCCCUUAUUUAUACAUCUGCUCAAUUGACCUCCCCUAUAGCCGUGAAAGCAUCCGUGCUUCUGUGUUAUGUACAGAAUAAUAUUCUACUUUGGAGUAGGAAUUGCAUAAUGUUGUUGAUUCAAGAAUUUUCACCGCAUUUCAGAACUUCGUAUGCAGAAUGCUCUAGAAAAUUGCAUAUCAAACGGAGUUUAAAAGAUUGAACUAACACAAAGAAAUUCCAUUGAAAGCUUAUGCCGAUCUUUUUUUUUUUUUCCUCAACUGAAGUUUUAUUCUUAUUGACUUAUGAAAUGAGAAAAUUUUAUCGAUUAAAAAUAUUAUCGUGGAUUGAACAAAAAUACCAAUUCAAGAAAGCUAACAUUGUUAACAGCUAUUACAUAAUCAAUCAACACUGUCAUUUAAAAAAAAAAAAAAAGUCCUAUCACGUUACCCUUUAAUAAAUAAAAUAAUUUCACGUACUUCCACUGAAUAUAAUCAAUGAAAAAAAUAAUUUAAGACCACACCAGAUAGUAUGAGACUUAAAAACAAAAGCCUCAAGUCCUUAACCAUAUGGAAGAUUUUUAAUUUUUAAUCACAAUAUAAUUAAUACCGACGCAUAAGAGAAAUGACAGAUUAAGAUUUAAAAAAAAAAAAUUUUAAGCUUAACACACCAAACAAUGUAAACACAAUUAACUCAAUAGCAAAAAAGUCACUUACAACAAAAUUUAAAACGUAACCCAGCAAAUAGGAGAAGACUUAAGAACAAAAGCCUUAAUCUAUUUUAUAGAGGACUUUUAAUUUUUAAUCUCAAGACGAGUAAUUCAACAGAAGAAAAGUCAGUUACAAUAAAGCGCAUCAUGGAAUCCCUGAUAGAAACUUAAGUGUUUAUGUUUGGCAGUCGAGAAUGCUAAAGAAAAUGAAAGAAAAUCUCUUUCUGGAAACUUAUAGAAUAUUCACAUUAAUAUCAUGAGCUUGUUACAGUUCGUUAGCUAAUUUGUUACACACACGUGAGAGCUAACCCAAAUAACUAACUAAUCCACGUCGUCAGCUUAAGUGAGCUGAUUAGCUGCUGUCAAGAGCACAAUAACAGCAUGUACACGAUUUCUCUGUUCCUUCUCAUUUAAUCAGUUUCACUAACAUCAUCCCUCCUUGAACACUGGAGUUUCUUCUUCUCUUAUUACUUCUUUCCUCUCCUCUUCUUACUUUAUCAACUUCACUGACAAUCCCAAACAUAAUUUUAUUCUUUUAUUGAUAAAGUCAGUUCAUAUUACAAUUAAAUUACAGGUUGGAAAAAAAAAACAGAAAUUAUGAUUACACAAUCUAAUUGAUGGGUCUUCCUUCAAAAGGCGAUCUGCCAUUAAUUUCGACACGAGGUAUAUGGGAAAUCAUGGGCCAAUAUUUUCCUUCAUCCUUUCUGCACCUUUCUUCUAUCAACGGGCAAUCAUGGAUGGUUAGUAGCGAAAGUGAUUUAGGCAGGCCCUGCUCUGAAAAGUAUUUGAGCUUCGGACAAUUAUCGAGAUCCAGAGUUUCCAAUGAAGUUAGGUUUUCACCAACUGAGGAUAGGCGUUUCAGAUCUGGCAUAUCUGAAAUCUUUAAGCCGGUUAGAGAGGCAGGAAACGGCGGAGAUGACACCAGGUCUGGACAUCCUCCCCGGAUUUUGAAUCGCCUGAGAGAGAUGAAUCUGUUGAAUCCCCACUCGAGCAAUGACUUUGUUAUCUUCAGACCUCCAACCCCAAGAGAUUGGAGGUUGGUGGGAAAACCAUCCUCUGGGAAUGAUACCACGCUAGGACACUCACUUAUUUCUAAAUUUAGAAGAGAGGUGAGAUUGUGCAUGCAGUUGGGUAAGGCCUUCAGAUUCUCACAUUUCCUUAUACUGAGCUCAGUCAGUUUCGUAGAAGGCAAUCCUUCUUUAGGAAAUGACUCAAGAUUUGGACAAUUUAAUAUCCAAAUCUUUUGAAGAUGGUGGAGAUUAUGCAAACCGGCAGGUAAUGAUUUAAGAUUUUCAAGGCUGUAAAUAAGAAUUUUUUCAAGGGAUGUGUUGUCCAACCUUUCUGCUAACGACUCCAGCUUUGAACAGUCUCCGACAUCAAGGUACUUAAGAGACUGAGGUAGAUUUCCAUUCCGUGACAAGAAAGCAAGAUUCGAGCAAGAACUGACCCCAAGGUGCUCCAGCGUGGCAGGUAACUCGUUGUGCAUCCAUGCCUCGGGUAAGGAUUCCAAAGCAUCGCAUUUUGCAAUUACAACUGAUCUCAACUGGGAAGGCAGAGCAACCUCUGGAAAUGAAACAAAUGAAUUACAACUCCAAAUCCCCAAACUCUCAAGAGAUGAAUUGGAGUUGUGCAUCCAUGCCCCAGGUAAGGAUUCCAAAGCAUUGCAUCCUUCUAUUAUAACUGAUCUCAACUGGGAAGGCAGAGCAACCUCUGGAAAUGAAACAAGUGAAUUACAACUCCGAAUCUCCAAACUCUCAAGAGAUGAAUUGGAGUUGUGCAUCCAUGCCUCAGGUAAGGAUUUCAAAGCAUUGCAUUCUUGAAUUCUAACUGUUCUCAACUGAGAAGGCAGAGCAACCUCUGGAAAUGAAACAAGUGAAGUGCAGCCAUGUAUCCACAUCUCUGUAAGGGAACUAAGUGUGAGCAAUGCUUGUAGUAGCCUUGUAAGGCCUUCGCAAUAACUCAAUUUCAAAAAUUGAAGCCUACACGGCGACUCUGGCUGUUGCUGGUCAUGUUCUUCCUCUGUUACUAAGGAAAGCAGUUGGGGACAUCUUGAAAUCUGCAACCGAUUAAGGGAUCUAAUGCUUUGCGGCAACCGAGUUUCACUCCGCCAAAAAUAUGCCUGCUCUCGAACAUUAACUGCAUGCACUAAAUGUGGGCUGCUGAACACCACCCUUUUACAUCCAUCGAUUUGUAAUUCACUGAGAGCUGGAAGACAUUGAAUUGUCACUACCAACUGAUAACAACUUCUGAUGACGAGCGUCUCCAAUAAAAGAAGACGUUUGGGCAAUGUUCCUCGAAGUUUACGACAUUUGACAAGAGAAAGCUUUCGCAGCUUAGGAAACACUUCAUCAACUUCUUGACCAGCUCCGCAAGGUAUCCACUCUUCCCAUUCUCUCAUAUCAGAAAAGGAAAGGGUCUCCAGUAAUGGAAAGGGCACUGAGCAACUGUUUCCAUAAAACUCCGACCCCACGCUCGCUACUCCGUCCAUUCCACUUAUAUCAAGUUCCUUUAGAAAUGGUAGUUGCCCUACCGAUGGCAAAGAUGUGGACAUGCACCGACGUAAUUCUAGACGCGCCAAUUUUGAGAAAGAGGAAUCUCCUAGCCAACUUGGAAAUUUUGUACCACCAUAGCCUGUGAUGGUGAGCUCUUGUACAUCUCGAUGUGAUUUUAGCAUGCGAAGAACAUCUGCUUCAAAUUCACACCGUUCAGAUCGUGCACUCCAUUCGAGCGAUAAAGCUUCAAGAUUCACCUUGUUGUUUAACUGAGCCUCACUGGCAUCGCCAACAUCUUUCACAUUCUCCAACUUCGAAAUUUUCAGUCUCCCCUGAAGAUGCGUCAAAGACUUUAACUCUCGUAGCCCAGAACCACUGUCUUUUCCCACAGCAAAUCUACCCAGCGUCAAGAGACAAGUCAUUUUACCGAAUCCCUUCGGCAUUUCCUCCAAUAAAUAGGCAUCAGAAUUUCUUAGAUGACGCAGUUUCGUCAGGUUUCCCAUGUCUUUAAACAACUUCUUGAGCUGAUGACAGCCUUCCAACAAAAUUGUAUGCAAGUUGUACAAUGAAUUAAUUGACUCGGGCAAAAUUUGAAUCCUCGUUCUGGAUAAGUUAAGACAGCGUAAAUGCUUCAAGUUUCCAAUUUCAUUUGGUAGGUUGAAGAUGUUACAGUACCCGCGCAGAGAAAAGACCCUUAAGCGUGGGAGAUGAUUCAGCAACAUCUGAAGAACACUCCAAGCCAAAUAAUUGUGCCUGUAAUCUGACAAAUUUACUGGUAAAAAGGUUCGCAAAUGUUGCACGUCACAGAUGAACUCCAACCUAGUGUCGCCAUCAUAUCGUCCACAAAUGUACGAAAAAUGACGAAGACUUUGAGAAAACUUUUGUCGGUUUUCACCUGCUAAUGUAUCCUCCAUUCUGAAGUAUUGCUCCCCUGCAGCCCAUCGAGCAAGGUCAUUGAUUAGAUCAUGCAUCAAAACUCGGGACGCAUCUUUCCUUGACUGUUGAAAUAAUGACCUUGAAUGUAACUCCCGAACGAACUCGCGGCCCAAAUCUUCCAUUUUCCUUCCAUUGUAUUCUUGAUCCAAGAACCCUUCAGCCGUCCACAAUAAAAUUAUCUCCUCAUCUUGAAAUUCAUAAUCUUUUGGAAACAAUGAGCAGUAUGCGAAGCACUGUUUCAACUGUGAAGGAAGAAAAUGGUAGCUCACUCUUAGGGCUGGUAAAAUAUCACUAUCUCGUAAAUUCCAGAUGUCAGUCUUGAGCACAAAUUCCCAGUCUCUUGGGUCAUCUCUGCCGCGUAAAAGGCCGCCAAGAGUUUUUGCGGCCAAAGGUAAUCCUCCGCACUUUUUCACUAUCUGCUCUCCAACUUCCUUCAAGGAUUGGUGCCUGGUGAAAUCCGUAGCCCCCAAGGAGAUUUGAGUGAGCACACACAAACAAUCAUCAUCUGACAACCUUUUCAAUGGAUACUCUGGAUCAGCCCCCAUUCUUUUUGCAACGUCUAGAUUGCGAGUUGUGACAACAAUCUUACUUCCGGGUGCGCCAGCUCCAAAGGGACAGCUUAGAAUGCUCCAAUAAUUGUAAUUCUCGUUCCACACGUCAUCCAAAACGAGCAAAAAUUUAUUUCCGGACAAUUGCUUCUUCAGUUUCUCUUGAAGCAAAUUUAAAUCAUCUUUGUCCUUACACUGAUCACUAGCAAUGGAAUUUAGGAUAGAUUUUGAAACCCUAAAAACAUCAAAAUCGUCAGAGACACAAGUCCACGCUUUGAUCUGAAAAUGACGUUUCACUCGAUCAUCGUCAUAGACAAGCUGAGCAAGAGUCGUCUUCCCGACGCCGCCCAUUCCAUUUAUAGAAAUAACAGAGAAUCCAUCAUCUGCUCUUAAAUCAUCAUUCAACAACAAUUCAAUAAUCUCGUUCUUCUCUUUUUCCCUGCCAUAUACUUCGGCUUUGUUCACCAAAGAUGUUGUGGGUGGUAUUUGCCUGACAUUUCUAGACUUCCCAUCUGAAUUUUCAUUUUUCAGAUUCAGCAGGUCUUUUUGCGUUGUAGUAAUAUCUUGCAACCGAUCAGUGAUCCCCUUUAUUUUCGACACCAUCUUGGUUUCAAACUGAAUAGAUCGAGGACAAAAGUUGGUGCAGCAGGUGGGAAUGAGCUUCCGAAACUUACUUGUGUUUGCACUCGAACUGGGUUGAUCAGCAGCAGCUGGUUCGUGAAGCAGCAACUCCCUCCGCAGAGCUUCAGUUUCGAACUCAUCCAACACGUCUUGAACAUCAUAAGCCAAGUUCUGAAGAUUGUCGAGCCACAUCUUAACCGACUUGUCAUUUGUCUGCCUAUCCUCAGCAUCAGCAAGCACUGCCUGAAUCAUCUCCAACUUAUUCUUCCACUCGAUGAAAUCAGCCUUCAACUUCUUAUGCCGUGUCAACAGUUCAAGUCCCUUUGAAGCCAGCUUUUUUAUCAGCGACUCCACUGACGCACUGAGCACCGCCUCUCCGAUGAAUGACAUUUUGUUUUUCUUUUCUUUUUGGUUGAAAGAAACUGAAUAAAUUAUGAAAAAUGAAGAUGAAAAAAUCUGCAGAAAGUGGACAAAGUCUGGUAUAUGAUUUUGGUUUGUAGAGAGUAAAGCAACCAAGAGAGGGUAAUGUGAACUGUAUGCCUCAUAUGUCAAGAAAAACAAGCCUUUCCCAAUGCUGUCGAAUCUAAUUCUUUUUUUUUUUUUUCAAAUUUCAACAUUCUUUACUUGUUAGUCUCCUUAUUCUUUAAUUUUCAGGUGAUUCUUGUUCUUGUUCUUGCUAAAGCAUCAAGCAAGUUAUAGCUUCUGAUUCUGAUCAAUGCCGAACAUUAACAUACGUGCCAAUAAUCUAUUAAUGAAAUUUUUUUAAUUUUAUAAUCAAAAUGAAGAUUUCGUACUUGCAAUUUUGUAUGAUGGCCAUGUGGAACUGAAUUAUGAUCAAGCAUCAUUUGUUGACAGACAAAAAAUGAAAUAACAACAAUGCGUUAUUAUUAUUAUUAUUAUUAUUUUUUGUGAUUUGGGGUAUCUGCUUUUAUAAAAGCUUAUUGGUAUUCUUUCAUUUAAGUUUUUGCUUUAUCUUUAUUAAUUAGGCAUCUUACAAAGCUUUCUCUCUAUCCACGGCAAUCCCAUUUUGAUGGCCUAAAGGAUAUUGUUUUAUAAAAAUAUUGUUUUCCAAUUUUUUAAUAGGAAAAAACCACCUACACAUCUAAAGUCUGCUUAAAUGGUUAUACAGAUCCCCUUAAUUUCAUAAAUGGUCACUUUUAGUUAUUAUACCCUUCAAUUACAGCAACCUAGUAAUUGGCUUUAACUAAACUUCUUUAAUAAAUAUAAAUUAAAAUUAAAAUAUUAUAACAAAUAAUAUAGGAUAAAAUUUAUAAAUUAUUUUGAAUAUUAGAAAAAUAACUUUAACAUUAUUGAUAUGUCAUAUACUUUUAAUAAUAAUAAUAAAAUCUACUUGAUAAAUUAAUAAUAUUAAAAUAAUUAUAAAGAACAUUCACAGUAAUUUACAAAAUUUAUUUUAUUUUAUUUACAAUUUUUUUUAAGUGUGUCCAUAUUAGUAUAAAUUUUAAAGUUAAUUUUUGGAUUAAUAGAUUUUAGUAUUAAUAAAAUUCAUUAGAAUGGCUAAUAAUAGCUUAAUAUUAAAAAUAAUUUUCAUAUACAUUAUUUUAUUAAUUAUACUUAUUGUAAUAGUUUAUUCCUAUCAUAUUUUAUUUAUUUAUUGUUUUUAUCUUAUUACUGAAUUUAUAUUUAUUUGGAUUAUUAUAAUAAAAAGGUAUAGUAGUAAAAAAAUGAUUUGUACAAUCAUUUAAACAAAUCUUGGGAGCGUGGCUGACAUUUUUCCUUUUAAAUAAGAAAAGUAUAUAUUGAACCAAUCAUUGCCCUCUAUUUUUACUCCAGCUCAUGUGACCUGGGCGCCAAGUAUAUUCACGACCAGAUGAGUUGCGUCCUAGGGCCAAAUUCAAGUUUAAAAACCAGCAUUAAUAUGAAAAAUGAAUUGAACUAUUAGAAAAUUAACCAAAAUUAUUCUUUUACUUUCUUAAUACUAAAUAGUAAAAUUGCAUUUUCAAUAUCUAUGUUUUUUUUUUACAUUUUUCCUUUCUCUCUUUGUUGGCAAAUACUCUGGAAGACAUUCAUGGUUUUCAUUGAAAUAUACUCAGGUGACUGCGCGUGCAAAGUGUAUUCACGGUUGGCUAAGUAUGUCCUGGGGCUGUAAACUCAAGUUCAAAAACCAGCACUAAGAUAAAAAAUGAAUUUGAAGCAUUUGGAAAUUAACUAAAUUAUUUCUAUUUCACUACUAAAUACUAAACUAUUCUUUUUCCUUUUUUCCUUUAACAAAAAUCACUCUAUAAGACAUCCACGAUUUACUAUGUGUAUUUUAAAUUCUUUUUACAUCAAUAUAUACUUUGGCUUAUUUUCAGGUUGGAGUUGGACUCCUUGUAGUGUAGUGAAUAUUUCAUACUGUGAAAAGAUAAAAGAAAUCAUAAAACAAAUUGGUCAAGAAGUAAAGAGGAUUUACACUGUUUUUAAUGAAACAAAACUUUGGGAACUUAACUACUUAGCAAGGUUCACAAUCCUUUGUUGGGAAAAUCACCCUUUUGAAUGGAAUGAGUUCAUGUGACACAUUGUCUCAGUACGAGGUCUUUUUCUUAGGGAGUCUUAUGCACACCAAAGCUAUGCAAAAUGCAAGCUAAGAGACUAAAAAAAGUUGGAUUCUUAUUGGAUCUAGCGCCAGAUUUGAUUUAUGUGUUUCAAUUAUAGCUUAUUUGAUUAAUGUAUUUUCAAUUAUAGCUUUUUAAGUUGAUUAAGGUAAUUUGGGUUACUUCGGCAAAUGAAACCCAAUUUGGAAAUUAAAGGUCGAUCAAUGAUCAUUAAUCUUGUCCAUUAAUUAAAUAUGCUUGGAAGGACUGUGGCAAAGCGUAAAUCAAGUCAUUAUUGAUCUUUCUUUUAUGAUGGCACUUUAGUUUCUCCAUUCUACAAAAUUCUCUUUUUGUGAUUUUGGGCAUCUGUUUUUUUAUAAAAGUAUGCAUUAGUCCUCAUUCAUUUAAGCUUUUGGUUUAUCUUUAUUAACUUUUGCCAUCUCUCAGAGGCUCAAAGCUUUUCCCUACUAAUUAAGCUCGGUCAAGAUUUUAUCUAUUCACUCACAGAGAAUGCAAAAUGUACAUUUCAAAAUUGUUAAAGCAGAAAUGAUAUUUUAUGUAAUAUAUGUAAACGUUUUCUAUGAGCAAUGAAUUUGCUUUCUUCAACUUUUAAAAUAUUUUUUCCGAUCCAUUUCUUGUAUCACUCUGCAUGCUUUAUUGAAGCUGUUUUUGGCCUUGAUUUUGAAUUUCAAAAUCCUAAUUUAUUUAUUUAUUCAUCUUUACAAGUUCUGCUCUUCCAUAAUUGAAAAAUAAGCUACUAAGCCACUUAGCUUUACCAUAUAUCCAUUCUAAGCAUAUUCUUUCCUCAUUCAUUCGAGUUUUUACUUUAUCGUUAUUAAUUAGGCAUCUUACAAAGCUUCUCGCCUAGUAAAUGAGCUCUGUCAAGAUUCUUCACACGAUAUAAGUAAUGUAUAUGCCAAAGUUGUUUAAGCAGAAAUGGCAUUUCUUCUCGAAAAAUUUAUUAUUUCUUUAGAACAUAUGUAAAAGUUUUAUAAAAGCAAAUGCUUAAUUUCUUCAACUUUAAGAUAUUUUGUCCGAUCCAUUUCUUGUAUCACUCUUAAUAAUUUAUUUAAGCUUGUUUUGUCUUGAUUUUGAAUUUCAAAAUCUUAAUUUAUUGAUCAUUACAAGCUCUUUUCUUCCAUAAAUUGAAGAAUAAGCUACGCCACUUAGCUUUACUAUAUAUCAAUUCUUUAUAUAUGCUCUAAAAUAAACCCUAAGAUAGGAUCAUGCAGUAAUACAAUUUAGAAAAUUGGAAUCUCAUGAUAUUCACACCAAUAAGACAUAUAAAAAUAGUGUAUAUUUCUGUUUUCCUCAACAUAUCUCUAGUUCAGUUAUCAAUUUUUUAUGCGUUUACAACUAGAGUAAUGCUAAGAUCUUAACAUUUGGAUCAUAACUAAUGUGGUAUUCAUAUAUCCAUUGACUAAUAGAUAAAUAAUUUUACUAGUUAUAAAAUUUAUUGUCCAUAUGAUGAAUAACACGUAACAUUGGAACUCAAGUUCGGAUACUUAGCAUCAUAAUUACGAAAUACAUAUUCAUGUGGAGAUAACAAACCCUAGCCACAUUUGAGAGAGGGAAAGUCAAGGAGACUAUGAACAUUUUCCUUUUAUUUUUUUUUUGAUUGAAAGAAACAGAAUAAACGAUGAGAAAUUAAGAAGAAAAAAAAUUCAGAAAUUGAACAAGUCUAUUUUGUAAUUGUGAAUGAUUUGCGAUUGUGAUUUGUGAAGAGUAAAGAAAGCAGGAGAGUGUAAUGUGUAGCAGAAAAUCAAGCUUUGCUAUCUAAAUUUUAUAAUUUUCUCUUUUCUUUUAAUCUUACAUUAUUGCGAAAUUGCCCAAAAAAAUUGCAAUAUUUGAAUUUAUUUAUUAUUUUUUUGAAACUGCAAUAUUUGAAUUUAUUUUGAAAUUGCAAUUACACAUAGACAGAAGCCUCAUAGCGGCACUACUAGUUAAAAUGAGCACAAUGUUACCAUCACAGGCAGCCCUAAGCACUACACAUAACUUCGCUCUACACAUUAACUUCAUACAUCUUUGUCAUUGAUCUGUUAAUUAUUUUGCGUGUUUUCUAUUCGAUACGUACGUACGUGAGUGAUGCUGUAUCUAUCUGCAGGUUCUGUCAUUCUUAUGAUGCCCAAGCAUCGUCUCAGUAGGUUUCAUUGCUUCUAAAGCUAAAAAGCUUGCUCCGGCACCUAGUUGAAAAUGUAAAACACAAAGCAGUAAUGUUAAAGGAUCAAUUUUUCGGGCAUAACUUGUAUUAUAUUCAUCAUCAAAAUUGUAUACAGAAGUACAGCAUACAUUUUAUUUGCCAAAGAAAUGCUCGGUAUAUACAAAUGACAAUAUACACUUUGCUUUUACAAUUCUUUAUGCUGAGUCAUCCUUAUCAUGAGUUAUCAGUUUCUACUUAGUCAGUUGCCAUCUAAGGCUUGCUGUACAGAGUGCCGAUAUUGAGAAUCAGGCCGAGGCUGCUCAUAGAGGCAGUUCAUCGAAUAUCUAAUUCAUUCCAUCAAACACCAAACCCAUCCUGGCAUUUCAUCGAACACUUUUCCGAGUACUCUUUAUAUCAUUAUCGCCCAUAAAGUAUCCAGUAUCCUGAGUCAAGAUUAUAUGCAGCUUUGUUUUCCAGCUUUCCGAGCUUAAUUAACAUUUACCAAUUGCAAACUGGGCCCACAACGGCCAGCUCAACUCUCCACAUCAGCAUAGUUGUAACUAACUCUACUCUCAUAGGAGGUAAGACAGAUUUGACUUACACCAAUAUUUCUUUUGCAAUACGGGAUGUGCUCAUUUUUCAUCAUGAGGCCGUUCUCGUCAGAAGCAACACUUGUUACAUGGUAAUCAUCCUAAUAAUCUUUCCGCAACUAGGACAAAAAAAUGGUAACUUUGUGAUGGGUGUCGAAGCCAACAAAAAUAAAUUCCUACUCUAAAUAAAUUGUGUAUAGUGAUUGAGCAGGGUCGUGUCCACAAAGAUCAGUAAUUAUUUAAAUCCUUUUGAAACGUAAAACGUAAAAUGGGGGAAUUGUUGACAAUAAUAAAAAUCAAAUUAAAAUAACGAGAAUGUAAAUUAAAGUUGUGACUCAAAUUGGAGAAAGCUCUGGUUGAAUGAAUUAACUUAGCUUGAUUCGACUACUGAUCAUUGAUUCAAAUAUAGAUUAUUAUUACUUAUUAAUAGACCGGUUAUAGCUACUGAGACCCUCUAAUAGCCAAUCUCUCAUUAACUAGUCGAUAACCAAGGUACGACCGUUGGUUAUUUCCCUAAUCAAUAGACAACCCUAGAUACGAUCAUAUGAUUUAAUCAAUUGACAGCCUGAAAAACCAGAGAGACCCAAAUCCUAAUAAACACAUAUGAUGAUUCAUUUAAAUUAGAUUGUUUAUUCUCACAACACAACUCUCUGCUAUGUUAUUUGUCACAAACAUUAAAUUCUUCAUACGAUGAAUCCUUUAAUUGACAAUAGAUUAAGUUGAUAAUUAAAUAGUGGCCAAUUACCUAAUUAACAAACAUAAUCAUGAAAAUAAUUCAGAGAAUAAACAAAUACCCAAAAAGCAAUAAAACAAUUAAAGCACAAGAAAGAUCUCACAGUAGUGAUGAAUCAAAGCUUCAUUAUCCUUCAACCAGAAAAAUAGGUUUAGUUCUUCAUAGAGAGAAGAGAAAAAUUAAGAUCUAGGGUUUCUUUCUUUUUCUCCAAUCCAAAUCCCCCCUUUUUCACAAUAGAUUCCUCCCUUAAAUACUCUCUCUCUCUUCUCUUUUAGAAUUCUAUUUAAAAUAAAAUACUAAUAUCUGAAAUAUUAAAUUCAUAAUUACAAAAAUAACUAAAAAUACAAAACACGUUAAACUAAAAACUGCAAGUCCGCAGUUGACAGCACGCGCCCACGCCUUAUCAACAAAGUUCUUCUGACGCUCAUAAUUUCUCCAAGAGAACAAUCCUCCUUAAACAUCAUCUUUUAGCUCAAUUUUAUCACCAAUCAAUAGAAUUGCAUCUACAAAAGUAAAACACAAGUAAAACAUUAUUAUUAAGUGCAAAACAUCGAUAUUAAGGGAAGUAAACAAUGCAAAACUAGUGCAUAAAUUGCACUCUAACACUUUGCGCAUGUAAAUUGUGUUAAAUUAGGGUCUUCAUUCUUUGUUUGCCGGUUUCCAUAAACCCUGCCUCCUUAAGUUGUGGGAUUUGGCAUUGGAACGGCUGAUAAUCAUGUGUUCAUUUUUAAUGACAGGUGCUUAAAUUCGGAAUUUUAUAUGCUUGACUUUUAGUAUCAGAUUCUGCCGUCAUGAAUCAGCAGCUUGGCUGGUGAUUAAAGAAGGCAGUCGCUGGGGAAAUUCAGUCUCCGAUUCUGGUGCCAAGUUUCAUGGCUACAGGGACUAGCUUUUAAUACAUUAUGUUGAAAAUUGAUUAAAAAAAAAGGAGAGUUGAAAAAUCAAAUCUCCAAGUGGGAGAAUGAAGAAAAGAAACGCCGCAAAAUGAACAGUAGCCGCAAGAUGAACAGUAGCCACAAGAUGAACAGUAGUCACUAGUGGCUAUAAAUAGAGGAGUGCUCCUCCUUAUUGUUUGUAUCCCAAAUCCCAGAGAAGGAAUCCAAGUUUUGGUAAGAAAUUGAGAGAGAUAAAUGUUCUUAAGCAUGUAGUUAUAUUGAAGGAGAAGUUGGCUCCUCCAUAUGGGUAUUAUGGGUUUGCUUUGUUAAGGAAUAUUUAUCGGGAUUAUGUAAUUGGGGCUUGGGUGAGAGAAAAUUAUUUCUGAGAGUGGUUGUAAUAAUUUUCCACAUAGUAAAUAUAUUUCUCUGGUUGUCUUGUGACAACGGCCGUGGUUUUUCUCCGGAUUUGGAGUUUUCCACGUAAAUCUUAUGUUGUGUGAUUGUUGUAUUCUCUAUUUAAUUUUUUCUAUUAAUUUGUUGCUUGAUAAAUUGCUUGGAGUGAUCUUGGGAGGAAGCUCAAUUUCCUAACAGUGGUAUCAGAGCCAACGGUUUGUACUUGGGGUAUACGGUACUGUUUAUGUAAAGCAAAUAUGUCAGUAGCUGGUAUUUUUCAAACUUGGUUAGAGUUUGAUGUUGUUGAAAAAUUAAUGGGAGAAUGAUUUUAUUGGCUUGUGGAGAAUUCAAGUCAAAGGUGUAUCCAAUCUGGUAUGCACAAAGAUUUGAAGGUGUGGACAAUUUUGGCACCUCAAGAAAAUUGUCAAGAAGGCGAAGUGGGCUCGGCAAAUUACUCCAGAAUCAGUAAAGGAGAUACUGAUAUUCUUGCAGAUGGUGAGUUUCCUUUUGAUAGGAGACUGGGUUAGUUCUUUUGGCAUGUAGAUCUCCAAGUUUCCAUAAAAGAGAACAUGCUAUGAUCAGCGGGGUCCAUAAGUUUGCACGCAGGCAUUGGCUUGGUAUAAAUGCAAGGUGUGUGGUGGAAAAGUUAUGUCAUGGCUGAAGAAUUCUCAGGGAAACCAAGCAUGAGAAUUGCACCAUAAAUUUCAGCAGGAUAUUUUGAUAUGUACCGAAAAAAAUCUUAGAAUGGUUGAUUCUAAGUGGAAUACUCUUUAUGGUAAAGUAUGAUAAUUCUCUAUAUUGAGAAUUAUGACUGUUGGUGAAGACAAUGUGUUUGUAGUAGUGGCUAUGAAUUUUUUUUUUCUUUUUUAAUCAAUGUGGAGAUUGUUGAAAAUUGAUUAAAAAAAAAGAGUUGAAAAUCAAAUCUCCAAGUGGGAGAAUGAAGAAAAGAAAAGAAAAGCCGCAAAAUGAACAGUAGCCGCAAAAUGAACAGUAACCACAAGAUGAACAGUAGUCAGUGGUGGCUAUAAAUAGAGGAAUGCUCCCCCUUAUUGUUUGUAUCCCAAAUCCCAGAGAAGGAAUCCAAGUUUUGGUAAGAAAUUGAGAGAGAGAAAUGUUCUUAAGCAUGUAGUUAUAUUGAAGGAGAAGUUGGCUCCUCAAUAUGGGUAUUAUGGGUUUGCUUUGUUAAGGAAUAUUUAUCGGGAUUAUGUAUUUGGGGCUUGGGUGAGAGAAAAUUAUUUCUGAGAGUGGUUGCAAUAAUUUUCCACAUAGUGAAUAUUUUUCUCUGGUUGUCUUGUGACAACGGCCGCGAUUUUUCUCCGGAUUUGGAGUUUUCUACGUAAAUCUUGUGUUGUGUGAUUGGUGUAUUCUCCAUUUAAUUUUUUCUAUUAAUUUGUUGCUUGAUAAAUUGCUUGGAGUGAUCUUGGGAGGAAGCUCAAUUUCCUAACACAUUAUAUGCUGUUGGUUUAAAUAUACGCCUAUGAUAGUUGAGGUCAUUGCUAAUUCAUUGCUUUAGACAGUAGAAACAACUCAUCACCCAGGCCACUGCCCAUGUGGCAAAGACGUAUUCGAGCUUUUAUGGGGACUUAUCUGGCCGUCUGAGCUAUGUCAGGAACUCUCGACUAUGUAUAAUUGCAUAGAUAUAGACUCCGCGACUCUUAGUGUACUCUAAUUAUCUUGACAUAAGACUUAGAACCGUGCAAGCUUAAGUACCGUUGCAGCUAGUAUCCACAUCACUGACGUCCGUAGGCCUUGGAAAUGCCUAUUUAUUUGGGAUCAGACUUCAGAGGGUAAUUCUCCAGGGCUUAGGCCUCCAAUUGAAUUAGGCUGUUCUUGUAAAGGCGGUUUGGGUUAUGUUCCCAAACAAUAUACUGAGACUUGGUUCAAGAUCAGGGGUAUCUUCAAUUUCAUUUUUUUUAAUUGAACAAAUGAUGGAUGCCCAUUUACUUGUUUCAAAAAGAAAAUUUGUGUAUGGUUCUGUUGUGUGUGAUCAAAGUGUGAUCUUUUGCAAGGUUGUGCAUGAAUUGUUGAUUAGUAUGGAUACCCCUUGGUGGUUUUAAGUAAAUGUGAUGGAUCCUAGAUUCUCUUUGUUGAUGUAUAAAUGUAUAUAUGACUCUUUGUUUGUUCCAUAAGUUAGUGAGUUUAAAAUAAGAGUGCUUAAGAUGGAAACUUGGGGUUUCUGGUUUACAUAUAUUUGCUUCCUGUCUUUGCCAUUUCCAUAUGCUAGUAUCGAUAGGAAUUGCACAAUGUUGUUGUUUCAAGACUUUUCACUUCAUUUUAGAAUGUGCCAUGGAAAAUGCUCUAGAAAUUGCAUAGUAGAUGAUAUGCUGCAUUUUACAUUUCACAGUAGGUGUGAUUUCUAAACCACGACGCCACAAUACCAAACAGAGAAAGAUUGAUUCGAGAACAAAAGAUUUUACCUAGCUAGAACAUAGAAGGUUAGCAACAAUAUAUGCCUGUCUGGUUACCAAAUGCAGUCAAGUUAACAGAGUAAAGAGCUUUUCAUUCUCAUCACUUCAAUUUCAAGGCAAAAAGCCAGUCAAUAGACAAUUAAGUCUCGUUUCAUUUUCUCAAAAUUUAUGCUCCCUCAAUUCUGUUACACCAGACAAAAAUAAACUUAAACCAUAUCUGAAAAGAGAAUACGGCCUGAGAUCACAAAUGCUGGGAAAUUUAAAAAAUGAAGGAAAAAAAUGGCCAAUACAGAAUAAAGCAGAGCAAAUAUCAGAGUAAAAUAGAAUUUAUAUGCAAAUAUACCCUGCUAAACUUUCUGAGAAAUGCUUAAAUCCUUUCAAUCCACCAGUUUCAAUUAUCUCCAACCAAAUGGAUAACCAUAAAACCCUGCAACACAGGAUUAAAGAUAAUUUUAAGAUUUGAAUUACUAAAUAUUUCUCCUUUCAUAAGUCAAUAAGCAUAAAACCCCGCAACACAGGAUAAACUGUGUAAGCCUGGAGUAGUUAUAUUCUGUUAAAAAUGAGUGAGGUGGCGUGCUGAGCUGGCGUCAGUGGGGACCAUUUGCUGUUAAGGCUGGGAAAUUUUAACGGACAAUCAUGGAUAAUUAUAUUUUCUCGAUAGUAUUUGAGGUUCCGACAAAAAUAGAGAUCCAGAGUUUCCAGUGAAGUGAGGUUUUCACCAAUUGAAGAUAGGCAUUUCAGAUUUGGCAUAUAUGAAAUCCGCAGUACAGUUAAGAGUGGCAGGAAACCGUGGAGAUGACACCAGGUCUGGACAUCCUUCGCAGAUUUCCAAUCGUCUGAGAGAGGUGAAUCUGUUCAAUCCCCAUUCGAACAAUGGCUUACACAUCUUCAGAUCAUUAACCAUAAGUGGUUGAAGGUUGGUGGGAAAACCAUCCUCCGGAAAAGAUUUGGACAUCGUUCUAUCCGUAUCUCUUGAAGACGGUGGAGAUUAUGCAAACCACCAGGUAAUAAUUUAAGAUUUUCUGACCAUGAAAUAGUGAUUUCUUCGAGGGAUGUAUUGUCCAACCUUUUUGCUAACGACUCCAGCUUUGAACAAAAUCUGACACGAAGGCAUUUAAGAGCCUCAGGUAGAUUCCCAUUCCGUGACAAGAGGAUGUCCCGUUCCCCCGUGCUGCUACUGAGGAUGUCCCGUUCCCCCGUCAAAGUCCUUAAAUUAUGACAGGUGUUAAUAAUCAGCCGCUUCAGACUCGGAGCAAGCUGGCACGUACUGCUAUUUAAAUAUAUGUCAAAGAAUUACGGUUAUAAAUGUUCAGACUUUCAAGAGAUGUACUGCUAUUUUGCAUCCAUGCCUCAGGUAAGGAUUUCAAAGCAUUGCGUCCUUUGAUAUCAGUUGUUCUCAACCGGGAAGGCAGAGCAGCCUCGGGAAAUGAAAUGAGUGAAGUGCAGUGAGGUGUCCGCAUCUCUGUCGUUGAUCAUGUACUGCUAUUAAUUUUAUGUAUGUAGUAAUGUAUAAUCUAAAUAAUUUACAUUGGUUUAUUUUAAUUAUAUAUGAUUAUCAUAAACUAAUUUAUUAUAAAUGUAAUUUUUGUAUUAGUUGUCUUUGAAAUUGAUUUUAAUUUUUGUUGAUAGUGGGAGGCUCGGUAAUGAAAUUUGUGUCUAUUGGUGGCUGAGUGAUUAAUGUUAUUCAAUUGAAGAAGAUAAAAUCUACAUAAAUUGAACGAAGGCUAGUUUAUGUGAAUAAUAGGCUUUACCAGGAAAUUGCACCAUUUAUGCCACGACAGUGGCUGAAUCCAUACUCUUACUAAUUCUUACUAAUUCCAACAAUACGACAAUUCUUUCAAGAAAAAGUUGAAAAUGAUUCAGCAUAGCGACGACCAAAACAUGACCACGAAAACGUGUUUCCGCCACCCGGGAAGCAUGAGUAAUUUGCUUUGGUUAUCGAUCAUUUGAUUAUUAUAUCAAAUAUUUUAUAAAUAAUCAAUGAAAUAUUUAUAUUAUUUUAUUUAUUUUAUUAGAAACAGCUUUAAGCAUAGGUAAAUUAGACAGUUAUUUAAGGGCGCACUAUAUUUUAGAUAGACCCCAUUUUUUAAUUAUUGCUUUAAUAAUAAUGUAAUUAAUAAAUAUUUUGAAUUAUAUACUAUAGGACAACCUAUUUUUUUAGAACAAUCUCUAAUUAAUAAUUAUCCUAUAACUAAGAUUUGAUUUUAUAAAAAUUUUAUAUUUGAUAAUAUUAAUGUAAAUAACUAUAAAAAUUUUGUCAUAAUUUUAUACCAAUUCUAAUUUAUUAUAUAUUUAACCAUUUAUUAGUUGUCUUCUCUACUAAAAAUUUUGUCAUAAUGUUUAAGUCUUUGAUCAAAAAAAAAAAAAUAGUGUUUAAUGAUAUCAAUCCAUCAAAGGUUGCAAUACAUGAAAUUAUCCACAAUUUGAUUACAUGAAAUCAAUGUCGUAAAAUAUUUAAUUAUGAAUAUAUAUAUACACACUUAUAUCUUUGAUACAUAAACUGAAUUCUAAAUGAUAUAUCAGCACUCAUUACUUUGUCAUGCGUUAACUAAUCGUCUAUAUAUAGUUGCAUCUUGCAUGAGGUGACUAGCAACAUAUGGGGACGUUUUGCAUUUUAACCAAUUUACUUGAUAGUAAAAAUGAUACUGAGUAAAUUAAACUAUUAAUUGAACUAAAUUGAAUUAUAUGUAAUUUGAUAUCAAUGUCCUGGAAUGGAUUGGCAGAUGGAAUCAAGAAUAAUAUGAUUCCCGCAAGUAGUGUAAAGAGACUAUUUUCAUUGACCUACACUAUAGUUUCAAGAAUACAAAUUAUCAAGUCAGUCAACCACAAGUUCAUUUCAUCUCUUUAAAAUAGUAUGAACAAAAAUAAUCUAAUGGCCAUGCCCAGUUCAAUCUAGUGGACAUGACUCCCAGAACUUUACAAAGGACAAUUUACACUUGUGUUAUUCCAUACUUUAUGUGAAUCAUCCUUAUCAUCACUCAUCAAUUUUUGCUGAACAAAUGGAUAAAUUUAUGAAGAAUGGUUGUCAGCAAAUGAUUAAUGGAAAAUUAAUCAUACUGAUUAACAAAUGAUUAUGAUAUGGAUGUAUCAUGAUGGAUUUUAUAAAUAAAACAAAAGAAUUCGUCAUAUUUUUUUAAGGAUUUGCAAUUUAUGAAUGCAAAUGGGUUUCUGGAAACUAGUUGAGUUAGAGUUUGAUUUGGGCAUGAAGUUGGAAUCAAUCAACAUGCCGUGUUGAAUGUGUACCCCGGCCCUGUACACACUGCCCGUCAAAUCCUGGGAAUUUGGGCCUUUGACAAGAACAAAUAAACAAUACAAAAGCUCGUUUUUUAGUACGGUAGUUUUUCACCAUUCCCGGUUAGUUUUUUAUACAUGGGAUUGUCUAUUUAUUUCUUUAUUUUUGUUUUUGAUUGAAAAACGUUUUGUAUGUCUGAUGAAUUUUGUUGAAAUGGUAUAUGGGUUGUUUGGUUUCCUGUAAAUGAUAACAGGGAACUAUAAUUUGUAGGGGAUCUUAAAGAACUGUACUACACAAAAUUAAUAGUGAAAUUGAUUUUGAUCCUGGUAUGAUUCUUAUAUGCUGAAAAUAAAAGAUCUUAACUAAAUGCAUUUAAUUGGGAUUCUUCAGCAAUUAAAAAUUUUUUUCCCUUCUUCCAAUGAGUUUGUUAUAUGCAUUGACAUUUUCACUUUUGUUACUGUUGUUACAUGGGUACCUUGCUUAAACUCGGCACCUUGCUUUACUAAUUUGUUGGAAAACAAAUGUUGCAUCUUUGGCAUGAUAGAGGCUUACAAAUGGGGAGUACAACCAGUUUUGCUAAAUUUCUAGUAUAAUAGAGUCAUAUGUUAGUUAUGCGACCGUACAAUUUUCUUGUUUUUGUUGUAUAUAGGUGGCAGCAAAAAAUGUUCACACAGUAACUGGUGAUCGUUUUGUGGUCUAUGGAGGUUCUGCCACUAUAUGCUGAAGGUUUUGAGGCUUAAAGCUAUGGUUACUUGAGAGAUUGAUCCUUAGGUAUUGCAAUAAAAAGCAUGGACUACUGACUGAGUCUAAGAUUUUAGAGAAUCAAGACAAGGAUCAGUUUGAUAUUCAUCUAGAAACUAGUUUAUCAAAUGAUUCACGAGAGUCUGAAGGAGUUUCGACAUUAUCUAAACCUAAUGGUCAGUAAAGACUAUUUUAAGUUAACCUCUUUAUUAUAAUCAAUUGUUAUGUCUAUCAAAGUGAAUUUAUAUUGGCAUAUUCAUUUUCUUAUAUUUUGCAAUUGAAAACUUAGAAUCUCUUGAUUGUUGAACUGAUAGUUAUGUUGGAGAAACGAAAAGAACAACUUCACAAUUACAAGCUCAUUCCCUAAAUUUUCCCGUUCAGAGCGAUAGAGCACCUUCACUUUGCAUUGCUGCUAGAGGAGCCACUGGUGAGCAAGCAAGAAGGAAGAUAUUGCCAGCAUUAUUUGCUCUCUAUUACAGUGGCUUUCUUCCAGAGGCAGUACCACAAUUUCUUUAUGUUGUUAGGCCUCUUUGCCUUUUGCCUAGAAUUGCUACAGAUAGAGUUCUUUCUUCACGAAGCCUGUUGUUUUCAUUGUUCCAGUUACUAUGUAUUUACUUUUUUGAAUCAUUAAUCCAAUUAUGUUGGUAUAUGCAUCAAAACGUAUUCGACUUGCUUCUAACGUAAGAAGGAAAAGUGGGAUGUUUCAGUAAAUUAAAUGAAAGGUAUUGUUUUCAUCAAUAUUUUACAAUUUUCCAAACUUGUUCCAAAUGUAUUUGGUGAAUUUCCGGGUUUUAUUAUUUUUAUCAUUCCUGCCUGAAGAAUGUGGGCAUCGUUGGUUAUUCAAGAAAGAAUUUGACAGAUGAAGACCUGAGGUCCAUGAUAGCUUCAACUUUGUCUUGCCGCAUUGAUCAUUGGUAAGGUUCUCAUAUAGCCAUACAAGUUCUCUUUGCUGCCAUUCAAUUUUUUGUUCUAAAUCCUUGAGUGAGUCAAAUUACUGCCCCCUAUAAUUUUCGAAUGCAACGUGAACAAAUGCUAGAAGCUGCCUAAAUGAUUGUAAUUCAUGGCUGUCAGUUAUUUACAUGCUGAUGGGGUUUCAUCAAUUUAUAACUUUGGGAUCAUUUUGGCUACAUUCACCGAAGUUUUCAAAGAGGGAAAAAAAAGAAAGAGGAGAGGGGUGGGUUAGCUUUGUGUCACAUUCUAUUAGCUAGUUGCUUGGGCGGGAUUUCUAUUGAUUUAAAGGAAUUAUGGGUGUGUUUUUGGAAGGGCCCUCUCAAGUACGUCAACAUGCAACCAUUGCUUGCAGAAAGUGCUUCGCAUCUAGACAAGCUUUAGGCUUUUGAAAAUGUGUUAAUCUGAAAUAAAUGCAACCAAGGUUUUUCGUUGUAGUUCGUCAAGUUAGUUUGAUUGCUAUAGAAUUAGAGUAGAAUGAAUUGAAGAAGUUUAAUAAGGCAUUUGUUCCUCAUGAUUUUAACAUCUUUUCAGUGAAAACUGUGGGGACAAAAUAGAUGCCUUUCUCAGUAGAACAUAUUAACUUAAUGGCGGUUAUAACAACUAAGAAGGCAUGUUAAAGCUCAGUGUUUUGAUGAGGCAUAUCAAGGUGGGGUUGAUAAAAUCACAAAUCAGUGCUGUUUACAAGUCUCUCUGGUUUUAUCGUGCUUCCUAUUUUAUGCAACUUAAUGGUAUUACCUGGAGCCUGGGAAAAAAAAAAUUCUAAUUAAACUAUAUGGCAUGAUCUUAAAAUUAUUUUUCUCAAAUUGUUGGGCUAUUAGCUGCUUACCUCAUAUCUUAAGUUUUUGCAUCUAGUGAUUUAUCUUAUAGCACCUGAUGAAAAAUUAAUUAUUUUUUUUUAAUCAUAAUAAUAAAAAAUCACCUUAUGUACUUCUUUUACCUCUAAAGAUUUGUUAAAAACAUAGGAAAAAAUAGAUUUAAACAGUAGUAAUGUGUGAUAGUUUAAACUAUUCAGCUCAUGUUCAUAUCUUAGCAUGCAAAUCACCCUAUUGCAAUUUGGCAUGAUAGUUUUAUUUGUUGUAAUCAUUUGUUGUUACAAAUAAUACAUAUUUAUGGAAGUAUAAUAUGACAAAACUUAUUAUUCAAUGACUUCAUAAUAAUGAUUGUGUAUAGUUUGGUUGUCUAGAUUAAAUUCUUUAAAUAUAAUAGCUAAUAUAUUUUUCGUCGUUAAAGGCACUUCUCAAUUAUUACUUUGUUAAAAACAAGGAACAGAAAGGUAUUAUAACAAGGAACAAGAAAGAAAUUCUGAUGAACAGAAAGGUAUUUCACUAACAUCCCUCCUUGAACUGGAGUUUCUUCUUCUCUUAUUACUUCUUUCCUCUGCUCUUCUUACUCUAUCAACUUCACUGACAAUCCCAAACAUAAUUUUAUUCUUUUAUUGAUAAAGUCAGUUCAUAUUACAAUUAAAUUACAGGUGGAAAAAAAAAACAGAAAUUAUGAUUACACAAUCUAAUUGAUGGGUCUUCAUUCAAAAGGCAUUGUGCCAUUAAUUUCGACACGAGGUAUAUGGGAAAUCAUGGGCCAAUAUUUUCCUUCAUCCUUUCUGCACCUUUCUUCUAUCAACGGGCAAUUAGAGACAAUUAGUUCCAAAAGUGAUUUAGGCAGGCCCUGCUCUGGAAAGUAUGUGAGCUUCGGACAAUUACCGAGACGCAGAGUUUUCAAUGAAGUGAGAUUGUGCAUGUAGUUGGGUAAAGCCUUCAGAUUCUCACAAUCACAUAUCGUGAGCAGAGUCAGUUUCGUAGAUGGCAAUCCUUCUUCGGGAAAUUUCUCAAGAUUUGGACAUUCAGAUAUCCAAAUCUUUUGAAGAUGGUGGAGAUUAUGCAAACCGGCAGGUAAUGAUUUAAGAUUUUCAAGCCCUGAAAUAUCAAUUUCUUCAAGGGAUGUGUUGUCCAACCUUUCUGCUAACGACUCCAGCUUUGAACAGUCUUCGACACGAAGGUACUUAAGAGCCUGAGGUAGAUUUCCAUUCCUUGACAAGAAAGCAAGAUUCGAGCAACAAUUGACCUCAAGGUGCUCCAGCGUGGCAGGUAACUCGUUGUGCAUCCAUGCCUCAGGUAAGGAUUCCAAAGCAUCGCAAUCUUCAAUUACAACUGAUCUCAACUGGGAAGGCAGAGCAACCUCUGGAAAUGAAACAAGUGAAUUACAACUCCGAAUCUCCAAACUCUCAAGAGAUGAAUUGGAGUUGUGCAUCCAUGCCUCAGGUAAGGAUUCCAAAGCAUCGCAUUCUUCAAUUACAACUGAUCUCAACUGGGAAGGCAGAGCAACCUCUGGAAAGGAAACAAGCGAACCGCAGCCUGAUAUCCGCAUCUCAGUAAGGGAACUAAGGGUGAGCAAUGCUUGUGGCAGCCUUGUAAGGCCUUCACAACAACUCAAUUCCAAAAAUUGAAGCCUGCACGGCAACUCUGGCUGUUGCUGGUCAUGUUCUUCCACUGUUACCAAGGAAAUCAGUUGGGGACAUCUUGAAAUCUGCAACCGAUUAAGGGAUCUAAUGACUUGCGGCAACCGAGUUUCACUCCGCCAAAAAUAUGCCUGCUCUCGAACAUUAACGAUCUCCAAAUGUGGGCUGCUGAACACCACCCUUUUACAUCCAUCAAUUUGUAAUUCACUGAGAGCUGGAAGACAUUGAAUUGUCACUAGCAACUGAUCACAACUUGUUAUGUCGAGCGUCUCCAAUAAAAGAAGUCGUCUGGGCAAUGUUCCUUGAAGUUUACGACAUUUGACAAGAGAAAGCAUUCGCAGCUUAGGAAACACUUCAUCAACUUCUUCACCAGCUCCGCAAGGUAUCCACUCUUCCCAUUCUCUCAUAUCGGAAAAGGAAAGAGUCUCCAGUGAUGGAAAGGGCACUGAGCAACUGCUUCUAUAAAACUCCGACCCCACGCUCUUUACUCCGUCCAUUCCACUUAUAUCAAGUUCCUUUAGAAAUGGUAGUUGCCCUACCGAUGGCAAAGAUGUAGACGUGCACCUACAUAAUUCUAGACGCGCCAAUUUUGAGAAAGAGGAAUCUCCUAGCCAACUUGGAAAUUUUGUACCACCGUAGCCUGUGAUGGUGAGCUCUUGUACAUCUCGAUGUGGUUUUAGCAUGCUGAGAACACGUGUCUCAAAUUCACACUGGUCAAGGUUCUGAACGUCCCGUGCACUCCAUUCGAGCGAUAAAGCUUCAAGAUUCACCUUGUUGUUUAACUGAGCCUCACUGGCAUCGCCAACAUCUUUCACAUUCUCCAACUUCGAAAUUCGUAGUGUUCCCUGAAGAUGCGUCAAAGACUUUAACUCUCGUAGCCCAGAACCACUGUCUUUUCCCACAACAAAUCUACCCAACGUCAAGAGACUAGUCAAUUUACGAAAUCCCUUCGGCAUUUCCUCCAAUUCAUAGGCAUAAGAAUUUCUUAGAUGACGCAACUUCGUCAGGUUUCCCAUGUCUUUACACAACUUCUUGAGCUUCCAACAGUUUUCCAACAAAAUUGUAUGCAAGUUGUACAGUGAAUUAAUUGACUCGGGCAAAAUUUGAAUACCCGUUCUGGAUAAGUUAAGACAGCGUAAAUGCUUCAAGUUUCCAAUUUCAUUUGGUAGGUUGAAGAUGUUACAAUACCCGCGCAGAGAAAAGACCCUUAAGCGUGGGAGAUGAUUCAGCAGCAUCUGAAGAACACUCCGAGGCAAAUAAUUUUCACCGAAAACUGAUAACUUCAUCGGUAAAAAGGUUCGCAAAUGUUGCACGUCAUAGAUGAACUCCAACCUAGUGUCUCCAUCAUAUCGCCCACGAAUAUACGAAAAAUGACGAAGACUUUGAGAAAACUUUUGUCGGUUUUCACCUGCUAAUGUAUCCUCCAUUCUGAAGUAUUGCUCCCCUGCAGCCCAUCGAGCAAGGUCAUUGAUUAGAUCAUGCAUCACAAAUCGGGAGGGAUGAUUACUGGACUGUUGAAAUAAUGACCUUGAAUGUAACUCCCGAAAGAACGCACGGCCCAAAUCUUCCAUUUUCCUUCCAUUGUAUUCUUGAUCCAAGAAACCUUCAGCCGUCCACAAUAAAAUUAUCUCCUCUUCUUCAAAUUCAUAAUCUUUGGGAAACAAUGAGCAGUAUGCAAAGCACCGUUUCAACUGUGGAGGAAGAAAAUGGUAGCUCACUCUUAGGGCUGGUAAAAUAUCACAUUUGUCCUCUCGUAAAUCCCAUAUGUUAGUAUUGAGCACAAAUUCCCAGUCAUUCAAGUCAUCUUUGCCGCUUAAAAGGCCGCCAAGAGUUUUCGCAGCCAAAGGCAAUCCUUUGCACUUCUUCGCUAUCUUCUCUGCAACUUCCUUCAAGGAUUGAGGAAUGUUGAAAUCCGGGGGCCCUAAGGAGUGUUGAAUGAGCACACGCAAACAAUCAUCGUCUGACAACUCUUUCAAUGUUUUACCUGAAACGGCUCUCAUUGUUGCUGCAACAUCUUGAUUGCGAUGUGUGACAACAAUCUUGCUUCCGGAUGCGCCAGCACCAAAGGGACAGCUGAGGGUGCACCAAGAAUUGUAAUUCUCGUUCCACAAGUCGUCCAAAACGAGCAAAAAUUUCUUUCCAGACAAUCGCUCCUUCAGUUUCACUUGAAGCGAGUUUAAAUCAUCAUCAUUGUUACUCUGAUCUUUAGCAAUGGACUUCAGGAUUGACUUUGUUACCCUGGAAACAUCAAAAUCCUCAGAGACACAAGUCCACGCUUUGAUCUCAUAAUGACGCUGCACUCGAUCAUCAUUAUAGACAAGCUGAGCAAGAGUUGUCUUCCCAACGCCGCCCAUUCCAUUUAUAGAAAUAACAGAGAAUCCAUCAUCACCUCUUAAAUCAUCACUCAACAACAAUUCAAUAAUCUCCUCCUUCUCUUUUUCCCUGCCAUAUACUUUGGCUUCGUUCACCAAAGAAGUUGUGGGUAGUCUUUGUCUGAUAUUUCUAGACUUCCCAUCUGAAAUUACAUUUUUCAAUUUCAGCAGGUCUUUUUGCGUUGAAAUAAUACUCUGCAGCCGAGCAGUGACCUCCUCUAUUUGCGACGCCAUCUUGGAUUCAAAAUUAAAUGAUGAUCGAGGACUAUCAGAGGCAGACAACUUCGGAAUUUUUCUGAGUGUAACAGCAUCAGUGACCUUCCUCUUCAACGAAUCAGUUAACUUCCAAAACGUACUCGUACUUGUACUGGGUUGAUCAACAGCAGCUGGUUCUUGAGGCAGCAAUUCCUUCCGCAAGGAUUCAGUUUGGAACUCAUCCAAUAUGUCUUCAAGAUCAUAAGCCAAGUUCUGAAGAUCGUCGAGCCACAUCUUAACUGGCUUCUCCUUGGUCUGCCUAUCCUCAGCAUCAGCAAGCACUGCCCGGAUCAUCUCCAACAUUCCCUUCCACUUGAUGAAAUCAGCCUUCAGCUUCUCAUGCCGUGUCAACAGCUCAACCCCCUCUGGAGCCAGUUUUUCUAUCAGCAUCUGAACUGACGCACCGAGCACCGCCUCUCCGAUGAAUGCCAUUUUUUUUUUUUUUUGGCAAGAAACUGAGUAAAUUAUGACAAAAGAAGAAGGAAAAAUCUGCAGAAAUUGAACAAAGUCUAGUAUGUGAUUUUGAUUUGGGAAGGCUGAAGAGUAAAGCAAGCAAGAGCGGGUAAUGUGAAAUGGUUUACACAAAAACAGAGCACUAGAUGUCUAUCCCACGCGUUUUUGCACCAAUAAUUUAGCUAGCGACGACCAAAACACCACCACGUCAAUCCCACGCGUUUUUGCCACUAAACACCGUGUGAUUAUUAUAUUAAAUUUUUUAAAAUCAUCUGAUAAAUAAUGAUUAGUCAAAUAUUUAAAUAGUCUUAUUUAUUUUUUUUGAUAAACAAUAAUAUAUCUGAUAUGUACUAAUGUAUUAAUUUAAAUAAUUUAUAUUUAUUUAUAGUGAUUAUCACUAGCCAAUACUAACUUACUUACCACUAGAUGUCUUUUAAAUUAAUUUUAGAUUUUAGUGAUAGUGACAGGUUCGCCGGUGAGAUUUCUCGGAGUUGGAAUUGUUAAAGUUAUUCAAUUUUUUUGGGAGUAUUUUAUAGGAUCCGAUUAUUUAAUUUUAGCCAAAUAAAAAUAAAUAAUUCUUUUGAAAUAGUACUGUUAUUAUUAUUAUUAUUAUUAUUAUUAUUAUGAAUCCAAUGUGAAUUUGGUCAACAAUAACUAUCUCUACUUGACCCACCAUGCUUUGCUACUGCAAGGAAAUUGCAGCAUUUAUGCCACGAAAGUGGCGUAAGCCGUGCUCUACUAAUUCCAAUAAUACGACAAUUCUCUAAAGAAAAGUCAGUCCAGCGACGACCAAAACACGACCACGUGGACGCGUCUCCACCACUACAAAAGUAUGAGCAAUUUGGUUUUGAUUAUGAUCAUAUAGAUGUCACUUAUCAUUUGAUUACUAUAUAAAAAAUUUUAUAAAUAAAUAAUUAAAUAUUUAUAUAAUCUAUUUAUUAUAUUAAGGUCAGUUUUAAACAUGAAAAAUUAAGCAGUCGGUCUCAUAUUAUAGAUAGAUUCAAUUUUAGUUAUUUUUUAGAUAAUACUCCAAUUAAUUUUUAAAAAAAAGAUAUAGUUUUUUGAAAUACAAGGUCCAUUCUCAUAUCUUAUCAACAAUUCACCAUCUCAACAAUUUAAGUGCUAUCACUCUAACUAUUCUAUUUAAAAUUUGUAUUGUUCUAUUUAUUUAAUUUAUAAAAAUUCUCAUCAGAUAUCUUCUUGAUUACUUUUUUAAAGAUUUUUUUAGAUGUUCUUGAUUUUUGCUGAAAUUCAAGAUAUGAUUAAAUAUGGAUGGAUUUUGAUCUCAUUUCUAUUUCCUUUAAGUGUUAAAGGUUUUGAAUAUAAGGAGGCCUCCUAGGAAAAAAAUUGCCUAAAGCUCUACAAACUCUAUCUAGAGCCAAUCUUGAUUUUAUUUAGUGACCAAUAAUGUAUUUCACAUACACUAUCUCACAUGUAAUGAUGUAUAAUUUAAAUAAUUUACAUUUAUUUAUGGUAAUUAUGAAUGAAUACCCAAUAAUUAAUUUAUUAUAUAUUUAUUUUUUUAUUAGUUGUCUUCUUUACUAGAAAUCUUGUCAUAAUUUUUAAGCCGUUGAUCAAAAUAAAAAGUAACAUUUAAUUAAGUUAAACUAUCAAAAGUUAGAUUACAUGAAAUCAUCCACAAUUUGUUUACAUGAAAUCAAUGUCACAAUAUAUAUUUAAAAUAUUUAAUUUAAAAUAACCCUUAAUAAGGAUUUUUACAUUUGUAUAGUUGAUACAUAGUUUGAAUUCAAAGAAAUGUAUCAUGAAUCAUUACUUAGCAUCUAUAUCUAUAUAUCUAUAUAAAGCUGGGACUUGAGGAGGUGAUAUGGCAUCAACAUUUCUCGUCUUUGUAUAUUCUCUAUUAUCUAAUAAAUAAAGAAAUUUUCUUUUAGAUUUGGCUUUUCAUCUUCUCAUAAUUAAUUUGAUUGUUAUUAUACAAUAACAAUUAUGUAAAGAUUUUAAUGAGGCAUAUUCUUUGUAAUGAACAUCCAAGGGGGAGUGUUAUGAAUUUAUUAAAAUAAAUGUAGAUGUUCAUAACAUAUAUCUCUUAGUCUCCCCACUAUCUCUCAUUAGCAACCUUUAGCUUCCCUAUAACUCCCACUAUCUCACAAGGAAUUAUGAUCUAUAAUUUUUCAUUAAUUUCAUAGAGUGAUUAUGUAACUAUAAAAGGAGAGCUCAUUUUUUUGUUUUGUACACACAUAAUUGGAAUGAAUAAAGAAUAAUUUAAUGGCUAUACAUAGUUCAAUAAUCUAAUGUACAUGAUUCACUGACUUUUGAGAAGGACAAUUUACACUUAUUUUAUACAAAACUUGAUGCUGAAUAAUUUAAUGGCUAUACAUAGUGCAAUGCGAAAUGUUGUACACAAAAAACGAAGCUUUGUUUUUUAUCAGCACCAAUAAUUCAACUAGCAACGACCAAAACACUGCCGAUCCACGCGUUUCUGCCACUAAAGUCAAGCAUUAGUAAUCAGUUGGGUUAUUUAUUUUUUAUCAGUUGAAUUAUUAUAUAAAAUAUUUUAAAAUUGUUUGAUGAUUAAUUAUUAAUCAAAUAUUUAAAUAGUUUUAUUUAAUAGACAAUAAAAAAAUCUCAUAUGUAAUAUUAUAUAAUUUCAAUAAUUUACAUUUGUUUAUUGUAACUAUGACUAUUUAAUACUAAUUUAUUAUAUAUAAAUCAACCUUUUGUAUUAAUUGUCAUUAAAUUAAUUUUAAUUUUUACUGAUAGUGAGAGGUAAACGCAUUUAAUAUUAACAUGAACGCGCAAAUAUAUUUUUGCCACUAGAGAAGCACACCACGGGUAGUUUGAUUUGUUUAUUUAUCAUAGACGUCAUUUAUCAUUUGAUUAUUAUAUAAAAUAUUUUAUAAAUGAUUAGGCGGAUUUAAGUAUAGGUAAAUUAAUCGGUCGUCUUAGGCCCAUAUUUUAGAUAGACCUUAUUUUUUAGUUAUUUCUCUAAAAAUACUCUAAUUAAUAAAAAAAUUUGAAUUACAUCAUUUUUGAAUUACAUACGGCAACUAUUUUAGAUAUUUCUUUAAUUAAUAAUUAUUCUACAACUAAGAUUUAUUUAUACAAAUUCUAUAUUUGACAACUUUGAUGAUAAAUAGCUAUAAAAAGUUUGUGUUGACUAAUUGUCUAUAUAUCAUUGCAUGAGAUGAUGACUAGCAAUUCAUAGAGACAUUUUCCAUUUUAACAUUUGAUACUGAGUAAAUUAUACCAUUAAUUAAAUUAAACUGAAUUAUAUAUAAUUUGAUCUCAAAGUCUUGAGAUGGAUUGGCAAAUGGAAUCAAGAAUAAUUUGAUAGUAACACCGGUUCCUUAUUUGUUUGAAUUUAAUUAUAAUUAUUUAUCUUUUGUUUGAGUGAAUUUAUUUUAAUUAGUAUUGUUUGAGAUAAGGCCUAAUUCUUUUUAUUUAUUUAUUUAUUUAUUUUUUUUAAAUAAAAUAUAAUCGAUUAUCAUCUUUAUCGUAUUUUUAUAAAAGCAGAGUAAAUUAUGAAAAAUGAAGAAGAAAAAAAUGUGCAGAAAUUGAACAAAGCCUAGUUUGUGGUCGUGGUUUGUGAAUGAAGAGUGAAAAAGUGCACACAAAAACAGAGCUUUAUUGACCAUGCACCAAUAAUUCAGCCAGGAACGACCAAAGCGCCACGACGUCAAUCCACGCGUUUCUGCCUCUAAAGUCAAGCAUGAGUAAUUGGUUGAGUUAUUUAUCUUUUACCAUUUGAUUAUUAUAUAAAAUAUUUUAAAAUCAUUUGAUAAAUAAUCAUCAAUCAAAUAUUUAAAUAGGUUUAUUUAUUUUAUUUAAUACACAAUAAUAUAUCUGAUAUGUACUAAUGUAUAAUUUAAAUAAUCUAUGUUUAUUUGUAGUGAUUAUGACUAGCCAAUACUAACUUACCACUAGAUGUCUUUUAAAUUAAUCUUAGUUUUAGUGAUUGUGAGAGAUUCGCCGGUGAGAUUUCUCUUGAAUUGGAAUCAUUAAAGUUAUCCAAUUAAUUUUGGGUGUAAAUAAUUUUUUGGAAAGUAUUUCAUAAGUUCCGAUUAUUUAAUUUUAGCCAAAUAAAAUUAAAUAAUUCUCCUGAAAUACCCAGGGAUGGUUAAGUAUUAUUAUUAUUAUUAUUAUUAUUAUUAUUAUUAUGAUAAAGUUAAGUACUAUUAUUUAAUUAUAAUUGGAAAAGAUAAAAUCUACGUAGAUUGAACGAAGUCCGGUUUGUGACUGGAGCAAAAGCAAGCAAGAGAAUCCAAUGUGAAUUUGGUCGACAAUAACUAGCUCUACUUGACCCACCAUGCACCAAUAAUAAUUCAGCUCUGCUACUGCGAGGAAAUUGCAGCAUUUAUGCCACACAAGUGGCGUAAGCCGUGCUCUACGAAUUCCAAUAAUACGACAAUUCUCUAAAUAAAAGUCAGUCUAGCGACGACCAAAAUACGACUACGCGGACGCGUCUCCACCGCUAGAAAGGCAUGAGCAAUUUGGUUUUGAUAUAAUCUAUUUAUUUUAUUAAGAUCAGUUUUAAGCAUAGGCAAAUUAAGCUGUCGGCUGAACUCCAUUUUAGUUAUUUUUUAAUAAUAUCUAAUUAAUUUAAAAUACGAUAUAAUUUCUUAAAAUAUAAAAUCAAUUGUUAUAUCUUAUCAAUAAUUCAUCAUCUCAACCAUCUAAGUGCUAUCAUUCUAAAUAUUUUAUUUAAAAUUUAUAUUGUUCUUAUUUAUUUAAUUUAUAAAAGUUCUGCUCGAAAUAAAAAAGAUAUCUUCUUGAUUACUUUUUUAAGGAUUUUUUUAAAAUUAUUUAGGAUGUUAUUGAUUCUUGUUGAUAUUCAAGAUAUAAUUAAAUAUUGAUGAAUUUUGAUAUCUUUUCUAUGUCAUUUAAGUGUUAAAGGUUUUGAAGAUAAGGAGGUCUCCCGAAAAAAAUUUGCCUAAAACCUUGCAAACUCUAGUUAGAGCCAAUCUUGAUUUUAUUUAGUAGGUAAUAAUGUAUCUCACACGCACUAUCUCGCAUGUAAUCAUGUAUAAUUAAAAUAUUUUACUUUUAUUUAUGGUAAUUAUGAAUGAAUACCUAAUAACUAAUUUAUUAUAUAUUUAAUUUUUUUAUUAGUUGUCUUCUUUACUAGAAAUCUGUCAUAAUUUUUUAGCCGUUGAUCAAAAUAAAAGUAACAUUUAGUCAUGUUAAAUCAUCAAAAGUUAGAUUACAUGAAAUCAUCUGCAUUUGGAUUUGGGAAGGCUGAAGAGUAAAGCAAGCAAGAGCGGGUAAUGUGAAAUUGAAAUACAAGUAUGCAACCCAAGAGGGGGGGUGAAUUGGGAUUCUAAAAAAAUUAUUCAGUUUAUAAAGAAAAACUUAAUGCAAAUAUAAACCAAAUUCAAAGCAAUAACAAUUAAGUUGAUCACAAUAUAAAACGAUAAGGGAAGAGAGAUUCAAACACAGAGAUUUUUACGUGGUUUGGCCAACCUCGCCUACGUCCACGCCUCCAAGCUUUCCGGGCUUGAGGAUUCCACUAAGCAAGCCUCCAAGGCUUCAAAUGCUUACACUUGACUUCCAAGGUGUCAAUAAACCUUUACAACAAGAGAUUAUCCCCAAUCUCUUAACCCAAGUGUAUCCCAACACUUACAAUCACUCAAAGUAAAAGAUUACAAACUGUUAUGCCUCUCACAAUAUAUAAGAUAACACAAUGAUGCUUAAUAUGUGAAUAGAUGAAGCAAGAAUGUGUUCUAAGCUCUAUGAAGAUUGUAUUCUCGAAUAUUAGCUCAAAUGGUCGUGUUGUGAUCAACCUUAUUUGAAUUUGAAUGAGCUUAUUUAUAGUUGGAGCUGAAAAAUUAGCCGUUACAAACUGUCAGUCGAAAACGGUUCGCCAUUAGCCAUUAACGGUUAACCGUUUACACUGCUCAAAAGUUACCGUUGGGCCAAAUUUCAAAUAAACGGUUUGCCGUUUAGGAUUAGCCUUUCGCCGUUAAUUUCCAGGGACCUGCAAGAUGAACAUCAGUUAUCCAUUUACACUAAACGGUUAAGGAUUUGUAAGAAGUGACUUCUCUGGAUGUUAUCGGUUAACUAUUUGUAAUAAACGGUUCGCCGUUUGUCUCCAGUAACCUGCAAAACAAUUCAGCCUUAACCGGUUUUGUUAAUCAGUGAUUCUGGAUGUUAUCGGUCAACCGUUUAUAUAAACGGUUUACCGUUAAGUUCCAGUGGCCUUCCCAUCUUUUGUGUUUUCCGUUUUUCAUAAACGGUUAGAGCUUUAGGCAUUAUAUUGCUCUCUGGAUGUUAUCGGUUAGCCGUUUAAAUAAACGGUUCACCGUUAAGUUCCAGUGGCCUUCCCAUCUUUCGUGUUUUCCAUUUUUCAUAAAUGGUUAGAGGUUUAGGAAAUAUGUUGCUCUCUGGCAUUAAUCGGUUAACCGUUUAGAGGAAAACAGUUUACCGUUUAUUUCCAGAAUCACAUUUUAAACCAGUUUUUGCAAAGAAACUUUUUCUAAUAUGAAAGUCCAUCUUUUAUGAAUCUUUUUCGUUUGUUAAGGUUUGUUAUCAAAAACCAUUUAAAGUUUGUUAUCAUCAAAAUCAAUAUUAUUAACAUAUACAUGUUAACAAUCUUCCCUUUUUUUAUGAUGACAAACUUCAUUCAAUAUUAAGCUCGCCCUUAAUAUAUGCUCCCCCUAAAUGUAUGGCCAGAUUAAGAAAUGUCCAAUAAAAAGAUUUUUGCUUAAGAAAACAUUUUUAAAUACAUUUUAGAUAAUCUCCCAAUUAUCUCCCCCUUCAUCAUCAAAAAGAAAAGAGAGAAGGGAAAAAACGCUAAUCCUUUAAAGAAGUUACCCGGUUUUGGUGAGCGAAAAUUUUGGCAGAGUUUCCCCUUAAAAAUGAGCAAAACCACUAAUACAAAAUGAGAUUAAAACACUUCCAAAAUAGAUUAACAUCAACUUCAUCUUUCAACAGCCCAACAACUUCAUGAACAAACAAACCAACACUUCAAUAUCCAAUAAACCACAAAGUUCAUCAACUAAUAACCAAGGUAUCCAAUCAUCAAGAACUUCACAAAUAUAUGUCAUCAAAAUCCAGAAAGAGCAUAUAAAGGAAACAAUGUAUAUAAAAAUAGAAAUGGCAACAUGCAAUCAACCAAAAUAUGAGAUGUAUGUGCAAAAAACAGAACCUAGAAACUAUGGAGGCGGAGAAGAUGUGCUCCUCGGAUCAUAGCCGAAAUAGCGGAGAAGAGUGCGCUGUCCAGCGAUAAGCUCAAGCUGCUGAUCGAUGCUCUGCUGCUGGAAGGUCUGAAAGUCAGAUCGUAGCUACUAGUGGUCACGGGAAACAGAGUCCAACCGAUCAAGAAUUAGCUGCUGGCGCUCCGAAAUCCGCUGAACAUCAAUAAUCAACUGCUGUACAACGUCUGAAGCAGGGGGCUUAACUGGAGCUGGAUACGGCAUAGAAGCAGAUGGCUGCUCGGGAACAACAGAUGGCUCAGGAGCAGGAGGCGGCUCGGAAGAGGAGGGAAUGUCAGCAUCCAUCGCACGCUCCUCAGGGUCAGAGACAGUUGGAGGCUGAGGAACAAAAUGGCGACGCAGAGGAUGAGGAAGAGCUCCUAAUCUAAAGUCAGGAAGCUAAUCGGGAGGAUAGAUAUCAUUGAGCAUCCGAUCGUCCUCUGGAGCAAUCAAGGUAUCCCGGUUUUUGGAGUUGCUUGUCUUUAUCCACUGUCCAUUCUUUCUAGAGAAACCAAUACUAGUCAUGGCCUCGGGACCAAUCCGUCUAGUCUCCAUAAGUCUAGUAUCAAGAAGAGGCACCUCAAAGCGUCGCAGUAUCUUAGUGAUGAUACUGCCAUAAGGAAGCAAGCAGUGAUUGAACCGCGAGAGUACUCAACAUGUGUCGCACAAUAAUAUACCCGAGAUUAAUGGGACGGUCUGUAAGAAGGCUAUCUAAUAGGGCAACGUCCAACCUCGUAACCUCAUCCGAGUGACCCUUCCUAGGUGUCACUAUGUGCUGUAAAAUAGUGUAAAGAAUACGAACUUGGAGAGGUAAAAGUUGAGACCGAAAAGGAAGUAAACAAAUCUCAUCCGAUAAGUCUCGACGACGACAUAUAUUACGGACGCCAUCAGUAUGAGAAAAACUGUCAAAGGAAAAGGCUUUCUUAGAGGAGUAAAUAUCAAGCCCCUCACAAGGGAUACCAAGAAAGUCAGCUAGAUCCGCAUCAUCAAACUCUAUUGGUACACGGCCAACUUGAGUAACUAUCCUAUUUGGGCGAGUAUCGGAAAUUUCCAUGUUCGAAUAAAAGACUCGCACUAAACUUGGAUAAACACAGUCAUCAAGGUCAAUGGCAGCCUCCCAUGGCUGAAGCAUAUCCCUAAUGCUUCUACCACAUACAACUAAGUUGCGGAAAUCAUCAAUAUCAACAAAGAAGGAGUCAAGUACCUUUCGACCGUUGAAGCGCUCUUCGAACCGCUUGGCCAAGGAAGGUGUGGGGAAGUGAAUGCGUGCAAAUUCAGAGACAUCCCGUGGUGGUAUAGGAUUCCUUGGAGGCACAGAUUUACGCCUGGGAUUUCUUCGAGAGGGUUCAGCCAUGGAGAAACGCAAUGAAGUGUGGAAAAUGCAAGAGAGAUGUGAUGAGAAGAAAAUGAAUCGAUAAAUGGCUUAAGAAUGAAUAGAGGAUGUGAGUAGGAUGUUCAAUUUGAUUGAAGAAGGGUAAAAAUUGGAUUAAAAACGAAGAAACUCGACCCGUGGUAGUUAGGGUUUAGAUUUGGGAUUUUUGAAUUUUGGGCUCGAUUUGAAGUUUUGAAUCGGUAGAAUUGUUCUAAAGGUGAUAAGAAAUGAUUUUGAAGGUUUGAUCUGGCAAGAAAAGCAGGAAAAAUGAGGGUUUGAGGGCAGAGAAACCUUCGGCUGCGCAACAAUGGCCGAAACGGUGAAAGGGUAACUGGAGAAAGAGAAGAAAAACCUUUGAACAGUUUUUAUAGUCGCGAAAACGGUUAACCGUUUAUUUAAACGGUUAAGGGGUAACUGCCAGAGGACUCUCUGUAUACAAACGGUUCACCGAUUGUAACAAACGGUGACAGAGUAAACGGACAGAUACAUAAUCUCGUUUCUGGAACAAAACGGUUCACCGUUUAUUGGAAACGGUUAUCUGUUUAUUUUAUUUGUAGUUUUGUACAUUUGAUUUAAUUUUUGGCUAACUAAUAAUAUAUUCCAAGAUCAUUUAAUUGAUCUGAAAAUAUUUUAUGAGCUAUUUUAAUGCAUGAUUCGUGAACGUGUUUUCAACCAAUUUAAUUUAUAUAAUCAAGAAUUAACAAGGUAAAUUCAUCAUUUGACUAUCAAGUUCAAGCAUUUCAUAAAUAUUUGAUCACAACUAAGUCAAUCAAUUCAGUACACUCAAUAGCAUGAAUAGAGAUAUUAAUGCGAAAAUUUCAUCAUCCCAAGUUCAUGCCGAAUUUUUGAAAAUUGUACUUCGCAAAGUGGUUUUUUGAAAAUAUCGACAAGUUGUUUUUCCGUGGAAAUAAACUCUAAUGCAAUAUCUCCCUUUUGAAUAUGAUCCCUCAAUAAAUGAUGUCUAAUUUCUAUAUGCUUGGUUCUAGAGUGUUGAAUGGGAUUCUUUGAAAGAUUUAUAGCACUAGUAUUAUCACACUUAAUAGAAUUUGUUCAAGAUUAAUACCAUAAUCUCUAAGUGUUUGUUUCAUCCAAAGUGCUUGUGCACAACAACUUCCGGCAGCUAUAUAUUCAGCCUCGGUAAUUGAAAGUGCGACAGAAUUUUGUUUCUUGCUAAACCAUGAAACAAGAGAGUGUCCUAAAAUAUAGCAAGUUCCACUAGUGCUCUUCCUAUCCACUUUAUAACCGGCAAAGUCCGCAUCCGAAUAACAUGUUAAAUCUAUAUGAGUUCCCCUAGGAUACCAAAGGCCAAUAUCUAUGGUUCCACUCAAAUAACGGAAAAUUCUUUUAACAGCAAGCAAAUGGGAUUCCUUGGGACAUGACUGAAAUCUUGCACACAAACAUACACUAAACAUGAUAUCGGGUCUACUUGCAGUCAAAUAAAGUAGGGAUCCGAUCAUACCUCGAUACAUUUUGAUAUCCACUUCUUUGCCUUUUUCAUCUUUGUCCAGCUUGGUUGUUGUGCUCAUUGGUGUAUUUUUAGUCUUUGAGUCAUCAAUGCUGAAUCGUUUGAGUAGAUCUUUUACGUACUUGGCUUGAUUUAUGAAAAUUCCUUCCUCGUUUUGUUUGACUUGAAGUCCAAGGAAAUACUUCAACUCACCCAUCAUAUUCAUCUCAAAUUCUUUGCUCAUACACGAUGAAAAUUCUUUACACAACAAUUCAUUAGUAGAACCAAAAAUAAUAUCAUCAACAUAAAUUUGAACAAUAAGUACAUCUUGGUUCUUAUGCUUAACAAAUAGAGUAGUAUCCGCUUUACCCAUUGAAAAAUCAUUUUCCAACAGGAAAUUCUUAAGUAUAUCAUACCAUGCUCGAGGUGCUUGUUUUAAUCCAUACAAGGCUUUAAGCAACUUAUAAACGUGAUUUGGAAAUUUUUCAUUUUCAAAAUCAGGGGGUUGUUUUACAUACACUUCUUCCAUAAUAUACCCAUUUAGGAAAGCACUUUUCACAUCCAUUUGAAAUAAGAUGAAAUCUUUAUGACAUGCAAAUGCUAACAACAUUCUAAUUGAUUCUAGUCUAGCAACGGGUGCAAAAGUUUCAUCAAAAUCAAUUCCUUUUUCUUGGUUGUAACCUUGAGCCACUAAUCUAACUUUAUUUCUUACAACCACACCGGAUUCAUACAUCUUGUUUCUAAAUAUCCAUUUAGUACCUAUGACGGAUUGAUGUUCCAGUUUAGGAACUAAUUCCCACACAUUGUUUCUUUCAAAUUGAUUUAACUCCUGUUGCAUUGCCAUAAUCCAAGAUUCAUCAUUUUCUGCAUCCUCAAAGGAUUUUGGUUCAAUUUGAGAAAUGAAUGCAUUAUGCUCACAAGUAUUUCUAAGUGAUGAUCUAGUUGUAAUACCACGUGAGGGAUCUCCUAAAAUUACAUCUUUAGGGUGAGAAGAGACAUACCUCCACUCCUUGGAGAGUGUUUGAGAAGUACCUUCAUUUUGCUACACAUUUGGUUCUUCAUGAUGUUCCUCUUGAAUUCCAUGUGGUGCGUCUUCUUGGUUGUCAUUUGAUGCUUCUUCUUGUUGUUCUUCUUCUGCAUUAUCAUCAACAACGACUUUCUCCGUAGACGAGGGGUUAGACUCAUCAAAUGUGACAUGCAUAGAUUCUUCCACAACUAAAGUUCUUUUGUUAUAGACUCUAUAAGCUUUGCUUGAAUUUGAAUAACCAAGAAAAAUACCAACAUCAGAUUUUGGAUCAAAUUUACCAAGAUUAUCUUUUGUGUUCAAAACAAAACAUUUGCAUCCAAAAACUUUAAAAUAGCAAAUGUUGGGUUUUCUAUCUUUCCAAAGCUCAUAUGGAGUUUUAUUAAGAUUAGGUCUAAUCAACACCCGAUUCAAAACAUAACAAGCGGUGUUGAUGGCUUCGGCCCAAAAAUAUUUUGGUAAUGCAUUUUCAUUUAACAUGGUCCUAGCCAUUUCUUGAAUAGACCUAUUCUUUCUCUCAACAACUCCAUUUUGUUGUGGAGUUCUAGGUGAUGAAAAUUGAUGCUCAAUGCCUAGAUUAUUGCAAAAAAUCUCAAAUGCAUGAUUUUCAAAUUCUCCUCCAUGAUCACUCCUAAUGCAUACAAUACCAUGCCCUUUUUCAUUUUGUAAUUUCUUACAAAGCACUUUAAAAGCAUCAAGAGCAUCAUCCUUAUUUUCUAAGAAUAAUACCCACGUAUAUCUAGAAUAAUCAUCCACUAUCACAAAUGCAUAAUAUUUGCCAUUUAGACUCGCAUAUCUAGAUGGCCCAAAAAGAUCUAUGUGAAGAAGUUCAAGUGGUUUUGAAGUAGAAAUAUGGUUUUUAUUCUUGAAAGAAGUUUUAGUUUGUUUUUCAAAUUGACAAGCUUCACAAAUCUUAUCCUUUUGAAAACCAAUUUUUGGAAGACCUUUAACUAAAUCAUCUUUCGAAAUUUUUGAAAUUAAAUCCAUACUUGCAUGUCCUAACCUUCUAUGCCAUAACCAACAAUCAUCAUGCAAUGCCGAAAAAUAUUUAUCAAGUGUAGAUGCACAUUCUAUGUCUAUGAUAUAAACAUUACCACAUCUAUUCCCAACAAAUAAGGUUUUGCCAUCACAUGAGUUCUUAAUAACACAACUAAAUUUAUCAAAGAUAAUUUUAUAACCUUUGUCACAUAAUUGACUAAUGCUAAUUAAGUUGUGUUUCAAGUUCUCAACCAAACAUACAUUCUCAAUUAAAGUUGAAGAGAUUUUACCAACAUUUCCAAUUCCAAGAAUUUUUCCUUUUAAGUUGUCCCCAAAAGAUACGUCUCCACCAUUUUCAAUAUUGGUGAAGCUUGAGAACCAUGCAUAGUUUCCAGUCAUGUGCCUUGAACAACCGUUGUCCAAGUACCAUUUAUUUUUCUUCUUCUUCAAGCCCUACAAGAAAAAAUCUCAAGUUUUAGGUACCCAAAGCUUUUUGGGUCCUUGAGAGUUAGCAACGGUUCCUUUUGGAACCCAAAUGCAUUUGACACCAUAAUACGCAUUCCUUUUCACUGGACAUCUAAAUUUCAUGUGACCAUUUUGAUUACAAUAAUGACAUACAAUCUUUGUGGAGGUAGCUUUAACAAAAUAAUUCUUAUAAUACUUUUGCUUCAAGUUAGGCUUAUAUCCAAGUCCUCCUUUAUCAAAAACACAUUUUUUUAAGUUAAGCAUAUUAUCCAACAUCUUUUGCCCAUUUGUAAAUUUCAAAACAAUUUCAUUCAAUUCAUUACUCUUUUUCUUGAGCAUUUCGUUCUCAUUUUUCAACUCAUCUAUGUGUGAUUUUAAAUGCUCAUGUAAGAUGCUAGGUUUCUCAUUUGAUAAUGCAAUUUCAUCAUGCAAUGUUUUGUUUCCUACUUCUAGGCAUACAAUUCUUGCAUUUAGAGAUUCAUUUUCAUUUUUAAGCUUUGCCAUUUCCUUUUUAAGACAUACAUUCUUUUUACCAAUCUUCAUCAACUCAUUAUGCAAAUCUUUAAAAGCAUCAUACAAUUCAUUAUAGAUGGGAUCACUUACCUCAUUGAGAUCAUCAUCCCCUUCUAUUGCCAUGAGUGCUAGGUUUGAUACUUCUUGCGAUCAUUCUUCAUCAUUUGAUUCUUCCUCACUAUCAUCCCAAGUUGCAACCAUUGCUUUCUUCUUGAGUUUGUUGAUAAGUGGGCACUCCGAUCUUAUAUGUCCAGGCUUCUUGCAUUCAUAGCAUGUGAUUGCCUCAUUCUUCUCCCUAUGGUUCUUGAAGUUUCUGAAAUUUCUUUGCUCUCCGGUUUUCUUGAAGAAUUUUCUGAACCUCCUUGCUAGCAUGGCUAGCUCUUCAUCAUCCAGUUCACUCUCCCCAUCACUCUCAUAUUUUGAAGCUUUGAGAGCAAUGCUUUUCUUCUUCUCCUCAUGUCUUUUUUCUGCAGCUAAAUCCUCUUCAUACGAAAUAAGAGAACCAAUUAAAUCAUCAAGAGGUAAAGUAUUUAAAUCUUUGGCCUCUUCAAUUGCGGUUCUUUUAGGUCUCCAUUCUUUUGGAAGUGACCUAAUGAUUUUCUUAACUUUCUCACUAUUUGAGAAGGUUUUCCCUAAGGCACCUAGGGUGUUCACUAUGUCUGUGAAUCUAGUGUACAUAGAAUAUACAUUUUCAUUUUGUUCCAUUUGGAACAACUCAUAUUGACGAGUGUAUCUACUAAUUUUAGACUCUUUUACUUGAUUUGUCCUUUCAUAGACAACUUCAAGUUUGUUCCAUAUCUCUUGUGCACUUUCACAACUAGAUACUCUAUGGAAUUCUUUUUUAUCAAGGGCACAAAACAAAGCAUUCAUAGCCUUGGAGUUUAGAGACAUCUUUCUCUUUUCUAACUCACUCCAUUGACUCGAUGGUUUAGGAAUAUCAUCUCCUACUUCAUCUUUAAACGUAGGCAUGAAUGGACCAUCACAAACAACUUCCCAAAUUUCAUAAUCUAAGGCUUGCAAAUAGAUUCUCAUUCUAGUUUUCCAAUAAGCAUAGUCAUUACCAUCGAAAAAUGGUGGUCUAGUUGUAGAUUGCCUUUCUCUAAAUGUUGAGUCAUUUAGGGUUGCCAUGGAUCUUUUACUCUAGACGAUUAAGUCUUAACAAGAGAACAAGGCUCUGAUACCAAUUGAAAUACAAGUAUGCAACCCAAGAAGGGGGGUGAAUUGGGAUUCUAAAAAAAUUAUUUAGUUUAUAAAGAAAAACUUAAUGCAAAUAUAAACCAAAUUCAAAGCAAUAACAAUUAAGUUGAUCACAAUAUAAAACGAUAAGGGAAGAGAGAUUCAAACACAGAGAUUUUUACGUGGUUCGGCCAACCUCGCCUACGUCCACGCCUCUAAGCUUUCCGGGCUUGAGGAUUCCACUAAGCAAGCCUCCAAGGCUUCAAAUGCUUACACUUGACUUCCAAGGUGUCAAUAAACCUUUACAACAAGAGAUUAUCCCCAAUCUCUUAACCCAAGUGUAUCCCAACACUUACAAUCACUCAAAGUAAAAGAUUACAAACUGUUCUGCCUCUCACAAUAUAUAAGAUAACACAAUGAUGCUUAAUAUGUGAAUAGAUGAAGUAAAAAUGUGUUCUAAGCUCUAUGAAGAUUGUAUUCUCGAAUAUUAGCUCAAAUGGUCGUGUUGUGAUCAACCUUGUUUGAAUUUGAAUGAGCUUAUUUAUAGUUGGAGCUGAAAAAUUAGCCGUUACAAACUGUCAGUCUGAAAACAGUUCGCCGUUAGCCAUUAACGGUUAACCGUUUACACUGCUCAAAAGUUACCGUUGGGCUAAAUUUCAAAUAAACAGUUUGCCGUUUAGGAUUAACCUUUCGUCGUUAAUUUCCAGGGACCUGCAAGAUGAACAUCAGUUAUCCAUUUACACUAAACGGUUAAGGAUUUGUAAGAAGUGACUUCUCUGGAUGUUAUCGGUUAACCGUUUGUAAUAAACGGUUCGCCGUUUGUCUUCAGUAACCUGCAAAACAAUUCAGCCUUAACCAGUUUUGUUAAUCAGUGAUUCUGGAUGUUAUCGGUCAACUGUUUAUAUAAACGGUUUACCGUUAAGUUCCAGUGGCGUUCCCAUCUUUUGUGUUUUCCGUUUUUCAUAAACGGUUAGAGCUUUAGGCAUUAUGUUGCUCUCUGGAUGUUAUCGGUUAGCCGUUUAAAUAAAUGGUUCACCGUUAAGUUCCAGUGGCCUUCCCAUCUUUUGUGUUUUCCGUUUUUCAUAAACGGUUAGAGGUUUAGGAAAUAUGUUACUCUCUGGCAUUAAUCGGUUAACCGUUUAGAGGAAAACGGUUUACCGUUUAUUUCCAGAUCACAUUUUAAACCAGUUUUUGCAAAGAAACUUUUUCUAAUAUGAAAGUCCAUCUUUUAUGAAUCUUUUUCGUUUGUUAAGGUUUGUUAUCAAAAACCAUUUAAAGUUUGUUAUCAUCAAAAUCAAUAUUAUUAACAUAUACAUGUUAACAAUGGUGUACACAAAAACACAGCUUUACUGACCAAAACACCACCACGUCAAUCCAUACGUUUCUGCCACUGAAGUCAAGCAUGAGUAAUUGGUUGGGUUAUUUAUCUUUUGCCAUUUGAUUAUUCUAUAAAAUAUUUUAAAAUGAUUCGACAAAUAAUCAUUAAUCAAAUAUUUAAAUAGUUUUUUAUUUUAUUUAAUACACAAUAAUCUAUCUGGUAUGUAAUAAUGUAUAAUUUAAAUAAUUUACAUUUAUUUAUAGUGAUUAUGACUAGCCAAUACUAAUUUAUCAUUAGCUGUCUUUUAAAUUAAUUUUAAAUUUUAUUGAUAGUGUGAGGUUCGCCGGUGAAAUUUGUGUCUGAGUUGGAAUCUAUCAAAGUUAUCCAAUUAAUUUUGGGCAUACAUAAUCUUUUUGUAGUAUUCAUAAGUUCCAAUUAGAGUUGAUAAUGGGACAGGAUGGGAUGUGAUUUACCAAUCUUAGUCCCAUCCCGUAUAUACAAGUGGAAUAAAAAAAUAUCCAACUCUCAUCCUUAUAUUUUUUUAGGAUAAAAAUAUGUCUCAAUUCUAUCCAAAAAAAAAUGAGAUUUUGUGAGAUCCUAUCUCAAUUGAAAAAAUUCAUAUCCCUAGUUGGUAAUAAAACAGAAAUAGGAUAAAAAAAGUCUCACUCUCAUUCCUAUAUUUUUUUGUGAGAUAAAAAUAUAUUUUAAUCCAUCCCAAAAAUCCUAUCCCAUCAGAAAAAAAUUGACAUCUCUAGUUCCCAUUAUACCAAAGUCCAAAUUUUCGAGUUUGUCAUGAGAUGUUGAAAUUUUGCUUUUGAUGCAGCAACAAAUUAUUAAUUAAGCUUGUUCUUAGCUGUUCGAGGCCCCAUCCAAAUUGCACGUUUUCUUUUGAACUAUUCUUCUAUAUAUUAUUGCUCUUUCAUUCAAAUAAAAUUAAAUAAUUCUUCUGAAACACCCAUGGAUAGUUAAGUACUACCACUAUUAUUAUUAUUAUUUUAUCAAGUUAAGCACUAUUAUUUAAUGAUAAUUGAAAAAGAUAUAUCUACAUAAAUUGAACGAAGUCUGGCUGGUGAAUGAAGAGCAAAAGCAAGCAAGAGAAUCCAAUGUGAAUUUGGUCAACAAUAACAAGCUCUGCUUGACCCAUCAUGCAAAGAUAAUAGUUCAGCUCCCCGCUACCGUGAGGAAAUUGCAGCAUUUAUGCCACGAAAGUGGCGUAAGCCGUGCUCUACUAAUUCCAAUGAUACGAUAAUUCUCUAAAGAAAAGUCAGUCUAGCGACGGCUAAAACACGACCGCCCAGACGCAUUUCCACCACUAAAAAAGUAUGAGUAAUUUGGUAUUGACUAUUGAUCAUAUAAAUAUCAUUUAUCAUGUGAUUAUUAUAUAAAAUAUUUUAUAAAUAAUUAAUUAAAUAUUUAUUACUUUCAUCAAAUUACUCGUUCAUUUAAGUGUUGUGAUUCUAGUCAAUUGUAGGAGAUCCACAACAAUUGCAGUCAAUUCCAGAAAUUCUAGAGUACAUCAACGAUUGCAGUUAAUUUAAUUGUUUAGCUAUAUAACAAGUAAAGAAUAUUAUAUUGUGUGUUUAUUUAUUUUGAACAACCAACGUGCAAUUAGUAGUUGCAUUAAAUUUAACUACAUAUGUCAUACGCUCAGUUGUUAGUUAUAUUAUAUCUAAUAUACCAUAUACAUUCUCCAAUUAUAAGUUAGGCUUAAGUGAAUUAAUUUGCCUUUAUGUAAUCUUUCCCCAUAAAUAAGUUCUCUAGCUAAUUAUGAUUUGCUUUUUAUUAAUGAUUUUGAGAGAUACUAUUCAUUCUUUUAGUUAACUUGAUUCUUUCAUUAUGUUAAUUAAUUUGUGAUCUUAGUUUAAUAGGCACGGUUUAAUUACAUUCUAAAAUAUAUAUAGACACAAGAUAUUACAAAUGAAUCAUUUUCUUUUUGAUAAAUGCUCAUCCUCAUGAAUUUAUUACAUCAUAAUACAAUUUGCUAAUUGUUACAUGAUCAUAUAUCUGCCAAAAUUCUAUAUGUAUAUUUCUAAUAUGAUGAUACAACUAGAAUUUUUAGAUUUAGAAUAAAAUGAAUAGCAAAAUGAAGAUAUUGAGACUAGAUCUAAAAUGGGCCAAACUGGCUUUCAAGUUUGAAAGAAAGAUUUUCACCGCUCUUUUUUCCUUUAACAGUAAUUUUUCAAUGCUGCUUUGUAGGAUUUUUUCCUCUAAAAUUAAUAAGAGUUGGACUAUUUUGCACCCCUCUAUUAUUCUCUUAACACAGUUUAUUAACAAAUUUAAAGUAUCAUAUAAUUUCUACUAAACAAAUCCCAUUUAAGAUCUCUUUCUUAACUUCUUUAAGUAAAUUUUCACAUAUCUUUCUUCUUAAAGCUAUUUAAACAAUACUUUCUUCGUUUUUCUCUUAUUGGUAACUGUAUCAUAUAAAUAAUAUAGUAGCUAAAACUUUUUUUAUUGAUUAUUUUUAGGACUCCACUUCGAUGCCGUAUUUUUUUUAUAGCAUCAAUAAUAUUUCAAUUGUAUACCAUUAUAUUUAAUUAAUGGUACACAAUAUUUGUAUUAAAAAAAUAUAAAUAAUUUAAAAAUAAUUAUAACAGGUUUGUUAAGGAUUUAAGGAAGUAGAGAAUUUUUGUAAAAUAAUUGUAUCACCUUUAUAGUUUGAAAUAAUUUCACUUAAAUAGUAUGUUUUAUUUAAAAAUCACUUUUCAACCCUCCUUUAAAUUUGUAAUUUGAUAACUUUUUUUAACAUAAAUGUUUCAAAUCUAUUACUAUUAAGUAUAAAAUAUAAUAUCUAAUAAAUUAUCUAACACAAAUCAAAUAAACAAGUUGCAGUUAUAAAAUUUAUAUAUGGUCUAACACAAUAAAUGAUAGAACUAAGUACAUGUGUUUAAGUGAAUAUUAUAAAUUGUAUCAAUAAACUCAUGGGCAAAAUUGUUUGUAACCUAAAAAAUACUUGACCACUCAUGUUUUAAUUAAAUCUAAUACGACAUAUUAAAAUAACUAUUAUUUUAUAUACAAUUAAGGAACAUUGUAUAUUUGAUCAUAAAGUAUGUAUUAUUUUUAACACCAAUUUAGCAUAGUUAUUCCAUGAAAUUAUGGUUUAUGCUACAAUUAAUAUUCUUACAUGGUAGAAAAUUAUCCAAGCCCUAUAAAAUUUAAGUUUCACAAACCUAUAUAUUUUCAUUUUAUUUUCAAAUUUCACUUUGUUAAUUUCAUUAAAGUUAAAUCUUACACAUAUUCCUAAUUACCUUUAGUUUAUAAAUCGCAAAAGAUUAUUUUAUUUAUAGUCCUUGGAUUGUAAUUAUAGAAUUUUAUGUUACUAAGUAUUAUUACUCUUAUUAUGAUAAUUAACGGUAACAAUACAUAAAAAAAAAUUAACUCCAAUAAUAUUUACAUAGGAAAGAAUGAGAAAAAAAUCUUUAUAUAAUGUUAUAUUUUCAUUAUAAACCCGGUUUAGGAUAUUUUAACGUAAAAUUUUGAUAUAAAGUUUGAGCUAUUAAUCUCUCACAAUCUAAUGGUUGAUAUUGAAAGUCAAAACAAUAUUUUAGGAUGUUAUAUUACCCACCAUUGAAUUGCAUGAAUUUAACGGUUUAAAUUUUGUGCUAAAAAUUUAAGUUAAAAUAAGCCAACUCUAAAGGUAUAUAUCUUAACUCUAGAGGUAUGUAUCCAAGCUGUCAUGUAGUUAUAUACACACAUAUAUUUUUCAAUUAUAGUUGUUGAAUAAAAUAUUUCUCAUUUGUUGUGACUAAUAUAGUAUCAUUAAUAAAACAUAGAUCAAAUAAUUUAUAACAAUGCCUUCUAUGAUCAUUAUUGUUUAUUUAAUGGUUUUAUAAUUAAAUUUAUACAAUAAAUUAUUAUUAAGACCUUAUGAAAUAUCUUUAUAUAAAGUAUUAUUAAAAUAAUAUUACCUGUAAAAUUGUAAAGUUAUAGCUAUUACACAAUAAUUUUAAUUUCAAAAUUAUCUGUAUUUUUUUUUUGUGAUUUAAAAAUAUUUAUGAAUUGAUUAGAUUAAAAAUAAUUUAUAGUGUGAAGAAAUGCUACAACUUAUAAAUUACUAGUUACAUAAUUACUUAUCUAUUAAAAUUAAAAUAAAGUUGAAGAUUCUAAUAUUUAAAUUCAAUGAUCCCAUUUUUUAUUGUGGGAUUUUUAUUCCAACAUAAUAGAAUUUUUCAGUUGUUAAUUAAUUAAAAAAAAAAAUCUACAUUCACUAACCACCUGAAGUUUACAUGUUAUUCUUUAAUUGCGUUGAGUUUGGAUGCGGGUGUGGACCGUGGAGAGGAGAUGUUUAGUUAGGGGUAAAAUUGUAAACAAGAUUAAGCAGGGUUUAAAGAGGAUGUUGGAGGUGGGCGAAUAGCACCACUUAAUUAAUUGUUGCGUCUUGAGCCCAAAUUCGCUAACCUACAUCCAAGUCCAGCCAUUAGCAGGGUCAAAGAGCUUUGUUCCUUUUUUAUUUUUAUUUUUGGGGACAAGCAGUAUCACUAUUAUUACGUCAGCUUGAGUAAAUUUAUCUUUUAGUUUUGGGGGCAAUGUUUAGAUGUUGAAUAAAAUGUAGAAUUAAACUAAUUUGUAAAAUAAAAAUAUUAGCCCAAUCCAGAAUCAUGUUCGUUGUUAGGAUUAAUAAACUUGUCCAAAUUUUAUCCUAAUAUUCAUAGGAUUAUCAAUCUCCAUCACAUGAAUUUAGAUAGGAUUAGAUAUUUUAUAAUCUAAAUUUGUUACUAAUGUUAAAUUUUUAUUUAAUAAUUCACCUUAAACUUUUUCUAAAUUUAAGAUAAAAUCGAAAAAUUAUUUCAAUAAUUUAUUUUAACUCAUUUAUAAUUCAUUAAAGAUAAAAAAUUAUUCAAUUAUUCAAUUACAAUAAUAUCAAAAAGUUUAAGUAUUAAAUUUAACAACUAAUAAUAUGCUUUAAAAAUAAUAAAUGAUUUAAAUAGUUAUUUAUUUUCUCUAAAUUAAAUUUAACACAGUACUGUCCAAAAUUAUAUUAAACAAAAAAUAAUACUAUAUAAUUUAAUAUAAUCCACACUAAUUCUAAAAAUUAAUACAAUUCAAUCUAAUAUUUCAACCGUAUCUAAUAGAAUUUUAAAAGUGCAAAUUAUUAUUGAUGAAAUGUCACAUCAGAUAUCUUUUGAAUUGACAAUUAGAAACGAAGUUCGUAGUCUCAAUCUCAAUUCUCAACCAUCCCAAUUGGAAUCCAAAAUGCCCAAUUCUUCAAGAAAUAAAUAACAACGAAUUUGAAAUUUUUUUUUUUUUUUGGGCGAUGGAUGGCUAUCAUUUUUAUUAAAUAAAACAAAGACCAGAAAGAAAAUUAAAAACUAAAAAAAGUAGUCUUGAUGGGCCAAAAUGAUUCCAACGAAUGUAUAAAGACACAAAGCAAAAUGUCACAACGCAUGGCGUCACAUUUAUUCGGUGUAAAGCAUUACGUUAUGGGCAUGAUGCAAACAAUUAUUCUUGGUCACCUUCCCACUUCCCAUUUCUUUUUCCCCAAUAAGUACGUAGCCUUCUUUUUAAUUACCAUUUAACCCUUCUCUCCCUCUCACUCUUAUUUUUAUUUUGGCCUUCAUAUUUUCAACCCCUUAAUAUUAUUUAAUUGAUAGAUCGAAAAAUCAAGAUUUUCUCAAUAUUUGAUCUUUUCUCUAUUAAAUACGAGGUGAUUUAUUCUAAAAUUAGAAAAAAUAUAAAACGAUUUAAUCUUAAUUAAAUAUAUUUAUUAAUUCAUACCAAACACAAGAUAUUUAAAAUAAGGGUAAUUUUUAAAAAUCUCAGCUGAAAUUUAGAGUAUUAUUAUUGUGAAGCCUGAUUAGUUAAUUCUGUUAUAUGACUAAGUGGCGUGCUGAGUCAGCUUAUAUGUGGGGCCAGAGUUAGUUAAUUCGUUACUGCUAACAGCUGGACAACAGAGCUACAUAUACAUAGGCUCAGGGCUGAUCAACAGAGAGUUGAAGUCAUGAUUUUGAGAAGCCUAGGGUGAGAGAUAGAAAAUUCUCUGUAGGAGAGAUUUAAUCUUUGUUAUCAAUACUCUCAUUGUAAACACUUUGUUCAAUAAAAGCUUCAAGCCCAGAGGGGUUUAUUUGGUCGUGGAUGUAGGUACUUUAGUACUGAACCACGUUAUAUUGUGUGCAUUGUUUCUGGUUCAUCUUCUUCUUGUUGUUCUCUGGUUAUUUCUUGUGUUUGAUCUAGUUAGCUUUCUUGGUUAAAGAUUGUUGAUCUUGAAUCGAUUGGGUUCUAUAAGCUUAGGUUAUUUGAUUAAUUAGAGUGGAUCAAGAGGAAUUCCACAACAAACUGGUAUCAGAGCGAUAAAAGAUCUCAGCUCUUGUUCACAAAUGGCUAGUACAAGAUUCGAUGUAGAAAAAUUUAAUGGAGAAAAUGACUUCUACCUAUGGAGUCUCAAGAUGCGUGCAAUCUUGAUCCAACAGGGGCUUGACAGUGCUCUUGAUAAUGAAGAAGAUCAGAUUGGCAAGAAAGAGAUAUCAGAAGGCUCCUCAAGCUUGGGUGGAGACAUAAGGUCUAUUAACAACAAAGCUCACAGCACCAUAAUCUUGCAUCUAUCUGAUGAAGUGCUGAGAGAGGUUGCUAAAGAAAAAUCUGCAUCUGGACUCUGGUCGAAACUUGAAGAACUAUUCUUGAAGAAGUCUUUAGCCAAGAGACUCUAUAUGAAAAGGAAGCUGUAUACAUUCUCAAUGAAGGAGGGAACAGCCAUGAAAGACCAUCUCGACGAAUUCAACAAGCUAAUCCUGGAUCUUGAGAAUGUUAAUGUGAACCUUGAAGAUGAAGACAGAGCUCUUAUCUUGUUAAGCUCACUGCCAGAUUCAUAUGAGCACUUUGUUGACACAUUACUGUAUGGGAGACAAACCCUUACAUUAAAAGAUGUGAAGAAUGCUCUGGAAUCAAAAGAAUUAAAGAAAAGAGCUGAGGGAAAAGAUCAGGGCCUUGGUGAAGGUCUGAUGGCCAAAUCAAAACCUGAAAAGAAGAAGAAUCAUGACAAGAAAAGUAACAAUCAGAAGGAUAAAGCUGACAAGAAAAAGAAGAAGAGGAGGUGCUAUUUCUGUCAGAAGGAAGGGCAUUACAUAAAGGAUUGUUUCGAGAAGAAGAAACUUGAAAAGAUCCAAAAAGAUUCAUCAGGGAAGGCAGCCAUUGCAUCAGAAGAUGAAGGGGAUUCAGAAGGGGCAGAUGUUCUCAUAGUUGCAGAAAAACAACCCACUGAAGAGUGGAUCUUGGACUCAGGUUGCUCCUUCCACAUGAGCCCAAACAAGCAACUCUUCAAGACUUAUGAAAAAAUUGAUACAGGUAAGGUUUUAUUAGGAAAUAACUUGGCCUGUAAAGUUGCUGGAAUUGGAACUGUCACCAUAACUAUGCAUGAUGGAGUAGAUAGAGAGCUAAAGAAUGUAAGAUAUGUUCCAAAGCUUAGAAGGAAUCUAAUAUCCCUAGGAACAGUUGACCAGUCAGGCUGUAGCAUUAAGGCAGAGAAUGGUGAACUCCAAGUUACAAAAAAUGGCAUGGUUAUAAUGAAGGGAAUAAGAAGAAAUGGGUUAUAUGUCCUAAUAAGCUCCACUUCCUCUCCAGGAGUUAUAGCCUCUGUUAGUGGUGAUAAAACAAAGUUAUGGCACAUGAGAUUGGCUCACAUGAGUGAAAAGGGGUUAAGGGAAUUAGGCAAACAAGGUCUAAUUGGUUCUGGUCAGAUUUCAUCUCUAGAGUUCUGUGAAAAAUGUGUGUUUGGAAAGGCAACUCGACAGAGGUUUGGGACUGGGAAGCAAGAAACCAAGAAUUCAAUGGAUUAUAUACAUUCAGAUUUAUGGGGUCCAUCCCAAGUGCCAUCACAUGGUGGAGCUAGGUACUUCAUGACACUGAUUGAUGACUAUACCAGGAAGGUUUGGGUCUAUAUCUUAAAGCAUAAGAGUGAAGCUCUGCUGAAGUUUAAGGAAUGGCUGACCUUAAUUGAAAAUCAAACAGACAGGAAGGUAAAGAGAUUAAGGACUGACAAUGGGCUGGAGUAUUGUAGUAAAGAUUUUGAUGAGUUUUGCAGAGAGAAGGGAAUUGCAAGGCACAAGACUGUUAGACACACACCCCAGCAAAAUGGGCUUGCUGAGAGGAUGAAUAGAACAUUGGUGGAAAAAGUAAGAUGCAUGUUGUUUAGUGCAAACCUCUCAAAACAUUUUUGGGCUGAAGCUGUCACCACUGCAGCAUACUUGAUAAAUAGAAGUCCCUCAUCAGCACUCAACUUCAGAACUCCACAAGAGGUUUGGUCUGGAAAACCUCCUGAUCUAAGCAAUCUGAGAAUCUUUGGCUCACCAGCUUAUGCUCAUAUCAACCAAGGAAAGCUUGAACCUAGGGCAAUUAAGGGUAUCUUUAUUGGUUACCCUGAAGGUGUUAAGGGAUACAGAAUAUGGUGCAUUGAUGGGAAACCUUCAAGGAUUAUAGUAAGCAGGGAUGUUGUAUUUAAUGAGGGUUCCAUGCUGCAGCAAAAGGUUGAAACUGAACUGACAAUUUCUGAGCAACCAGCUAACCAUAAGCCUAAUCUAGAGGUGGAGCUUACUGAUGAUCAUAAAGACACUGAUGAAGAGUCCAAGUCUUAUAACAGCAAAUCUAGAUUCUCAGAAAUAAAUAACUACCAGCUGGCAAGAGACAGAGAAAGGAGGGUUAUCAAAAUGCCUAAGAAAUAUGGCAUAGCAGACUUGAUAUCCUAUGCAUUGAAUGUUGCUGAAGUUAUUGGGGAAGAGCCCAGCAGCUAUAAGCAAGCCAUGAACAGCAGGGAUAAAACAAAGUGGCUGUCAGCAUGGAAGAAGAAAUAUCCUCAUUAAAGAAAAACAACACCUGGUUUUUGGUAAGAAAGCCAGAAGAUAGGAAGCUGGUUGGGUGCAAGUGGAUCUUCAAACUUAAAGAUGGAGCUACAAGUGAAGAACCUCCUAGAUAUAAAGCUAGGCUGGUGGCAAAGGGCUUCACACAAAGAGAGGGGGUGGAUUACAGUGAAGUUUUUUCACCAGUGGUGAAGUAUAGCUCAAUAAGAGUGUUACUUGCAAUAACAACUUACCAUGAUCUGGAGCUGGACCAAAUGGAUGUCAAAACAGCCUUCCUACAUGGCAAUCUUGAAGAAGAGAUAUAUAUGGAACAACCAGAAGGUUUCAUACAAAAGGGACUCUGAAGACAUGGUAUGUUUACUUAAAAAGAGCUUGUAUGGUUUAAAACAAUCCCCCAGGCAGUGGUACUUGAGGUUUGACCAAUUUAUGAUUGCUCAUGGUUACUUGAGAAGUCAAUAUGACAGCUGUGUAUACUGUAAAUUCCUACCCUCUAGAGAUGGGAUAUAUUUGCUUCUCUAUGUGGAUGACAUGCUUAUUGCAUGCAAGCACAGAGAAGAAAUAGAAAAACUUAAAACUGAGCUAAGGGCUGAAUUUGAGAUGAAGGACCUUGGCUCUGCCAGCAAGAUUCUAGAAAUGCAGGUAAAAAGGGAUAGAGCUGCUAAGACUCUACUUCUUUCACAAGCUGGUUACAUCAAAAGAGUGCUCAGCAAGUUUGACAUGGUUACCUCUAAAGCUGUUUCCACCCUUUUAGGCACUCACUUCAAGCUGUCAAAGCAGCAAGAGCCAUCUGAUGAUGCAGAGACUGAGUAUAUGAAGAAAAUACCUUACUCUAGUGUGGUUGGAAGCAUUAUGUAUGCUAUGGUGUGCUCUAGACCUGAUAUUGCUUAUGGGGUAGGAGUAGUCAGCAGAUUCAUGGGGAACCCAGGAAAAAUGCAUUCUGUGUGGAUCAUCUGAUUCUGGUAUUUUAUUUAGUAGAGAUAACAAAGUCACAAGUAAAGUCAUAGGCUAUGUGGACUCAGACUUUGCUGGUGACUUAGACAAGAGAAGGUCUACUACUGGUUUUGUUUUCACCAUGUGUGGAGGAGCUGUAAGUUGGAAAGCAUCAUUGCAGUCAGUUGUUGCCUUAUCAACUACUGAAGCCGAAUACAUUGCACUUACUGAAGCUGUUAAAUAAGCUAAGUGGAUCAGAGGGAUUAUAUCUGAAAUGGGGUUGACUCAGGAUACAAUUCCAAUCUGUUGUGACAGCUCAAGUGCAAUUCAGUUAAGCAAAAACUCCAAAUACCAUGAGAGGACAAAGCAUGUAGAUGUGAGGUUACAUUUCAUAAGAGAAGAAAUUGAAAUAGGGGUAGUGGAUGUUGUAAAGAUCUCUACUGAAGUCAAUCCAGCAGAUGCACUGACAAAACCAAUACCAACAGUCAAGUUCAGAAACUCUCUGAGCUUGAUUGGAGUUACAAGCUUGUAAGUCAAGCAUAUUAACUAUCUAAACCAGGUCUGGGUGAAGCUGGUACAGAAUCAACUAAGGUGGAGAUUUGUGAAGCCUGAUUAGUUAAUUCUGUUAUAUGACUAAGUGGCGUGCUGAGUCAGCUUAUAUGUGGGGCUAGAGUUAGUUAAUUCGUUACUGCUAACAGCUGGACAACAGAGCUAUAUAUACAUAGGCUCAGGGCUGAUCAAUAGAGAGUUGAAGUCACGAUUUUGAGAAGCCUAGGGUGAGAGAUAGAAAAUUCUCUGUAGGAGAGAUUUAAUCUUUGUCAUCAAUACUCUCAUUGUAAACACUUUGUUCAAUAAAAGCUUCAAGCCCAGAGGGGUUUAUUUGGUCGUGGAUGUAGGUACUUUAGUACUGAACCACGUUAUAUUGUGUGCAUUGUUUCUGGUUCAUCUUCUUCUUGUUGUUCUUUGGUUAUUUCUUGUGUUUGAUCUAGUUAGCUUUCUUGGUUAAAGAUUGUUGAUCUUGAAUCGAUUGGGUUCUAUAAGCUUAGGUUAUUUGAUUAAUUAGAGUGGAUCAAGAGGAAUUCCACAACAAUUAUUUUGAUAGAAUGUAUUUUCAAAAACCUUCCCUCAUGAAUAUUUUAUUUUGUAUAAAUUAAGCUGACGAGGGUAAGAUCGUAAUUGAAUAAGUUAAUAACAAAAAAGUUCAAACAAAUUUAAUAUUUUCGCCUUGGGCUUUGAAAUUAUCCUUCAAUUAUAAGAUCUUGCAAACAGUGAAGUUAAAAUUGCUUUGAUUCUACUCUUCUAUUUUGUUUAUCCAAUGAGUUGUCUAUUUUUGGGGUUUCCCCAUAAUUUUUGUUUUGUUUUGUUUAUUUUUGAAAUUACCAGAAAAAAAGAUGCUCUAGUCAGCAAUGUUUGGGGUCACAUGAAUAUGAUGUUUUAUGUUAUGGCUAUCACUAUAAUGCUUUGUUAUCAUUGUUAUUAUUAUUUGAUUUGCAUAAAACAAAAAAAAUUAAAAACAUGUAAUUAAGGGUAAUUAUAAACUUUUAAUUAAGAGUCGAAUUAUAAUAUUUGAUCUAUAUCAAUAUAUGACCAUAUACCAAAUAUCAAAAUAGAGGUAAGAUUUAUAAUAUCUGGAGCCACUCGGCCUUUGGCCGAGUGGUGAGAGCUGCUGCUCUCCAACUUGGAGAGCAGCAGUUCGAACCCCCACAAUGCAUGUGGGGGUGUUUCAUUCUUCAAAUAAAAUUGAGUGAAGGCAGUCUGCUUCCUUGCCCCAGUGCGAGGAGUAGACAUCCCUCGAAUAUUUGAGAGGGUUAAAAUCUGGGCAGCGCUCCAUUAGAUUUGAUGUAUGUUGGUCCCAGUUAUAGUCUGAUUUGUACAUAUCAGUUAUAUUCUCAUGUAAUAUGAGUUGUAAUCUGAGCAAUAGUCUCAUGUAAUCAAAAAAAAAAAUAAUAUCUGGAUACGAUUUUAUGAAUUUGAAAAAAAAUAAUUAUUAUAAAUUUUGAAGUCGGUUGAAUUUGGAAAUUUAUUUCAUCAAUUAAUUUAAAAAGGUACUAUAUAUAUGACAUGGUUGGUAAAUGUUAAUAUAAUGGGUGGGUAUGACCAAUAACUAUGCAUUUAUUUUAAUUAAAGUAAUAUGGAUAAAUUUAUUAAGAAUAGUUGUCAAUUUGUCAUCGUCACAGCCAUCACAUGAAGUCGUGGCACAAGAAAUUUUAUUUAUUUUUUUAAUGAAAAAUUAAUCACACUGAUUAACAAAUAAUUACGAUGGAUGUAUCAUGAUGGACUUCAUAAAUAAAAUAAAAGAAUUCAUCAUACUUUUUUAAAGAUUUGCAAUUUAUGAAUACAAAUAGGCCUCUAGCAACUGGUUAGAGUUUGGGCCUUUGAUAAUAACAAAUAAACAAUACAAAAACUCAUAUUUUCAGUGCUAUACUUAUCUCCAUAAGCAUGCAUUUAAUUUCACAAAUUAUUUUCAAAUUAUUUUGUUAUUAUUUAGUUAUUUUUUAAGUAGAGUUUUUAAAAAUUAAAUAAGUUAUUUUAUCUCUGCCACUAAAAACUCAAAUUUUAUACUUUUGAAAGUAGUGGUUGAAUUUUUUUUUUAAAUAUUAAAACAUCUAAAAUAUCCUUUACUUAUUUACUUAUUUUAUUUUUUUCUUUUAAAACAUAACUUACCUAUUAAAGUAAUUUUGUUUAAAAUUUUCAAUUAAAACUCUCAUGGACCACCAAAUAACUAAUUUUCUUUAAUAAAUCUCUAUUUAUAAAAGUUCUUUUAAAAUAAGUUUUUCUUAAAACUUUACUUAAAUAAGUUUUUCUUAAAACUUUACUUAAAUAAGUUUUUCUUAAAACUUUAUACCAAACAGUGCCUUCGCACUAUAUAAAAAAAUAAAAUAAAAAAUAUCCUAAUUGUUGCAAGAUUUUUAUCUCGAUGACUCCAUCACAAUAAAAUUCGUGAGUGCUCUAAUUGUCCUCUAAUGUUCUAUGGUCAUGAGUUUUGUGUUAUGCCACUUAUUCAUUUCAUUAAUAAUAAAAGAAAAUGGUUUGAGCUUUGAAUAUUUAAAAAAAAUAAAUAAAUAAAAGGGGUUGAAUCUCCCACAAAUUUAAAAUAAAAUUGCACCUAAUUUAAUUUGAGUAAUGCAGUACUUAUAUUUUCUAGAAUUUUUGCCGUUGAAUUAUGAAAUUACAAGAAUUUUAUUUUUUUGUUAAUUUAAUUUAUAAUUAGUGGACUAAUUCAUUUUUAAUAUAUUAGAUUAGUAAAAUACAAAAAAAUUAGUUGAUUAAAUUAUAUAUUUAUUAAAUUAUAGGUAAACUUAUAAUUUAUUAAAUUAUUAAUUUAUCGAUUAAUUAAUAUAUGUUUAAAUUAAUAAAUUUUAUAUGAUGCACACGUUGUUAAUUUAUAAACAAUUGAUUGUACUUUGAUUUCUUUGAUUCCAAACUAAACCUUUAGGCAGACAAAACUAUUUUAUUGUACUUUGAUUUCUUUGAUUCCAAACUAAACCUUUCGGUCGCCGUUGAUUUUACAUACUACAACAAAGUCAGCUUUCAUCAGCCACCAUCAAACCCACAUCAACUUCGAUCACUUCCCAGUAAUUGAUGAUUUUUCUUCAUGUUAUUUCUUAAUUCCUACAAUUUUUAGAAACCUUAAACCCUUGAAGUAGUUGAAUACAGAAACGGAGG